RNAcentral lists this long non-coding RNA (101652 nucleotides) under Triticum aestivum (bread wheat). RNAcentral's name for it is "long non-coding RNA (TAES_LNC009528)". The record is from RNAcentral. Lineage: Eukaryota; Viridiplantae; Streptophyta; Magnoliopsida; Poales; Poaceae.
AAAUGAUAAAACUAAAGGUACAAAGUAAUUUUUUUAGUAUAUAUCAUCACACAAUCAUAGUACAACCAGCACACACAAGCCAUCAUCCUCCGUACAAGCCAGAAAAGUAAAUAAGAACAAUCACAAGAUUUACAUGGGCAUCAUGCCCUAAUCUUGAUUGAUCUUGACAUUAUAUAGCAUGGGAUGACUUAAUGGUGGUGGGUUACAACACACCACUUAUUUAAUCCAACCGGCAAUAUAAGUAAUGACGAUACUAUGUCUGGCAUGGUUGAUGUACCCGAACAUCUCAUGCCAACAAUUACUCUUGGACGUUUGCUUCACCAUUUCCUUUUUCUGCUUGAGUCCCAAGUGGUGGUUUUGGUUGUGCAUUCGGGUCAGGCAGUGGUUGUGGAUUCGGGUCUGGUAAUGGUUGUGGGUUUGGAUCAGGUUGCGGUCCUGGUAAUGGCUGAGGGUUUGGGUUUGGCUGUGGGUCCGGCAAUGGCUUCGGGUUUGGGUCUGGUAAUGGUUGCGGGUUUGGAUGAGGUUGUGGUCCUGGUAAUGGCUGAGGGUUUGGGUUUGGCUGUGGGUUCGGCAAUGGUAUCGGGUUUGGGUCUGGUAAUGGUUCUGGGUUUGGAUCAGGCUGUGGUCCUGGUAAUGGCUGAGGGUUUGGGUUUGGUUGUGGGUCCGGCAAUGGUUUUGGGUUUGGGUCUGGUAAUGGUUGUGGAUUUCGAUCAGGCUGCGGUCUUGGUAAUGGUUGAGGGUUUGGUUUUGCUCGUGGGUCUGGUAGUGGCCGCGGCUUUGUGUUUGGCUGUGGGUUCAUCAACUGUUGCAGGUUUUGUCCUGGCAAUAGUUGUGGAUUUGGGUCAGGNNNNNNNNNNGUUGUGGGUUUGGAUCAGGUUGCGGCCCUGGUAGUGGCUUAGGGUUUGGGUUUGGCUGUGGGUCCGGCAAUGGUUUUGGGUUUGGGUCUGGUAAUGGUUGUGGAUUUCGAUCAGGCUGCGGUCUUGGUAAUGGUUGAGGGUUUGGUUUUGCUCGUGGGUCUGGUAGUGGCCGCGGCUUUGUGUUUGGCUGUGGGUUCAUCAACUGUUGCAGGUUUUGUCCUGGCAAUAGUUGUGGAUUUGGGUCAGGGUGUGGUCCUGGUAAUGGUUGAGCGUUUGGAUCAGGUUGUGGAUCUAGCAGUGGUUGUGGGUUUGUAUGAGGUUUAGGCUCGGGUAGCGGUUGCGGCUUUGGGUCUGGUUGUGGUCCCGGCAAUGGUUGAGGGUUUGGAUCUGGCUGUUUUCCUGGUAGUGGUUCUGGAUUUGGGUUCGCCCGUGGGCCGUACUGAGGGUCUCUAGUGAUCAGGUUGUGCCUCCCGGCAGCAAGAGCAAACACUGGAAGAAGCAUAAGCAGCAACGGUGCUACGAGAAGAGAAGACGCGGAUGGGCGCUUCCUCAUCGUCAUGGCUAAGCUUGUGUUGGUACGAACUUGCAAGUGCGUGCGUCUCGAUCUUCCUAUUUAUAAGCGAAUUCAGCCAUCAAGGCUGGACAAGCAUGUACGUUGUUUACUCCAACUCUGAUUGGGCUUGUUAGCUUUGCCUUUUUGAAGAUGCGGGACUGCACGCCUCCGCUUAGUGCUCUAACCAGCAGCUAGCCACAAUAAAAAGUCAUUUAGAAAAGUUUUGAGUUAUCAUCAUAAAGAAAAAGUUUGUGUAGUUUUCGUCUGGAUAGAUGUGACAUUUUUCAGUUGAUCGUAGGAGAGCAACAUGCAGAAGCAUACAGUUGCCCAAGUUGUGAACAACCUGAUCACUUUCAGUAAUUCUGUUGAAUUCAUAGCAGGGUAGCAGAUGGCUGUGAGCAUGGAAUUUGUAAAUCAUGUAAUUUUUUUUAAAAUAAGAAAAAUCAUGUAAACACGUAUACAUGUUAUUUGCGUGUCCAAGAAGUUUAAUUAAGCCAUACACAGAUUUGUAGGCUACAUAAAAAAAAUCCAGCCCAAAUGCAAUAGAAAUAAGCCUAUUUUAAAUUAUGUAUUUGUCGUUUUCCCCUUUGUGUAGACUAUAUAUGAUUUUUUUUCAAAUAUAUUUUGUUGAAAUUUUGUAUGAACACACUAUACCUUUUUUAUUGAAAAUUUUGAGGUGCAAGAAUAAAGUUCUUGAUAAAAAAUAAAGAAGCCUGUACGAUGUAUUGUUGUACACAGGAAUAUCGUGGAUUCUAAACUUGAGGUUUGCAUGGAUGGAUUUUUUUUACGGAAUCUAGUUUAAAUGAGUCCUAUUGUUUCCCGUAUGAAUUCCUAUUCUAUGACUCAAACAACACAUACAGAAAAAUUUUCUAAGGAUUAGAUUCCUCCAAAAUUCUAUUAAAAGUUUAAAACCCCUUUGAAUCAAAGAAGCCUAUUCCCCCCAAAAUAAAGAAAAGAAUCAAAUGAGCUCGGGUGAACAGUAAAAUCAAAACUAAAUCAAUUUUUUUUUAAAAAAAUCCAAUUUUUUUUGGGAGAAAAAGUUCUAAGUGCUUGCAAAAAUUCGCCAUGAAAUCACAUUUCUAGAAGGCGUGGCAAAAAAAAAAAACAAAAUCAGUACUCUGAAAAAGCUACUUUCAAAAGCAUUUUGGAGCACUGAAUUUGUUUUUUUUGCCACGCUUUACAGGAAUGUGAUUUCAUGAUGAAUUUUUGCAAGCACUUAAAACUUUUGUUAAUGUUUCUCCCAAAAAAAAUUGGGAAUUUUUUGAAUUUUUUUUGAAUUUUUUUCGAUUUUACUGUUCACCAAGCUCAAAUGAGCUCGGGAGCAGAAAGGCACUUUCGAUCAAAGAAGCCUAUUUCGCAGCAAAGCUAGUGGCUGUCCUAUCGGACAGUGAUGCACCUUUAAGUACGCGGUUUCUAAUAAUCACGAUCAGUGCACGCCGUGCACAGUGCACUCAUUUCGGUUGUAGAUGUAACUUUCACAUUUCAUACACCAAUCACGAUCAGUUGCUUGUUGGCACGGGCGGAGCUCCGUAGGGGCAGACCUGGGCCAUGGCCCGCCCAGGAAUUUGACAAAAAAAGUUUUUACUACUAGUCGUCUUAGCCCAGCCCACUAGCCCACGCACGCACUGAAUAUCCCCCCAUCGGCCAUCGUCUCCUCGUCUCGCGCACGCUGCACGCACAGGCACACUCACGCCUUCCCCAAUUCCCCAUCCUCUCAGUCCCAGACUCAUGUAGGUUGUAGCCACGCCGCCGACGACUACCGACGUGGACAGGGAACACGUCCACACGGUCCACCGGAGCGCGCCGCCCGCCAUCUCUCGGAGCAACCGCCAUGGCAACGCCCGCCGGGAUCUCGCCUCGCCCCUGCCCUGCUCCCUCCUGCCGCCCAUCAUCCGCACACUUACANNNNNNNNNNNNNNNNNNNNNNNNNNNNNNNNNNNNNNNNNNNNNNNNNNNNNNNNNNNNNNNNNNNNNNNNNNNNNNNNNNNNNNNNNNNNNNNNNNNNNNNNNNNNNNNNNNNNNNNNNNNNNNNNNNNNNGCAAUAACCUGAUUUUGUUCAUUUCCAUACACCCAGUGAUCAGUCCUGCUAGUGAUAAAUAAUAGUCUGAUGAUCUGAUCUUACGCAAAUUUUAACAUAGGUAGUCGGGAAAGGAAAAUAAGACUCAGAGAAGAAGAAGAUCACUGCACAAUAAGAUGGAAGAUGAGAAUCUGGCUAAUAACUUGUUAGUUCACAUAGAUGGUGGAAUUCUAGAAAACUACAGCCACGAAGAUGUCAUUGCAGAUUUUAUAAACAAGAAGAUCGGAGAGUUGAUUGUAUGUGAGUAGGUCCAUGUCUAAUGUCUCUGACACUUUUGUAUUAUCUAACUCAAUAGUGAAACAUGGUUGAACUGUACUUUGGUACAUAUAUAUAUUAUAUAUAUACAUAUCUGCUAGCUCAAUCUUGUGACCUGGGUGCUUGUAAUAUGUCCUUAUGGGUAAGAAUUUAGAAAAAAUUGUGUUCUUCUUCAGUCUGGCCCGCCCAACUUUUUCGUUCAAGCUCCGCCACUGCUUGUUGGUGCACAUCCAAUGCUCUAGAAUAAAACAAAAAGUACUCCUAUAUACAAAACGUACUUUACCUAACCUACCGAUUGAAUCGUAUACAUAGAUGAAAAAGAAAAGACAUCCGUAGAGUCCCAAGUUACCUACCGAUUGAAUCGUAUGUAUAGAUGAAAAAGAAAAGACAUCCAUAGAGUACCAAGUUACCUACCGAUUGAAUCAUACAUAUAGACGAAAAAGAAAAGACAUGCAUAGAGUACCAAGUUAAAGACGAUAUGACCUCACAACUAGAUUGGGUUGGGUGAGUGGAGUGCCACUUUAAUCCUUGUCUGGAGCACGCGCUAUGAUAUUUCUUCAGAGGCGCUGAAGUGGGGAACAAGACUGAUAGAACAAACAACAAGUGAGAUAUUUUGAGCUUCACUAGGUUGGAGGCCUGGUGUGCUCAGAAUUUAUCAGGGUGUAUUCAGGUUGCAGCACUGCUGCCAAGGCAUUUCUCCAGCUUCGCUCUGAAGAUCUUUUGCUUUGCUUUGUUCCUCUGUUUGUUUGUAAUGAAGUUCCCGUGUUUUGUGAUGGUUGCAAGUUCCCUGUAGUCUUUAUAUAUUUGGCUCAAGGGUGCCUGAAAAUUUCAUAGUUAUGUUUAAAAAAAUGCCGUAGUUGUUAGUUUUUGGACCAUCUAUCUAAAUCUAUCAAAGACCCUGUUGCCCGAGCUAGCCAAUCAAAGUUGGGCCAUUUGCAUCAAGCUAGGUAGGAUGCGUCGCCGGAAAACCCAAAUCGCUAAUUAAGGAGUACUCUUUGCAAAGGUCACUCCUACCAUGUCGCAACUAGUGAGUUUUCCUUUUUUUGUCGAUUCGUUUAUUCAACACGUUUUAUCGGUUAAAACAUGCAUUCACAUCUUGAAUCGUUUUCUCCAUUGUAUUCCUCGCACUGAGAUCUUGAAAAUUAGAUCCGAUCUGAUAGGUUUUGAUGAACGUUUUACUUUACGAAAAAUACCGAACAAAAAACAAACCGGGAGCACAUUUUUUCCUUUCUGAAAAGGGCACAAUCGUGCCUCUCGUGUCGUUACAAAUCUUAUCUCUGUUCGUCGUUACAAAUCCUAUGAAUUGCUAUUCUAUCUUCACAACAUCCUAUACUCCCCUUGUGUCGUUACAAAUCUUAUCUCUGUUCGUCGUUUUUGCAUUGACAAUUCAGUAACAAUUGAGUUUUACCCCCUUGACUUUGUUGUGAAGGAUCUAGCCACUCGGACUCCUUAUGAGCCGCAGUAGCUACGGCCAGCUUUACUCCUUCUCCGGCGGCACCACCAACCACCAGGCGGUGCUCUCUAUGGACGUUGGAAACUUGUGGCAUCAGCGAUUAGGGCACCCCAGUGCUGCCUCCCUUUCCCGUUUGGCGAGCAGUUUUUAACCAAAUUGUAAUAAGCCAGUCCACCCCAUGGUACUUGUCAUGCAUGUCAAUUAGGCCACCAUGCUCUCCUUCCUUUUUCCAGAUUCUCUGUCAUUUACUACUUUUCCUUUUCAACUAGUGCACUAUGAUAUAUGAACCUCAACAAUUGCGAGUUUUUCCGGCUUCAAAUAUUAUUUGUUUGUCAUAGACGACUUCACUCACUUCCCUUGGAGCUUCCCGCUACACCAUAAGCCCCAUGCCGCUGCCACCCUUGAACGCUUUUACCAGUACGUGCUCAUACAAUUCCGUGUUUACAUACAGUGUGUCCAAUGUGAUAAUGGGGGCGACUUCCUCAACGUUCACCUAUGCACUUUCUGUUGGGGAACGUUGCAGAAAACAAAAAUUUUCCUACGGUUUCACCAAGAUCCAUCUAGGACUUCAUCUAGCAACGAGUAAUCGGAUUGCAUCUACGUACCUUGUAGAUCGCGAGUGGAAGCGUUCAAAGAACGGGGAUGAGGGAGUCGUACUCGACGUGAUCCAAAUCACCGGAGAUCCUAGCGCCGAACGGACGACACCUCCGCGUUCAACACACGUACGGUCAGCGUAACGUCUCCUUCCUCUUGAUCCAGCAAGGGGCAAGGAGAGGUUGAGGAAGAUGGCUCCAGCAGCAGCACGACGGCGUGGUGGUGAUGGAGCUGCAGUACUCCGGCAGGGCUUCGCCAAGCUCUAUGGAGGAGGAGGAUGUGUUGGAGAGGGAGAGGGAGGCACCAAAGGCAAAGGUAAGAGGUCCUCCAUCCUCCCCACUAUAUAUAGGGGGGCCUAGGGGGGGACGCCGGCCCUAGGAGAUGCAAUCUCCUAGGGGGGCGGCGGCCAAGGGGUGGGGGACUUGCCCCCCAAGCAAGGGGGCGUCCCCCCCCUUUAGGGUUUCCCCCACCCUAGGCGCAUGGGCCCUAGGGGAAGUGGCGCCCCAGCCCACUUUGGGCUGGAUCCCUUCCCACUUCAGCCCAUGGGGCCCUCCGGGAUAGGUGGCCCCACCCGGUGGACCCCCGGGACCCUUCCGGUGGUCCCGGUACAAUACCGGUGACCCCGAAACUUGUCCCGAUAGCCGAAAUAGCACUUCCUAUAUAUAAUUAUUUACCUCCGGACCAUUCCGGAACUCCUCGUGAUGUCCGGGAUCUCAUCCGGGACCCCGAACAACAUCCGGGUUACUGCAUAUACAUAUCCCUAUAACCCUAGCGUCACCGAACCUUAAGUGUGUAGACCCUACGGGUUCGGGAGACAUGUAGACAUGACCGAGAUCGCUCUCCGGUCAAUAAACAAUAGCGGGAUCUGGAUACCCAUGUUGGCUCCCACAUGCUCCUCGAUGAUCUCAUCGGAUGAACCACGAUGUCGAGGAUUCAAGCAACCCCGUAUACAAUUCCCUUCGUCAGUCGGUAUGUUACUUGCCCGAGAUUCGGUCGUCGGUAUCCCAAUACCUCGUUCAAUCUCGUUACCGGCAAGUCACUUUACUCUUACCGUAAUGCAUGAUCCCGUGACCAGACACUUGGUCACUUUGAGCUCAUUAUGAUGAUGCAUUACCGAGUGGGCCCAGUGAUACCUCUUCGUCAUACGGAGUGACAAAUUCCAGUCUUGAUCCGUGUCAACCCAACAGACACUUUCGGAGAUACCCGUAGUAUACCUUUAUAGUCACCCAGUUACUUGUGACGUUUGGUACACCCAAAGCACUCCUACGGUAUCCGGGAGUUACACGAUCUCAUGGUCUAAGGAAAAGAUACUUGACAUUGGAAAACUCUAGCAAAUGAACUAUACGAUCUUGUGCUAUGUUUAGGAUUGGGUCUUGUCCAUCACAUCAUUCUCCUAAUGAUAUGAUCUCGUUAUCAAUGACAUUCAAUGUCCAUAGUCAGGAAACCAUGACUAUCUUUGAUCAACGAGCUAGUCAACUAGAGGCUUACUAGGGACAUGUUGGUGUCUAAGUAUUCACACAUGUAUUACAAUUUCCGGAUAACACAAUUAUAGCAUGAAUAAAAGACAAUUAUCAUGAACAAGGAAAUAUAAUAAUAAUGCUUUUAUUAUUGCCUCUAGGGCAUAUUUCCAACAGUCUCCCACUUGCACUAGAGUCAAUAAUCUAGUUACAUUGUGAUGAAUCGAACACCCAUGGAAUUCUGGUGUUGAUCAUGUUUUGCUCUAGGGAGAGGUUUAGUCAACGGAUCUGCUACAUUCAGGUCCAUAUGUACUUUACAAAUAUCUAUGUCUCCAUCUUGAACAUUUUCACGAAUGGAGUUGAAGCGACGCUUGAUGUGCCUCGUCUUCUUGUGAAAUCUGGGCUCCUUGGCAAGUGCAAUAGCUCCAUGUUGUCACAGAAGAGCUUCAUAGGCCCCGAUGCAUUGGGUAUGACUCCUAGGUCGGUGAUGAACUCCUUCACCCAAAUUGCUUCAUGCGCUGCCUCCGAGGCUGCCAUGUACUCCGCUUCACAUGUAGAUCCCGCCACGACGCUCUUCUUGCAACUGCACCAGCUUACUGCCCUACCAUUCAAAAUAUACACGUAUCCGGUUUGUGACUUAGAGUCAUCCAGAUCUGUGUCGAAGCUAGCAUCGACGUAACCAUUUACGACGAGCUCUUCGUCACCUCCAUAGACGAGAAACAUUUCCUUAGUCCUUUUCAGGUACUUCAGGAUAUUCUUGACCGCUGUCCAGUGUUCCUUGCCGGGAUUACUUUGGUACCUACCUACCAAACUUACGGCUAGGUUUACAUCAGGUCUGGUACACAGCAUGGCAUACAUAAUAGAACCUAUGGCUGAGGCAUAGGGGAUGAUACUCAUCUCUUCUAUAUCUUCUGCCGUGGUCGGACAUUGAGCUGAGCUCAAUUUCAUACCUUGCAACACAGGCAAGAACCCCUUCUUAGACUGAUCCAUAUUGAAUUUCUUCAAUAUCUUAUCAAGGUAUGUGCUUUGUGAAAGACCUAUGAGGCGUCUUGAUCUAUCUCUGUAGAUCUUGAUGCCUAAUAUAUAAGCAGCUUCUCCAAGGUCCUUCAUUGAAAAACUCUUAUUCAAGUAGGCCUUAAUGCUGUCCAAAAGUUCUAUAUCAUUUCCCAUCAAAAGUAUGUCAUCUACAUAUAAUAUGAGAAAUGCUACAGAGCUCCCACUCACUUUCUUGUAAACACAGGCUUCUCCAUAAGUCUGCGUAAACCCAAACGCUUUGAUCAUCUCAUCAAAGCGAAUGUUCCAACUCCGAGAUGCUUGCACCAGCCCAUAAAUCGAGCGUUGGAGCUUGCACACCUUGUCAGCAUACUUAGGAUCGACAAAACCUUACGGCUGCAUCAUAUACCAUUCUUCCUUAAGGAAACCAUUAGGAAUGCCGUUUUGACGUCCAUUUGCCAUAUUUCAUAAUCAUAGAAUGCGGCAAUUGCUAACAUGAUUCGGACGGACUUCAGCUUCGCUACCGGUGAGAAAGUCUCAUCGUAGUCAACCCCUUGAACUUGUCGAUAACCCUUAGCGACAAGCCGAGCUUUAUAGAUGGUCACACUACCAUCCGCGUCUGUCUUCUUCUUAAAGAUCCAUUUAUUUUCUAUGGCUUGCCGCUCUACGGCCAAGUCAGUCAAAGUCCAUACUUCGUUUUCAUACAUGGAUCCUAUCUCGGAUUUCAUGGCUUCCAGCCAUUUGUCAGAAUCCGGGCCCGCCAUCGCUUCUUCAUAGUUUGAAGGUUCACCGUUGUCUAACAACAUGAUUUCCAAGACAGGGUUGCCGUACCAAUCUGGUGCGGAACGUGUCCUUGUGGACCUUCGAAUUUCAGUAGGAGCUUGAUCAGAAGUAUCUUGAUCAUCAUCAUUAACUUCCUCUCUAGUCGGUGCAGGCACCUCAGGAACAUUUUCUUGAGUUGCGCCAUUUUCCGGUUCAAGAGGUAAUACUUCAUCAAGUUCUACUUUCCUCCCAUUUACUUCUUUCGAGAGAAACUCCUUCUCUAGAAAGGAUCCAUUCUUGGCAACAAAGAUCUUGCCUUCGGAUCUGAGGUAGAAGGUAUACCCAAUAGUUUCUUUAGGGUAUCCUAUGAAGACGCAUUUUUCCGACUUGGGUUCGAGCUUUUCAGGUUGAAGUUUCUUGACAUAAGCAUCGCAUACCCAAACUUUUAGAAACGAUAGCUUAGCUUUCUUCCCAAACCAUAAUUCAUACGGUGUCGUCUCAACGGAUUUCGACGGAGCCCUAUUUAAAGUGAAUGCGGGAGUCUCUAAAGCAUAGCCCCAAAAAGAUAGCGGUAAAUCGGUAAGAGACAUCAUAGAUCACACCAUAUCUAAUAGAGUGCGAUUACGACGUUCGGACACACCAUUACGCUGAGGUGUUCCAAGCGGCGUGAGUUGUGAAACUAUUCCAUAUUUUCUUAAGUGUGUGCCAAACUCGUGACUCAAGUAUUCUCCUUCACGAUCUGAUCGCAGGAACUUGAUUUUCCUGUCACGUUGAUUCUCAACCUCACUCUGAAAUUCCUUGAACUUUUCAAAGGUCUCAGACUUGUGUUUCAUUAAGUAGACAUACCCAUAUAUACUCAAGUCAUCAGUGAGGGUGAGAACAUAACGCCACCGUGAGCCUCAACAGUCAUUGGACCGCACACAUCAGUAUGUAUGAUUUCCAAUAAGUUGGUUUCUCGCUCCAUUGUUCCUGAGAACGGAGUCUUGGUCAUUUUACCCAUGAGGCAUGAUUCGCACAUGUCAAAUGAUUCGUAAUCAAGAGACUCUAAAAGUCCAUCAGCAUGGAGCUUCUUCAUGCGUUUGACACCUAUGUGACCAAGGCGGCAGUGCCACAAGUAUGUGGGACUAUCAUUAUCAAUCUUACAUCUUUUGGUACUCACACUAUGAACAUGUGUAGCAUUACGCUCGAGAUUCAUUAAGAAUAAACCAUUCACCAUCGGAGCAUGACCAUAAAACAUAUCUCUCAUAUAAAUAGAACAACCAUUAUUCUCGGAUUUAAAUGAGUAGCCAUCUCGAAUUAAACGAGAUCCUGAUACAAUGUUCAUGCUCAAAGCUAGCACUAAAUAACAAUUAUUAAGGUUUAAAACUAAUCCCGAAGGUAAAUGUAGAGGUAGCGUGCCGACGGCGAUCACAUUGACCUUGGAACCAUUCCCGACGCGCAUCGUCACCUCGUCCUUCGCCAGUCUCCGCUUAUUCCGCAGCUCCUGUUUUGAGUUACAAAUGUGAGCAACCGCACCGGUAUCAAAUACCCAGGAGCUACUACGAGUACUGGUAAGGUACACAUCAAUUACAUGUAUAUCACAUAUACCUUUCGUGAUGCCGGCCUUCUUGUCCGCUAAGUAUUUGGGGCAGUUUCGCUUCCAGUGACCACUUCCCUUGCAAUAAAAGCACUUAGUCUCGGGCUUGGGUCCAUUCUUUGGCUUCUUCCCGGCAGCUUGCUUGCCGGGCGCGGCAACUCCCUUGUCGUCCUUCUUGAAGGCUUUCUUACCCUUGCCCUUCUUGAACUUAGUGGUUUUAUUCACCAUCAACACUUGAUGUUCCUUUUUGACUUCUACCUCAGCUGAUUUCAGCAUUGCAAAUACGUCAGGAAUGGUCUUUUCCAUCCCCUGCAUAUUGAAGUUUAUCACAAAGCUCUUGUAGCUCGGUGGAAGCGACUGAAGGAUUCUGUCAAUGACCGUGUCAUCCGGGAGAUUAACUCCCAGCUGAGUCAAGCGGUUAUGCAACCCAGACAUAAUGAGUAUGUGCUCACUGACAGAACUGUUUUCCUCCAUCUUACAGCUGAAGAACUUGUCGGAGACUUGAUAUCUCUCGACCCGGGCAUGAGCUUGGAAAACCAUUUUCAGCUCUUCGAACAUCUCAUAUGCUCCGUGUCUCUCAAAACGCUUUUGGAGCCCCGGCUCUAAGCUGUAAAGCAUGCCGGACUGAACGAGGGAGUAGUCAUCGGUACGUGCCUGCCAAGCGUUCAUAACGUCUUGUUCUGCAGGGAGAACAGGUGUGUCACCUGGCGGUGCUUGUAGGACAUAAUCUUUCUUGGCAGCUAUGAGGAUGAUCCUCAGGUUUCGGACCCAGUCCGUGUAGUUGCUGCCAUCGUCUUUCAGCUUGGUUUUCUCUAGGAACGCGUUGAAGUUGAGGACUACGUUGGCCAUUUGAUCUACAAGACAUAUUGUAAAUUUUUUAGACUAAGUUCAUGAUAAUUAAGUUCAUCUAAUCAAAUUAUUCAAUGAACUCCCACUUAGAUAGACAUCCCUCCAGUAAUCUAAGUAUAACAUGAUCCGAGUUAACUAGGACGUGUCCGAUCAUCACGUAAGACGGACUAGUCAACAUCGGUGAACAUCUUCAUGUUGAUCGUAUCUUCUAUAUGACUCAUGCUCGACCUUUCGGUCUUCUGUGUUCCGAGGCCAUGUCUGUACAUGCUAGGCUCGUCAAGUCAACCUAAGUGUUUGCAUGUGUAAAUCUGUCUUACACCCGUUGUAUGUGAACGUUGGAAUGAAUCUAACACCCGAUCAUCACGUGGUGCUUCGAAACAACGAACUGUCGCAAUGGUGCACAGUUAGGAGAAACACUUUCUUGAAAUUAUUAUGAGGGAUCAUCUUAUUUACUAUCGUUGUUCUAAGUAAACAAGAUGCAGAAACAUGAUAAACAUCACAUGCAAUCAAAUAGUGACAUGAUAUGGCCAAUAUCACAUAGCUCCUUUGAUCUCCAUCUUGGGGCUCCAUGAUCAUCUUGUCACCAGCAUGACACCAUGAUCUCCAUCAUCAUGAUCUCCAUCACAGUGUCUCCAUGAAGUUGCUCGCCAACUAUUACUUCUACUACUAUGGCUAACACGUUUAGCAAUAAAGUAAAGUAAUUUACAUGGCGUUUCUCAAUGAAACGCAGGUCAUACAAAAAAUAAAGACAACUCCUAUGGCUCCUGCCGGUUGUCAUACUCAUCGACAUGCAAGUCGUGAUUCCUAUUACAAUAGCAUGAGCAUCUCAUACAUCACAUGUAUAUCAUUCAUCAUUCAUCACAACUUUGGCCAUAUCACAUCACAGAACACUUGCUGCAAAAACAAGUUAGACGUCCUCUAAUUGUUGUUGCAAGUUUUACGUGGCUGCAAUAGGGUUCUAGCAAGAACGUUUUCUUACCUACGUGAAAGCCACAACAUGAUUUGUCAACUUCUAUUUACCCUUCAUAAGGACCCUUUUCAUCGAAUCCGCUCCAACUAAAGUGGGAGAGACAGACACCCGCCAGCCACCUUAUGCAACUUGUGCAUGUUAGUCGGUGGAACCGGUCUCACGUAAGCGUACGUGUAAGGUUGGUCCGGGCCGCUUCAUCCCACAAUACCGUUGAAGCAAGAUAAGACUAGUAGCGGCAAGAAAGUUGACAACAUCUACGCCCACAACAAAUUGUGUUCUACUCGUGCAAAGAGAACUACGCAUAGACCUAGCUCAUGAUGCCACUGUUGGGGAACGUUGCAGAAAACAAAAUUUUUCCUACGGUUUCACCAAGAUCCAUCUAGGAGUUCAUCUAGCAACGAGUGAUCGGAUUGCAUCUACGUACAUUGUAGAUCGCGAGCGGAAGCGUUCAAAGAACGGGGAUGAGGGAGUCGUACUCGACGUGAUCCAAAUCACCGGAGAUCCUAGCGCCGAACGGACGGCACCUCCGCGUUCAACAGACGUACGGUCAGCGUAACGUCUCCUUCCUCUUGAUCCAGCAAGGGGCAAGGAGAGGUUGAGGAAGAUGGCUCCAGCAGCAGCACGAUGGCGUGGUGGUGAUGGAGCUGCAGUACUCCGGCAGGGCUUCGCCAAGCUCUAUGGAGGAGGAUGUGUUGGAGAGGGAGAGGGAGGCACCAAAGGCAAAGGUAAGAGGUCCUCCAUCCUCCCCACUAUAUAUAGGGGGGCCUGGGGGGGGGGGCGCCGGCCCUAGGAGAUGCAAUCUCCUAGGGGGGCGGCGGCCAAGGGGUGGGGGACUUGCCCCCAAGCAAGGGGGCGCCCCCCCCUUUAGGGUUUCCCCCACCCUAGGCGCAUGGGCCCUAAGGGAAGUGGCGCCCCAGCCCACUUUGGGCUGGAUCCCUUCCCACUUCAGCCCAUGGGGCNNNNNNNNNNNNNNNNNNNNNNNNNNNNNNNNNNNNNNNNNNNNNNNNNNNNNNNNNNNNNNNNNNNNNNNNNNNNNNNNNNNNNNNNNNNNNNNNNNNNNNNNNNNNNNNNNNNNNNNNNNNNNNNNNNNNNNNNNNNNNNNNNNNNNNNNNNNNNNNNNNNNNNNNNNNNNNNNNNNNNNNNNNNNNNNNNNNNNNNNNNNNNNNNNNNNNNNNNNNNNNNNNNNNNNNNNNNNNNNNNNNNNNNNNNNNNNNNNNNNNNNNNNNNNNNNNNNNNNNNNNNNNNNNNNNNNNNNNNNNNNNNNNNNNNNNNNNNNNNNNNNNNNNNNNNNNNNNNNNNNNNNNNNNNNNNNNNNNNNNNNNNNNNNNNNNNNNNNNNNNNNNNNNNNNNNNNNNNNNNNNNNNNNNNNNNNNNNNNNNNNNNNNNNNNNNNNNNNNNNNNNNNNNNNNNNGGAAGAUGGCUCCAGCAGCAGCACGAUGGCGUGGUGGUGAUGGAGCUGCAGUACUCCGGCAGGGCUUCGCCAAGCUCUAUGGAGGAGGAUGUGUUGGAGAGGGAGAGGGAGGCACCAAAGGCAAAGGUAAGAGGUCCUCCAUCCUCCCCACUAUAUAUAGGGGGGCCUAGGGGGGGGGGCGCCGGCCCUAGGAGAUGCAAUCUCCUAGGGGGGCGGCGGCCAAGGGGUGGGGGACUUGCCCCCAAGCAAGGGGGCGCCCCCCCCUUUAGGGUUUCCCCCACCCUAGGCGCAUGGGCCCUAAGGGAAGUGGCGCCCCAGCCCACUUUGGGCUGGAUCCCUUCCCACUUCAGCCCAUGGGGCCCUCCGGGAUAGGUGGCCCCACCCGGUGGACCCCCGGGACCCUUCCGGUGGUCCCGGUACAAUACCGGUGACCCCGAAACUUGUCCCGAUAGCCGAAAUAGCACUUCCUAUAUAUAAUUCUUUACCUCCGGACCAUUCUGGAACUCCUCGUGAUGUCCGGGAUCUCAUCCGGGACCCCGAACAACAUUCGGGUUACUGCAUAUACAUAUCCCUAUAACCCUAGCGUCACCGAACCUUAAGUGUGUAGACCCUACAGGUUCGGGAGACAUGUAGACAUGACCGAGAUCGCUCUCCGGUCAAUAACCAACAGCGGGAUCUGGAUACCCAUGUUGGCUCCCACAUGCUCCUCGAUGAUCUCAUCGGAUGAACCACGAUGUCGAGGAUUCAAGCAACCCCGUAUACAAUUCCCUUCGUCAGUCGGUAUGUUACUUGCCCGAGAUUCGAUCGUCGGUAUCCCAAUACCUCGUUCAAUCUCGUUACCGGCAAAUCACUUUACUCUUACCGUAAUGCAUGAUCCCGUGACCAGACACUUGGUCACUUUGAGCUCAUUAUGAUGAUGCAUUACCGAGUGGGCCCAGUGAUACCUCUCCGUAAUACGGAGUGACAAAUCCCAGUCUUGAUCCGUGUCAACCCAACAGACACUUUCAGAGAUACCCGUAGUAUACCUUUAUAGUCACCCAGUUACGUUGUGACGUUUGGUACACCCAAAGCACUCCUACGGUAUCCGGGAGUUACACGAUCUCAUGGUCUAAAGGAAAAGAUACUUGACAUUGGAAAACUCUAGCAAACGAACUAUACGAUCUUGUGCUAUGUUUAGGAUUGGGUCUUGUCCAUCACAUCAUUCUCCUAAUGAUGUGAUCUCGUUAUCAAUGACAUCCAAUGUCCAUAGUCAGGAAACCAUGACUAUCUGUUGAUCAACGAGCUAGUCAACUAGAGGCUUACCGGGGACAUGUUGGUGUCUAAGUAUUCACACAUGUAUUAUGAUUUCCGGAUAACACAAUUAUAGCAUGAAUAAAAGACAAUUAUCAUGAACAAGGAAAUAUAAUAAUAAUGCUUUUAUUAUUGCCUCUAGGGCAUAUUUCCAACACUUUCCUCUACGAGGCAUCACCCUUUGUCACUCUUGCCCGCACACCUCCCCUCAAAACGAGAAGGCCGAGCACGGCAUUCGCUCCAUGAACGACAUUAUGCGCACACUCCUCCAAGCUCACAUGCCACCUUCGUUUUGGGUCGACGCCCUCAACACCACCACAUACUUACUGAAUUUCGCCCAUCCCGAGCCAUCGACCACAUCCCACCCUACUACGCCCUCUUUGGUACCUCUCCAGAUUACAGCUCCCUACGCACGUUCGUCUGCCUCUGCUACCAAAACCUCUAUGCCACUAUGCCCUACAAAUUAGCUCCCCGCUCCGUUCGCUGCAUUCUCCUCGGUAUGCCACUUGAGCAUAAAGGCUACAGGUGCCUGGACCUCUCCAAUCGAUGACUCAUUACCUCUAGACAUGUCAUUUUUUGACGAAAACACCUUCCCAUUCAUUGAUGCCCCGAGCGGCCACACGCCUGCACGAGCAGGGUCUGCUCCGGCCGCAGAAAAUCAAGCACCCACCUCCAUCCCCCUCGGAUCACCCACUCCACCAGUCACGCACCACCUCCCAUCCCCAAGCAUGCAGCCCGACCCCACCUCCCAAACCCAUGCAGUGAUUCACCCAUCACCUGCAUGCGGCGCGCCUCCCCUCGUGUCGACUCCACGCCUAGAUGCAGUAGCCCGCCACUUACGCCUCUGCAUGCAGCGCCCCUCACUCUAUGCCGCCCACGCAUGUAGUACGAUCCCACCCUGAGUCGUGCCGAUUUUACCUGCCAAAAACUUGCAUGCCAGGCGCACCUGCGCAAAGUCCAGUUUUCUGCAGCCAAAGAAGCUUCUGACCGUCGCUACCUCUCCCGCCCCCAUCUCUCCUAUUCCCGCAAACUACAAAGAAGCUCUCAAAGACCCCAACUGGUACAAUGUUAUGCUUGAAGAAUUUAACGCUUUGUUGCAAAGCAAAACGUGGUCUUUGGUUGCUUGCUCUGCAGGUGUCAACUUGGUGUCUGGGAAGUGGAUAUUCCGCCACAAGCUUCAUCUCGACGGCUCCCUCGCUCGGUACAAGGCGUGUUGGGUACUUCGUGGCUUCACAAAGCAGCCUGGCAUUGACUACGGGGAGACCUUCAGCCCCGUGUGGUGAAACCGGCCACCAUCCGCGUCAUCCUCAGUGUCGCCAUCAGUAACCGUUGGGCCAUUAACCAGCUGGACAUGAAGAACCCCUUCCUCCACGGCACUCUCGAUGAGCUCGUCUACAGUCAGCCGCCGGCUAGCUUCGUCGACACCGCACACCCCUCGACCAUGUGCAAACUCCAAAAGUCCUUGUAUGACUUAAGCAGGCUCCUCGUGCGUGGUUCCAGCGGUUCACCACAUUCCUUCUCUCGCUCGGCUUCACGGUGUCAAGAUCCGACACAUCCCUAUUUAUUCUCCGCCGUGGCACCUCAGUGGCAUACCUCUUGCUAUAUGUUGACGAUAUCAUUCUCACCGCUAGCUCCUCCGGGUUACUCACCAUCGUUACCGCCGCUCUCACCUCUGAGUUCUCCAUGGCGAACCUCAGCUCGCUCCACCACUUCCUUGGCGUCAAUGUUCAGUGCAGCCCCACUGGUUUGUUUCUUUCCGAGCAACAGUAUGCGCUCGAGAUCCUUGAUCGCGCCUCCAUGCUCAACUGCAAACCCAUCACUACCCCCGUCGACACCAAAGCAAAGCUCGCCACCUCGCCACCUCAGCUAACGACUCUGCUCCUGACCCAUCCCUCUUCCAUAGUCUCGCCGGUGCCCUGCAGUACCUCACGCUCAUGCGCCCGGACAUAGCCUACACCGUCCAGCAGGUGUGCCUCGUCAUGCACUCGCCGCGCAUGCUACACGCCGCCCUCCUCAAAUGUAUCAUGCGUUAUCUGCGUGGUACCACCCACCUUGGCCUUCAUAUUCGUCUGUCUGCUUCAUCCCAGCUCAUGUCUUACACAGACGCCGACUGGGCCGGUUGUCCCGACACCGUACCUGACGCUCGAUGUCUGGCUACUACAUGUACAUCGGUGACAACCUCGUCUCCUGGUCUUCGAAGCGACAAACCACCUUGUCGCGAUCGAGUGCGGAGGCAGAGUACCGAGCUGUCGCCAACGCGGUCACGGAGUCGUGUUGGCUACGAAGCUUCUUCAGGAUAUCGGAUGGCCUCCAUGGUGCUACCACUGUUUACUGAGACAACGUAUCGGUGACUGAAGGAAAUAUGCCCUAGAGGCAAUAAUAAAGUUAUUAUUUAUUUCCUUAUAUCAUGAUAAAUGUUUAUUAUUCAUUCUAGAAUUGUAUUAACGGAAACAUAAUACAUGUGUGAAUACAUAGACAAACAGAGUGUCACUAGUAUGCCUCUACUUGACUAGCUCGUUGAUCAAAGAUGGUUAUGUUUCCUAACCAUAGACAUGAGUUGUCAUUUGAUUAACGGGAUCACAUCAUUAGGAGAAUGAUGUGAUUGACUUGACCCAUUCCGUUAGCAUAGCACUUGAUCGUUUAGUUUGUUGUUAUUGCUUUCUUCAUGACUUAUACAUGUUCCUAUGAUUAUGAGAUUAUGCAACUCCCGUUUACCAGAGGAACACUUUGUGUGCUACCAAACGUCACAACGUAACUGGGUGAUUAUAAAGGUGCUCUACAGGUGUCUCCGAAGGUACUUGUUGGGUUGGCGUAUUUCGAGAUUAGGAUUUGUCACUCCGAUUGUCGGAGAGGUAUCUCUAGGCCCUAUCGGUAAUGCACAUCACUUAAGCCUUGCAAGCAUUGCAACUAAUGAGUUAGUUGCGGGAUGAUGUUUUACGGAACGAGUAAAGAGACUUGCCGGUAACGAGAUUGAACUAGGUAUUGAGAUACCGACGAUCGAAUCUCGGACAAGUAACAUACCGAUGACAAAGGAAAUAACGUAUGUUGUUAUGCGGUCUGACCGAUAAAGAUCUUCGUAGAAUAUGUGGGAGCCAAUAUGAGCAUCCAGGUUCCGCUAUUGGUUAUUGACCGGAGACAUGUCUCGGUCAUGUCUACAUAGUUCUCGAACCUGUAGGGUCCGCACGCUUAAAGUUUCGGUGACGAUUGUAUUAUGAGUUUAUGUGAUUUGAUGUACCGAAGGUAGUUUGGAGUCCCGGAUGAGAUCGGGGACAUGACGAGGAGUCUCAAAAUGGUCGAGACGUAAAGAUCGAUAUAUUGGACGACUAUAUUCGGACAUCGGAAAGGUUCCGAGUGAUUCGGGUAUUUUCGGGAGUACCGGGAGUUACGGGAAUACGAGGAAGAAGUAAUGGGCCUCAUGGACCAAGUGGUGGAAGAGAGGAGGCAGGGCGCGCGGCCCUCCUAGCCCAAACCGAAUUGGACUAGGGGGCCGGCCCCCCUUUCCUCCUUUUCCUCCUUCUCCUUCCUUCUCCUUCUCCUCCUUCCUUUCCUCCUCCUAGUAGGAGUAGGAAAGGGGAGUCCUACUCCUACUAGGAGGAGGACUCCUCCUCCUGGCGCGCCCAUAGAGGGCCGGUCGGCCUCCCCCCUUGCUCCUUUAUAUACAGGGGCAGGGGGGCACCUCUAGACACACAAGUUGAUCUUCGUGAUCGUUCCUUAGCCGUGUGUGGUGCCCCCUUCCACCAUAUUCCACCUCGGUCAUAUCGUAGCGGUGCUUAGGCGAAGCCCUGCGUCAGUAGAACAUCAUCACCGUCAUCACGCCGUCGUGCUGACGAAACUCUCCCUCAACACUCGGCUGGAUCGGAGCUCGAGGGACGUCACCGAGUUGAACGUGUGAGAACUCGGAGGUGCCGUACGUUCGGUACUUGGAUCGGUCGGAUCGGGAAGACGUACGACUACUUCCUCUACGUUGUGUCAACACUUCCGUUGCUGGUCUACGAGGGUACGUAGACGACACUCUCCCCUCUUAUUGCUAUGCAUCACCAUGUUCUUGCGUGUGCGUAGGAAAUUUUUUGAAAUUACUACGUUAUCCAACAAUGACGUACCUCUCCACCAACCCGGUACAACACCAACGCACCAAGCACGUGGAGAUUGAUCUUCAUUUCGUGCGCGACCGCGUUGUCUUCGGAGAUGUUCGUGUUCUGCAUGUUCCGGCAACCUCCCAGUUUGCCGACGUUUUCACCAAGGGGAUACCAACCGGCGUCUUGACAGAGUUCCGGUCCAGCCUCAAUGUCGUCGAAGACCCCGUUGCGGCUGUGGGGGGCUGCUGGAAUUGUAAAACGCCUCCUGCAUGUACAUUACCGGGUCCCUCGGCUGGACAGAUCGGCUCGCGCAAGUAGCAUGGGACACCUGCGUCUGUUACACACGAUCCCCUUCUCCGUUGCUUGUAGCUGCUGUACCUAGGCGUAUAUAUAUAACUCUGUACAAUCUGGAAUAGACACGGUGAAGAUCACCUUUCAACUGUUCGCACUGUGCGGCCAAACCUUGUUUGGCUGGGACUGACAAAUGAAAAUGAUGCACCCGAGCACAUCCAGAAGGAUCUGAACGCUCGCAGUCCAAACCAGCUUAUCGGCAUUGGUACAGAGUUGAGGCAAAACCGAGCAGUGAAGCAAGCUCCAGCAUUUUCAACAUGAAGGAAACGAAAAAGACGAAACAGGCUCCAACAUUCUCGUCAAAAAAGAUAAGAAAAGGAAAAAAGAAACAGGCUCCAGCAUUCUUGACACAAAAGAAAUGAAGAAGGAAAACGAAACAGGCUCAGGCAUUCUUGACACAAAAGAAAAGAAAAAGGAAAAGGAGAAAGGCUCCAAUAUUCUUGACAAAAUAGAGAAGCAAAAGAAAAAGGAAUCAGGCACAAGCAUCCUCGACACAGAAGAAAAGAAAAGGGAAAAGGAAAUUGGAUCCAGCAUUCUCGAUAAAAAGGAAGAGAAACAGGAAACAGGUUCAACCAUUCUCGACAAAAAGGAAAAGAAAAAGAAAACAGGCUCCGACAUUUUGGACAAAAGAGAAAAGAACAAGGAAACGAAAACAGGCUCCAGCAUUGAUCUCGACAAGAAAGAAAAGAAAAAAAUUUGAAAAGCAAGCUCCGUCAGAACGGUAACAGUAGCACCAAUGCUAAAGAAGAGCAAAUUGAACAGUAGCACCAAGGUGAAGGAAGCUCAAGACCGAUGAGAUGUCCUGGUUUCUAUAUAUCCAAUUAAUAUACCAUAUUUUAAUUAUUGUAACAAUAUGAUUGUAUUUUUUGUGAUGUAAUGAGUCGUUUGAUUCGAACCUCUGUUUGUUCAGUUUCUGCUUGCUGCUGUUGUAAUCACAAACCGUCAUGUCAAAUAAAUGGAGUGAAUAGCAAAAAACUACCAUAUUACGGGCUAUCGUUCCGGAAAACUAUCGCUUGUUUUAAUUUUUCAAAAAACUACCACAAAAGUGGCUGGCUGUUCCAAAAAACCCAAGUGGCCGAACGGUUAAGUUUUAACUGGGGUUAUGACAUGUGGGGCCCGCCCGUCAGGGUUUUGUCGGCCACAGUGCUCACGGCGCGCGGGUGACGGCCGUUAGGGCGCACGGCCCGUCCCGACGAGGUCAAAAUGGAUCCGGCCCUCACUCUGUCUCCCUCUCGCUCACUCACUCUCUCCCCCCUCACUCUCACUCUCCCCCCUCGCUCUGUUUCCCCUGGCCGAGCUCUCCAUCGUCGCUGACCACCUCAGUUCCUCGUCGCCGGCCAGGAUGCCUUCUUGGAAUGAUGGGGAUGAGAGCUCCGACGAUAGCAUGGGGGGCAACCUGAUGGACAUGGAGUACUUUGUAAGCCUCAUCGUCCUCCUCUCUGUCAUUAUCUAGGGUUAGGGUUGAAUCGAUUUGGGAAUGAGGGUUGAUGAGCUGUAUAUUUGUAUGCAUGGAUUCAUUUGGUUUGGUUAUCUAUUAGUUUUGAUCUAGGGUAUGGAUGGCACUGUGAUGUCUGAUCUGACCUUGAGCAAGGCAAAGCUUGACUCAAGUUGAACUAGUUGAUGCAUUGGUUCUGAUCUACCUUUUACUGCAUGUAGGACACACCUGACACCAUCCCUGAGCCACUCUGGUGUGGUGCUCCCAUGGAGGAAGUUGCCAAGUGUACUCUGCAUGAUAUGAAGCCUAGGAAGUGUGUUGCUUUUGAAGGUGCUAAGACUGGGAGGAGGUUCUAUGGAUGCCCUGUUCAGGUGAGUAAUUGAGUAUCCUGGGUGGAUUCAGUUAUGCCUAGUGGAUUCAGUUAUUCCUAGUGGUUACUGAAUUUGUACAUUAACUCUAUUUGAACUGAAUUUAGUACUGAAUUUAUGGUUACAUGUCCUCCUUGUGUACCAACCCUCUUUUUGAAUUGAAGUUAGAACUGAAUUUCUGCAUUUUCUGAAGUAUGUGUUCUCUGAUCAAACUACAGGGAGGUGUGAAUUGUGGUGUAGUUCAGUGGGUUGAUCCUGCCUGGCCUGAUGUACUUAAGAACUGCCUCAUCAAGUUGUGGGAAAUGUUCCAUGAGCAAAACCUUGGAAGGUUUCAAGACAAGCAUGCAUAUGAGGAUGAGGUUGCCAAGUUGAAGAAGGACUAUGAUCUGCUCUGCACUGAGUAUCAUAAAAUGGUUGAUGAUGUUAGCAAGAUGUUUGACUGGCAUGAUGGUGUUGGCAAGAUUGACUACCAAAAAGCAAUGGAUGCUGGGAAAUUUGAGAAGCAGAAGGAAGAGCUAGAGCUGGAGAUGAAGAUGGAGAAGCUAAGGCUAGCAAAAGAACAGAGGUGUAUCCUUCAGGCCCAGGCAGACAUAAUUCACAACACCAGGAAGGCAAUGAAAGAGAUAAAGGUGGACAGGGAUCUUUUUGCACAAGAGAAGACAAAGCUUGAGAAAGUAGUUGCUGAUCUGCUAAAUGCUGGCCAUGGGAGCAAGGAAAAGCUUGAGAAAAUCAAGGCCAUACUGGAGGCUUGAAGAUUUGGACAAUGGUGGUUAAGUAAGUAAGGUGGCCUACACAUAUAACAGGCCUUGCAAGAUGAUGGUAGGAGUAUAUUUUGUGCAGUCCUAUAUGAACUAUUUAAGUUAUGGUAACUAGAGUGGUGGAGAACCUUUGCUAAGUCUGGCUUAUGUUAUUGUACUGUUAAGAACCUAUCUAUCUUAAGUAAUGCAGUGAAGAACUGUUUUAUUUCUUUAGGUUGUUUUCCUGAAAGUAGCAAUGCUGAACUAGUAUAUUUUUGGGCCUAAAACCAUUAUGUACACAUUGUGGGCCUAGACUGGGCUGUUUUAUUACUCCACCUACCUACCACCAACCAUUAGUAGUCUAUAAAGCCCACCCCUUGAGUGAAACCGCAGUCAAUCCCCCCAUCCCCACCCUUCUCAACCCCCCAGCCGCCAAAGAAACCCUAGAAUCCAAGGGAGAGAUGGAUCCUGGAGAGGUCAUAGAUGGAGAAGAAGAGGUGCCCAGACAAGCCAGGCGCAGAGAUGCAAGGAGGAGGGCGAGAAGGCAACUUGCUGAGAUGAUCCUUGCAACACGCAACCGCAAGGACAUAAAGCAGUUCCUGGAGGCAUUCCCCCCUGGUUCCAACCCUAGUGAUGAUGAUAUCAUCUACUGGGCAAGGAGGAGGGCAAAUUUCCAUCCCUUUUAGGUCACUAGGCAAAGGUGGACUAGGAUUUUGUACCCAUGAUGCUGCUGUUAUGUUUCUUUGUUCCUAGAUCUGUCUUUCUAUCUAUGUGAUGUUUGAAGUUGGUGUAAGAACAAUGUUGAAUGAGCUAUGUAUGUGACGAAUCAAGUUGUCCAUGAUGCAAUGCAAUGUAUGAAGCUGGUGAAAGAAAAAUGUUGAAUGAUCUAUCUAUGUGAUGAAUCAAUCUGUCUAUGAUGCAAUUUAUGAGUGAAUCUUUUAUCUAUAUUUGUAUGUAUGAAUGAAUUGAUCUGGUGAUCUUGAUGUUUUAAGUUAGAUAUGUUAUGGUUUGUUCAGAUGGCCAUAUCUUGUUGUUUUAGGUUUGAUCUCUUAGGGUUUGGUGCCUAGAUGGGAAAAUCUUGAUGUUUUAGCUUUGAUAUGUUAGGUUUUGGUCCUAGAUAGCCACUUUGGGGUUGGUCAACAAGUAGCCACCCAAAGUGGCCAAAUUUGGGUGGCUUUAGGGUUGGUCGACAAGUUCCACCCCAAAGUGGCCAAAUGUGGCCACUUUGGGGUUGGUCGACAAGUAGCCCCCCAAAGUGACCAAAUUGACCUAAUCAUAUCAAUCAAUUAUCAACAAAAUAAAUCACUUGAUCUACAUAACAAUGCUCAGCAUAAGAAAUAAUUUCAUAUGAAACAAUUCAUAACCUAGGACAUAUCAAAUCAAAAUAAAGCUUGACAACAGAUAACUUAAUUGUUCCAAGCAGUUCAAACACAGACCAUAUAACUUAAUUGUUCCAAGCAGUUCAUACAUAGACCACAUAACUUAAUUGUUCAAAUGAAAAAAAAGUUCACUGCAAAUAACACAGAUAGCAAGCAUGCCUAGCAAGUAGAGUUCAAGGCAUAAAGCAUAGUUGAGUGCAACACAUUCAAUGGUUGCCACUGGCUGUGAAAUACAAAGCAAGUUUGCUUGGGGCCUUCCUCUUCCUCUUAGAACCAACAUCAGCUUGACCUGAUGUUGAUGCUGCCCUUGGAGCAUUGAAACCUCUUGCACUUGACCUGGUGUUCUUUACUGGAGAUGAUGCACUUGACCUGGUGUUGUUGGCUGGUGCUGAAGCAGGUGGUGGGUUCUUUCUCUUUCUUGAUCCACCUGUUGAAACUGCAGUAGAUGUGGUUGCCCUUGUUGUAGCAGAUGUGGUUGACCUUGUUGAAGUUGUUGCUAGUUUCCUGCCCCUAAGUGGUCCUAAAGCUGGAGCUGGACCUGAAGCUGGAGCUGGACUUGAAGCUGGAGCUGGACCUGAUGAUGUGGCCUGGUGGUUGUUUUUCCUUGUCAUAAACUUGGCCUUAAGUCCGUCUCCAUAGAUUGUCCACCUGUGGCCUUGCAGACCACAGUUACUGCAUGUUAUUGUGCCCAUCCUUGAUGUAUCCUUUGGAGCUGGCACCUCAAAUUCACCCUUUCUCCUAGCUGUCUGCUUCUUGCCUUUCUUCUCCCUGAAAACUGGUGGUUCUAUGUCUGGUGUGUUGGUGUUGGGCCAGAAUUCAGGGCCAGGGACAGGGUAGAUGAUGUGCUGGUAUGCAGCCUUAUACAUUGGCUUCUUAAAGAAUGGAUGCACAUAAUCUUCUGGGUGAACUUUUAUCUUCUGCAUUGCAGAUAUUGCAUGGUGGCAAGGUGAUCCAGUCAUGUCCCACCUCCUGCAAGAGCAGCUCCCUACAUCAAGCUUCACACAAUAUGUGUUCUCUCCACUAGUUACUUGCCAGAUGUUGGGACCAGCCAUGUUUGCUUCACAGUAUUUAGCCCACUUCUUGCUCUCCUCAAGCUUCUCCAUGUAAUCUGGGGUUAUUUCCCACCUACAGCUCUCUGUUUUCUCUCUGAUGCCCUGGUACUUAACCAUUAGUUUGGUCCUCAACCCUUCAAACAUGGUCUUAAUUAGUUUUGACCUAACAUCUAGAAUCAUUUUUUUGAAAACCUCACUAAGGUUGUUCACUACCAAGUCAGUCUUGCACACAUGAUCCAUUGCAUAUCUAGCCCAACACUCCUUAGGGAUGCCAUUCAACCACAUGUAGGCUGGUUCACAUGCUGCUUUCAAACCUGCCAUUCCUUCUUUGUGACCAUGUUUAGUGAAGGAAUAGCUAGCUUUGUCAACCCAUUUCUUAAGUUCUUCUGCUCUAAAGCCAGCUGACUGGAAGUUGGCAUAUAUGUGUCUUAGGCAAUAUCUUUGUGGGGAUUGAGGAAAUACUUCAUUAAUUGCUUUAAGAAGGCCCUGUUGUUUGAUUACAUAAGGUAGUAAUGAGAUAACUAUAGCAGCAUUGCUAUGUGCAUAAGAAUAAUACAGAGCCAGAGAAAAUACCUUCUGCCUGUCAGACAUGAUGGUGUAGUUUCCAAACUGGUUGCUGGUGCCAAUGCAGACUCUAAGUUGGUUUAAAAACCAGGUCCAGCUAGGCCCAUCCUCUUUGUCAACCACCCCAAAAGCAAUUGGGAACACAUUGUUGUUCCCAUCUCUCCCAGUUGCUACCAAUAUCUGUUGGCCUGUGGAUAACUUGAUGAAGCAACCAUCAAGUCUUGCAUAAACAGAGAUAGUUAGGGCAAAAUUGAAUAACUUGAUUACAUUUGUAACAUGAUUAAAUCACUGAUUUGUACCUAUGAAAGGCCUACAACCAGCAAGAAAUCCAUCUUUUGAUGCCUGGAGGCAAUAGAACAUGUACUUGAACCUUGGUGUGGGGGCUGGGUUCAAAGGAUCCUCAAAAGUUGUCACUAUGCACCUGCUUCCAGGGUUUGUGUCAAGCACACAUUGUAGGUAGUCCCUCAACCUCAGAUACUGCUUUCUAUGAUCACCUUGCACAACAUCAACAGCCAUCAGUCUUGCCCUAUAUGCCAAACUCCUAGGUACAUGCACCCCAAACUUCUUCUUAGUAUGUUUGAGAACUGUCUCUACAUCAGCCUUUACAUUUGAUCUAACUGUGUCCUCCACAGCUUCUGCAACCCAUUCAGCAGUAACCUUUGUACUCUCUCCACAAGCUCCACAACUAUGAUCCAUGUGGCACUUCUUGAUUGUGAAUGUAUCUUCAUGGGCUACUUUGGAUGCAGUCAUGAAAAAAUCACAUCCAUUCUUCCUCUCUGGGCACCAAACAAUAACCCUUGAUGGUUCAUUCCUAUGGUACUGAAAGUUUCUCAAAGUCCUAACAUGAAAAUUUCUCAAUGCCUUUCUAAACUCAUACACAUUGGUGAAGCAAAGGUCCUUGCACAGCUGCUCAUGUGCAUCAGGUACCUUUGGGUCAUACCAUUUCCUCUCUUUCUUCUUCUUCAAUCUUCUCUUCCUUCCAGAAGGUAGUCUUGGAGUCUCCCCAUCUGAGUCAGAAAUGCCCAUAUCACCAGGGAAGCAAUACUCAUCAGCUUCAAGUACAAAAUCUUGAAACUUUGGGAUCUCUGGCUGACUGUGAGCUCUGGAAGUUGGACCUGGAUUUGCUACUGCUCUUCUCACAGGCUUGAGUUUCUCAGGCCUGCAUUUUUCCACAACUAUUUCCUCUCCACUGUCUGCCUCUUUCUCCUCCUGCCAAAACUCUGAAACAUCACUGUCACCUUCAAACUGUGGUCUGUCUUCUAUAGCAUCUCUUUCUUCUUCAUUUCCAAUAUUUUCUUCACCUCUCUUCCAAGCCUUGUAAGACAUCUUUAUCCCUCUAUAGUCACCCCUAUCAAUCUCAAAGUCUGAGGAUGAUUUGUCAAUAUCAUCAUCCUCUUGACCAGCAGCCUGUCCAUCAUCAUCUCCACCAUUAGCUUCUGAAAUGUUGAAGUUACAGCUUUGCUGUGUGUUCAAAUUAACUUCAAGAGGGUGGACCACUCCAUCUUGUGACAGACUUAACACAAAACCAGGACCCCCCAGUGGGUUGCCUAUUGGAAUUUGUUCUUCACAAACAUUGUGAGCCCUGUUACAUUCAACAUCUCUAUCUUCAUUUGCCUUGGAAACAAUGAUAUUGAGCACUGUGAAAUCUAAGUGGUCUAUCAUUUCUUCAACUGCAUCUUGACUGUCCAAAAGAAAUAAACCUUCCUGUCCAAUCCCUUGUUCUUUUACCCAGUACAUGUAGUCAUCUGACCCAUAGCCUUCAGUCUCAGUAAGUGCUAUCAAGUUCAGAAAUGUGAUGUCUGAAACAGAAAACCUCCUUUCCAUAUUAUCUCUGCCCUGGAAAUGCAGCCUAACAUCCCAAACUUCAUCAUCUAGCCUGCAUUACAUAAUAUGUUAUUUGAAAAGCCCAACUAAGUAAGUGUUUUUGCUACAAAUAUUCAGUGCACACUACUAUAAAGUACAGUAAGGAAUCUGAAUCCAAAAAAUGCUUCUCUGAAUCCACCAUGCAUUUCUACUAAAUCUAACUAAUCCUUCAGUGCUAAGUGAUACUGUUGCAUCCAAAACAUGCCACAGAGUGUUUGCUCAACUAUUAUUCAGUGCAUGUUCAUGUUCUAAGAUGAAUCACAGCAGCAUCAACCUAGGGUUUGGUCAAAAAACUAACUAAAUUAUGCUAUGUUAUUUGAAAUGAACAAGCAGAAAUGCAGAAACUGUUGAAGGAGCUCAUAAGAGGAAAAAAACUUACUCCACCCCUCCAAAUGCAGAGGCCCAGUGCUGGGAGUUGGCCGGAUCUGCCUGCACAGCCCUAUCAAGAGACCUCGCUGCUCUGUACUCAAGCGAGAACUGGCAAUCAUCAGGCGACGGUGGUGUAGCCUGUGUCGUAGGAGCCUGCAUCAGAGCUGCAGCCUGUGGUGUCCGCUGCGGCGGCGGCGGCGCCGCCGGCUAGGUUGCGAAGCUACCACUCCCCAGCCAGUUAUCAACCUCUAAGAACUCGCCGCCUCCAUCCCCCCUUCCACCUCCACCCGUUGAAUGGCCGCCAUCGCCUAGUUUCGCCGCCGCCGCCGCCAUCGGAGAGGGAGGCGCGCACAAGAGAGAGGGAGACAGAGAGGGGGAAGACAGAGUGAGGGCGGGCCGGAUCCAUUUGACUUGGUCGGGACGGCCCGUGUGCCCUAACGGCCGUCACCCGCGCGCCGUGAGCACUGUGGCCGACAAAACCCUGACGGGCGGGCCCCACAUGUCAUAACCCCAGUUAAAACUUAACCGUUCGGCCACUUGGGUUUUUUGGAACAGCCAGCCACUUUUGUGGUAGUUUUUUGAAAAAUUAAAAAAAGCGGUAGUUUUCCGGAACGAUAGCCUGUAAUGUGGUAGUUUUUUGCUAUUUACUCCAAAUAAAUGCUUAAAAAGAGUGCAUCUAAUGGAGUAGUACAAAAUGGUAAAGAAAAUAAAUCAGCCACUAAUGGAGUAACAAAGGUGAUAGCACGGAGUUUGGUAGGCACCGACAAUGAGUAAGCAGGCUGAGGCCACCGGUGCACGAAGAGGAUCAGAAGCGCUGGUUGGGGCUGUGGUUUGGGGCGGCUGCGAUGAAACUUCUUAUUCAACGCUUAUAGCACCGUUUACAGUGUUAUCGGUACCUUUUUUUUGAGGGAAAGAGCCAACUUUAUUAAUCAAAAUCCACAGUGCGUGGGACACAACGAUGGUCAUGGGGCUGGCCAAGCCACACAUGACGCCCUGGUGGUAGCGAUAAAGAAAACCUAGCUAUCUCGUGAGCUUCAGCAUUCUGAGCUCGACUCUCAAAGGUGAAAUUACAUAAAAGUGGUGAUGAGCUCAUCUUUAUCUCUCUGAUUAUAGCUCCAUAAGUGCCAUGACUACCCAUAGCAAUGUCGCCAAUGACUUGUUUGCAGUCCGAAGCCACCACAAAACGUUGCACAUUAAGAUCUUGUGCUAGGGAAAUAGCCUCCCGACAUGCUAUGGCCUCCAGUGUCGCGGGGUCGCAAACUCCGACAAUGACAAGUGAUGAGCUCCCCAUAUAGACACCCUGGCUGUCACUGCAUAUGGCCGCGGCCGUGCCACCCCUCUGAAAUCUUACUGCCACGUCAACAUGAACCUUAGCAUAGCCAGCAGGUGGAGCCUUCAGCCUCUGAGUAGAAGCGUGGCCAGUAGCUGCAGAACGUACGUUGAUCUUUGCAGGGAGUGAGGCAGUAGCCAAAUCAGCCAUGAAGCGAGUUAUAAACUCCUUCGUCGCCCUGGGUGAUUGGAAUAUUGAUUCAUGGAUAGCUUUUCUCCUCGAGGUCCAGAUCGCCCAUAAGGUGACCGCCAGCAGAGUGAACUUCUCAUGUGUUAGCAUAUCCAUUAAUCCAAAGAGCCAGCUCUUCGCCCUCGUCUCCGUUGAUGCGACCAGACUGCAGCCCAAGUCCUCAUCUACCAACGCCCAUAUGCAUCUGGAGACUGUGCACUCCAGGAGGGAAUGACUCCAUGAAUCAGGAGAACCGCAGAGGCCGCACGAGCUAGUCGUUGACAUAUUACGAUGGGCCCUCACAUCCUCCGUCGGUAGUGACUGUUUUGAUAAACGCCAUAGAAACAUGCGUACUUUUGCUGGUACCACAGUUUUCCAGAGGGACUUCCAAGAGGCUUCAUCGACAUGGUUGCUGGAUGAUGCGCCGGAGCCCUCUAGCCACGCCUCUCGCCGUUGCUUCAUAGAUACCAACAUAUUAUAGGCUGACCUGACUGUGAAUUGUCCGGUUCUCUCGUGCAUCCAGCUCCAAAAGUCCUGCAUAGGAGCCGUACACAACGGGAUACCCAUGAUGAUUUUAGCAUCGAAAGGCAAGAAAGUUGCUUCCACCACAGAUCUCUUCCAUGAAGCAUUAGUUGCAUCGAUCAGUUCAGAUACUGUGUUGGGAGGAUUACUUACGCAACAACCAUACGGUCUCAUCAUCUCUGACCGGGGAAGCCAGUUUUCGGUCCAAAUGCUGGUGCUCGCCCCAUCUCCUAUCCGCUUGAUCAGUCCCAAUUUAAGAAUAUCCCGGCCUUCCACUAUGGCUCUCCAUAUCUGACUUGGAUGGUUCCCAAGUGUUGCCUCAAGUAUAGAUGUAUGUGGAAAAUAUACGCUCUUCAGAAUCCGUGCACUCAGAGACUCGGGGUCUUGUAACAUUCUCCAUGCCUGCCUGGCUAACAUGGCAAGAUUGAAAAGCUCAAAAUCUUUGAAUCCAAGGCCUCCCAUGCUUUUUGGUUGUGUCAUUGCUUCCCAAGAGACCCAGUGAGGUUUGCGUUGGCCGUUUGAGCUCCCCCACCAAAAUUUCCUUAUUAGCAUAUUGAGGUGCUCACAUAACCCCCUAGGUAGUUUGAAACAAGACAUGGAAAAUACCGGCACUGACUGGGCAACAGAUUUGACUAGUACCUCUUUUCCUGCCGCCGACAAAGUUCUCUCUAUCCAUCCCUGAAUUUUGCUCCAUAAUCUGUCCUUCAAAUAUUUGAAGGCACCGUUUUUUGAACUCCCUAUAUCAGAUGGCAUGCCCAGAUACUUCUCAUUCAAGGUUUCCUUGGGGACAUUGAACAUACCUUUUAUAGCAUUGCGAGUUUCCUCAGAAACGCCUUUACUAAAGAAAAUUGAGGAUUUGUUGUAGUUGAUUCUUUGACCUGAAGCUUGGCUAUAAAUUUCCAACAACUGGUUAACCUCUGUAGCACCCGCACUGUUGGCCUUGAAGAACAGCAGGCUGUCAUCAGCGAAUAGAAGAUGGUUAACUAGUGGUGCCUGCAGCGCCACCUGAAUCCCACCCAAGUUUGAUGACUCACUUUGUGAUUUGAAAAGGCACGACAUGCCCUCUGCUGCUAACAAGAACAAGUACGGUGAUAUUGGGUCACCUUGUCGGAUUCCACGUGAUGGGUUGAACUCCUCAAGUUUCUUUCCAUUGAACAUGACUGCGAAUUUUACUGAGGUAACCAUGCCCAUUACAAUAUCCACCCACCUUCUGUUAAAACCCAAUAUAAUCAUGAUGGCUUAGAGAUAAGCCCAUUCAACUCGAUCAUACGCCUUCAUCAUAUCCAAUUUCAGAGCACAUGAGUGAUUUUUCUUUUCCUUGUUCCUCUUCAUGAAAUGCAAUCACUCAUAUGCCGUUAUUAUGUUGUCUGUGAUCAAUCUCCCCGGAACAAAGGCUGAUUGUUCAGCAGAAAUUAUAUCUGGCAGUAUCUGUUUGAGUCUGUUGGAGAUUACCUUGGACGCUAUUUUAUAGAGCACGUUACAUAAACUUAUGGGCCGAAACUGGGCAAGGAGUGUGGGGUUUUUGACCUUGGGGAUGAGAACCAGCACCGUAUUGUUAAUGCAUGCUGCUGACUCUGUCCCGUCCACAAUUUUGAGUACCACUUUCGUUACAUCUGCACCGCAUACAUCCCAGUGGCGCUGAAAGAAGUGAGCGGGGAAUCCAUCCGGGCCAGGGGCUUUGAUUGGAAACAUUUGGAACAACACACUUUUCACUUCAUCGUGUGUGUAAGGAGCAUUCAGACGAUCGUUCAUUGCCUGCGUUACUUUAGUAGAUACUGACUCCAGUACCCUAUCCAUGCCCUGUACUCCCUCGGUUGUGUAUAAGUUUUUGUAAAAUUCGGUGGUAAGCUCCUCCAUCUCCUCCCUGUCCUCGGUCAGCUAUCCAUCCGAUCGCUGCAACAAUUUUAUCUGGUUCUUCCGGCGGCGGCGGCUCGCUCGCAGGUGAAAAGAAUAAGUGUUUUUGUCACCAUGGACCAGCCAAUCCAGUCGAGCGCGUUGGCGCCACAUCAAUUCCUCUCUAUCAAACAGUUCGACCAGUCUGUCAGCUAUCUUGGUUUCAGUGUUUGUCGGUCCCGUCCGUCCUGGCGCUGAACGCAUGACCUCAAGCUGGCGUUGGAGUUGGCGAAUCUCCAUACGCACCGAUCCGAAGUUGUUGCGGUCCCACGCUGACAAAUCUCCCGCCAGGUUCCCUAGUUUUGCAUGUAUGCCCUCAACCGAUUCUCCAUCCUGCAGACUCCAGCUAUCACGCACAGUGUCAAACAGUGUUUCGUCCCUUUCCCACAUCGUCUCAUAUUUAAAAGCCUUGUGGCCCAUUUUGCAUGCAUGCAACUCACGUAGCUGAAGAAGAAUAGGAAUGUGAUCUGAACUAGCAGCACUUUUGUGCGAUAGCUGUGAUGAUGCGAGGGCGAGAGUCCAUUCUGUAUUUACCAGGCACCUGUCCAGCCUAACCUGGGUGUAGGUGCCUCCUGUGACCCUUUUUUCAAAUGUCCAACUAGUGCCAGAGUAUCCAAUAUCUGAUAACCCACAUGUAUCAACUGCUUCCCUGAAUGCUUCUAUUUGGGCUUGGCUUCGUUGUCCCACACCAUCAUGUUCAUGGCUGUGAAGAACCUCAUUAAAAUCUUCCAUGACUGCCCACGGUCUGUUCUGCGUCUCAGCAAUACCGCGCAGGGUGUCCCAUGUUUUGUAUCUCUCUGGUACCUGGGCUUCGCCAUAGACAAAGGUAAUUCUUACCUGCAAAUCAACUAAGUCAUCAACAAGAAUAUCAAUGUGAUACUUUGAGUAAUCGAUAACUUCCACUUUUAUUUCAUCGUUCCAAAAAAUUCCAAGUCCACCACUUCUACCGGAACUACUAACUGCAAAGCUUUUAUUGUAGCCUAUGCUAUCAGCCAUACUCUCAACCCUCUUUCCCUCUAUUUGAGUUUCAAGAAUACAAACAAUAGAGGGGGCAAACUGCCUCGCUAGAUCGUGAAGCUCUCUAACUGUCGCGGCUUUGCCAAUCCCGCGAAAGUUCCAGCAAAGAAGACUCAUUGCGCUAGGCGCGGCCCCGCUUCGGAGCCCGCCACAUGCGCAUCAGGGUUUUUGGUAGAAACUGUGCUCUUCUCCAGAGCUGACUCAUUAGACGAGGUUGACUUCAAUCUUUUCAGAUCCUGCUUGGGAGGAGGGCUAAGGGGCACCGCAGGUGAUGGCAGAAACAGUUGCUUCGUCUGUUGUACCGAAUAGGUUGGGAACGUGGUUUUUGGAUCAUGUGCCCCUCUCUUCCUGUUGCGAUCAACCUCAGUCAUUGCUACAUCUCCGUCUCGCUGAUCACGUUCCUGGUGAUGUUGAUCAUCAAACGAGUCUGCACUAUUGGGCGAUCGUCCUCUUCCUCUUCCCCCACGGCCUCUGCCGCGACCUCUCCCUGCAUUGCUGCUCUCGCCUUGAUAUCUUUGAAGACCAGAGUCUUUGGGGCAUGAACCCCGUCCCCGCACUCUUUGUGUUGGUGACCUAGAUGUCCACAAACUGCACACCAGUCCGGCAGUCUUUCAUAUUUGACUCUAAAGAUGACUCGUUCCACCGAAUCCUUUUUCCUUAUUACCAGUGAAACAACGUUCUUCAAAGGUUUAGUGACAUCGAUCCUGACUCAAACUCUAGCAAAGUUACCUUCAAAAUCCGGGGAUCUAGGCUCUGCAUAUAUGAAUUCUCCCAUAGUAGCAGACAUAGCUUUGACCUUAGAAAAGAAGCCAUCGGGCAGGUCGUGAAUCUGGAUCCAAAUUUCCAAUUUGUUGAGCUCUAUAGACGACGGCUUUGUGAAGCCAUCAUACUCUGCCAGAACUACUGCUUUCCCCUUGAAAUUCCAGGGGCCAUCUCCCAUAACCCUCUCCCAGUCACCCAGGCACGAGAAUUGCAUUGAGUACAGAUUAUCUUCCAGUGGUCUGAUCUUUACCUCUUGAGCUAGGUCCCAGGCCACUCUCAUAUUCCUAUAAAACCAAUAUUGGCUGUAUGUUUUCUCCGUGUGAACCCUAGCCAACGCCAUCCAGCGUGUUUCUUCCUUCGGCAGCUCGGUGUCUUCCACCACAACAUCAAUCAGAUCAUCUUCUUUCAGUCCAAGUUCCUCCAUCAUCGCAGCCAGAUUGGACGCAGUUGUACUUGAUCCAGAUGCAGUCGAACUCAUCAUGCGCUCGCUCGAGGUUAGGGUUCCGCGAGCGGUAGGUCCCAAGGAGUCACCACCCGCCCAGAACGCCGCGGCGGCCGAAGGCCACAGCGAUCGCCGGAAGGGGGUUAACAUCCGGGGAGGAAAAGUCCCUACGGUGUCGGCGUCGCCGUCGCUCGAGGGAAGAGAAAAACCCUAACGAGAGGGGAAACUUAGGAGGGAGAUUAGUGUUAUCGGUACCUGCCGCCCACACUACUUUAGAUAGCUAAUUGUAACUGGGCUGGCCCAUAUGUGUGAGCCCUCCUCCAUUACCGGUUGUGAAGGAAUUUCCUAUUCAACGCUUAUACCAUUUGUUAUAGUGUUUUCCUUUUGUUACAGUGUUAUCCGGGGACCUCCUACUUGGUCACCUGCGCGCAAAGUAGGAGGGAACGUGCACCCUUGGCUCCCAUGUAAGAGUUUUUCCCGCCCUAUUUUUAUUAUUUCAUUUUUAUGCCUUUUGUUUUUUCAUUUCUGUUUGUGUUUUUCUUCUUUAAAUAAUGUGUGGUUAAAAAAAUUCCCAAUUUCAAAACAAUACCAAAAUUGUUUGACAAAUCAGGAAAUAUUUGUGAAUUAAAAAUUGUUGAUGACUCUUCACUUCAGUGUCUCGACCCACCGGAACAAAAGCCGUGUGUACAAAUUGUGUUCGAAGCUUAUCGUAAACUGGCUUAGCAAGUGUAGUCUUGCCAAGUCUGCCUGGUCCAACAAUUGAGACCAUCUUCAUCUUGUGCUGCUGUUGCUUGAGACCAUGUGUGAGCCUCUUGGUUAGCUUGUUCCAUGCAUCUUCAAUGCCAACGAGCUCUUUCUGAUCAUUGUACAAAGCCAAUACACGAGGGUCAACCUUCUGUUUGCUAGCUGGAUUAGGAACAUCAUUGACCCUGUAUCUGGCACGCCGGCCAGCCAUCUCUUGAGAGCGGUUCUUGAUGUACCUGAUUGCAUCUCCGAUCUGAUGGCGAGUCUUGCCUUUUGUGAACAAGUUGGCCAUCUUCCCUACCUAUCAUUUGAUCAUGUUUGAGUUGGGGACGGCAUCAGAUUCAUAUCCCUCGACGGACACUAGGAAGUUAUCGAUGACAUCCUCCAUGUCAUACGACAGCUCCCUUUUAGGGAUUCAUGUCCCUUGGAAUCUCCGCCACCUUUACGAGGGCAGCGUUCAAGCUCUUCAUGUCCCUCUGGAGGGACUCGACGUACCGAAUAAAUGGGAGUUAGAGGACAGGAAUCUGUUGUAGGAAAGACAAAGGAAAUUGUUCUCCAUCGCCGUCCGGUUCCACUGGGAAAAAAUUACAUCCACUGCAACACCAAGACCGCAUGCUUACCGAGUAGUAGUAGAAGCAGCAGAGCUGAGUAAGGCACCCACUACCGAAUGCAGGGAUAAAUCCAGCACCAAGUAAGCAGCUCACAAGUGAGAGACGGCAUGCGCUUUGCGAACGGAAGGACAGGAGCAGAAAACAUUUUGGGAGAAAGAUCGACGUGGCUCAGAAAAUUGAAGGCGGUCUACUCCUCCUGAUUGAAGCCGGCGACUACACAAGCGCCAUGGUUUGAUGGAGCAAGAGAAAUGGUGUUGAACCCCCAACUCGUUCCAUUUCUAGCAGAAAAGUAGGGCAAUAAUUGAGUGGUGGUAUGUUAUUAGUGCUGGUAAUGGAGUAGGAAGCACCCUAGAAGUGCACCAACUAGUACAUCAAAAUACUCCUGCCAGUGGCGGUGGUAGAUCAUUCAUGUGUACUACUCGAUCGUAACAAGAACAAUUACAUGAACCAGCUUGUGCCACUAGUAAUAAUAUUUAGCUUAUUUUUACAUUAAGUUUUGCAAUGAAUAAUAUUUAGGUUAUUAAAAAGACUAUAGUUUAAUGGAUGGCCCAGAUUUGGAAAUAUUACUGCAGAUUUUUGGUAGUAAUAGACUUGCUUCACUUGUCGAUUUAUAUGAUCUGUCGCUUUCAGCGACGUUUGGGGCUGUGAUUUGGGUUUGUUGUCAUUGAAAUUGCACAACUAUAGAAACUGGAUUCUUUUUUAUUAUUAUAGUGAGCACAAGGAAUCAUGUUACUAGUUGAAUUCAUAGAAAAAGACUCCAUUCAGACUCUGUCCUGCUCCAUGAAAAUAUCCUAUCAGAUAGACGCAGAGCGGUACAUAUACAGACUCAGGUUUCUUGAAAUCUAAUGCAACCAAGUCUUGUACAAUGGUCACAUGUUAUGUGACCUGAACCAAUUAUGGGUUUGCACUUGAUAAUUCCCGCACGAACCACAUGUAAACAUGGUUCGAAGGCUUGAAUAACAAUGUAAAAUUGAUGUCAAGUUUUCCCGACUUGAUUCCUGUCUAGGUUGGAGUCAUCAGUCUACUUGAAGCACUCGUUUUUCUCAUCUACGUUGGAGGACUGAUUGGAGCAUGAAUUAGUUGAGGAGAUAGAAACCCAUUUUUGGCGAGGGAGAGGACAGAAACCCAUGACACAACAAGGUUUUCAUGAUCAUCAUUGGCUAACUUCAAAGUUCCAACAGAGUGCCAACUACCAAGUGAGUAGCAGUACAAGGCACUGUUCAGCUGAAUCAAUCUUUACAACAUUAACCUAUCAUUCACUGGCGUUUCAUACCCAGAAUUGACUCUUAUAACAGUACAGAAGCAAACCCCUACUUCGAGUCAGUGUUGCUCUGUACUUUUUUUAACGGAGGUUAUAACUACGGCCUCUUUAUUUAUUAUUCAGCGGCCAUCUUUAUUUAUUAUUCCACCAAAGUCUAACAAAAACAUACAUCAAGCUACUCGAAGACAUCACUCACACCUACAAAACUCGAAAAUGUAGAGUGCUCUCACACUCCUCAUAUCUAAACCGGUAUCGUCGCUGAUCCAUCCACAUAACGUGUCGGAACGAACAGCCAGUGCAGCAGACCUAAAGCGCACACCACAUGCACAUGUUUUAGACGCCGCCAUCAUCUGCAGACCGCUGACCCAUCUUCAGGAGAGAGAUCCACAUCAUCCUUGCCAGUCCGUCCAUCCAGUCCCUCCCUCCUCUCGGCCUCCCUAUUAUCCCUCCUCACCCUCUGCUGCUGAUCUGUGGCGGCCUCUCCAAUAGCUCUGUGGCCUUCUUUCGCUGCCGCACCGGCCCGAGCGUUGUCGCUUGCAAGCCGUCCGGAGGCCACAAUGGCGCUCUCCCGUCGGGACUUUGCCACAUUCCAGCAUAUCAGUUGCUCUGUCAUGGGGAUCUGUCCUGCUCCUAGCCGUGUCUCCCGCGAUGGUGGUAGACCUGACUUGUACUACAAUGUUCUUUGGUCGCACGGCUGGCCACGGCGGUUUGCUCCGUUCCUUUGUAUCUAUGUUGCAGCUUCAAUUGUGUUAUGCAUGUCAUGGAUGUAUUAUAAUUCUGGGAUGCAUGUAAUUGUAUUGCUAUGAAUCUUAAAAUUGCUAGGUGUUCCAUGAACCAAUGAAUAUGCUAGAAAAUAUUACUCUGUCAUAUAUAUGUUAGAAAAUGUUCUCGUCGGGCCGGGUUUCUCUGCCCUAGAGAACAUAUUCUACAUGUUAUAUGCGACAAUGUAGUGAUGAAUAUUUCACCGGAAAUAGUGUAAAUGCAACCAACUCCCCCAUUAGGAGACAGAGUGGAAUAUUGUUUGACGAUAGACUUGGUUUAUGCAUAUUCGACGCACGUUUGAAUUUUUUCUCCCGAGCCACAAGAAAGCUCCUCGCGCGACCGCGUCCGUCCCUCAUGGGCGGCCGGCCGCGCUGUCCAUCCCUCCUUCCCAGCGCUCUCCCCCACCCUCUCUCUCCCCACCGUUGCCGGGGUGCAUCCCCGGGCUCGGCUCGGGCGGCGCCGGCGGUGCGGCCCACGGCUUUCCCCCCUGCGGCAGAUCCUGUGCGGGGCGGCGCUGCUUAAGGAGGUGCUCUCAGGUGGCGAUGGUUCGGCGCUGCGGUGGGCUGGUUCGCCGCUGACUUCGGUGGUCAGAGGCGGAGGAGCUCCGCGGCGGCGCGGGCUGGUGGCGCCCGUUCGGCCCAGAUCUGGGCCGAGGCGGGCCGGCAGCUCCGAUUUGUGGUGUAUCUUCCUGGAAGCGGCGGUGGGGUGUCUGGAUCCUGGGUGGUGGCGGCAUCGUUGCCGGAUUGUGCAGCGUGGCGGUGGAGUCUUUGCGGGAUCGAUCUGAGCCCGGCUAGGCCCGGGUGGCCUGGUUUGCCUCCCGCCUCGGCGUCCGGCUGGCUACCGCGAUGGCGUUGGAGGAACUGGCCUCUGGCGCGGCGUCGGUGGAGGUUGUCCCCUCCCGCUUGGCUGCGGUGCUGCCACCCCCGGCUCCAUGCGUUCUCAUUUUCCGUCCUCUAGGCCUCGCGGUGGUGGCCUUAGUGAGACGGCGUGGGUGGCCUCAAGACCGCGGUGGCGAAGGAGGGUGGGUGGCGUGUUGGGUGGAAGACUCCGGAGCGAUUGGGUAGUGUGCACAAGUGUUAGAAUCCUAAAAGGUAAAUAGUUUCUUAAGAUCUGAAGCAAGUGUUGGAAGAUUCUGCUGCCUCUAGAUACACAACAAAUGUCCACAUGUUGCUUCUUGGAGAAGCCGAGAGAGCCUUGAGCGGAGUGUUUAACCUUAUGUAUGAUAUUCUUAACUACCAUUUGUAUUAAAUGAACCAAUAAACAUUUUAUGUUAAUUGUCUUGACAAAUUUUGCUGUGUGCAGACUUACAUAUUAGUGGCACUACACAAAAAAAGAUGGCUAAGGGGUUUAUGAAGUAGGAUAGAGAUUGGUGAGAAAAUAUGUGCCCUCUCUCUCGUUUGUAAAGAGGUUCAAAUGUUAUGUGUGUAGCUUUUGCUAGUAUUCUCGAAUCGUUGGCCGUGAAUUGUCAAUUGUGUAAAUGUACAUGUGAAUUGUCUUAUGAAAAACAAUGUGCAACUGAGUGAUUAUGCCUGUGUAUUGUGUUCAUGUCUUUCUGUAAAUUUCGUUUGCAUUGCUGGUAACAUACUGAAAUGAAGUGCAUGCAUGCAAUGGUGAAAUGAAUCGGUACGAUCGACUGGCUGGCGGUCCAAACUAGUACACUAUCACUGACCGGUUAGAUUGCGGGUCUAUGAUGAGCAAGUCAUCACAAACCCUGAUCCACUGACAGACCAGCAACUAGUUAGUGAUGAUGAAAUUUGGCCGGUAAGUGUUAUUCGGAUUUGUAGUANNNNNNNNNNNNNNNNNNNNNNNNNNNNNNNNNNNNNNNNNNNNNNNNNNNNNNNNNNNNNNNNNNNNNNNNNNNNNNNNNNNNNNNNNNNNNNNNNNNNNNNNNNNNNNNNNNNNNNNNNNNNNNNNNNNNNNNNNNNNNNNNNNNNNNNNNNNNNNNNNNNNNNNNNNNNNNNNNNNNNNNNNNNNNNNNNNNNNNNNNNNNNNNNNNNNNNNNNNNNNNNNNNNNNNNNNNNNNNNNNNNNNNNNNNNNNNNNNNNNNNNNNNNNNNNNNNNNNNNNNNNNNNNNNNNNNNNNNNNNNNNNNNNNNNNNNNNNNNNNNCUCGGGUUUCUGCCCCUUUAUGAUAUAUGAGAAAACUGAACGAUUCAGGUGAAACUAGUCAUGAUAAUAAUUAGCAAUUCUAGUAUUUUAACACACAUAUCCCAAUCACUAUAGUUUUUUCAAACGACUAUUUUAACAACGCAUCUACGAUUCAUAGUAAAAUGUGACAUUGUAUACUGUAAAAUUUCUACAAUCUACAAGGUCAAAUUUAUUGUAAAUGUGACCACAACACCAGAUACACUAGAAAUAAAGUAAAACCCUAAAAGUCCCAUGCUAGCUAGACUACUCUUGGUUGGCUAGAAAUUAGGAGGGAGUACCCAGAUGCCAGUUUGAGCACGAGCUGCUACAUAAGAUCCCGCUGAUUUGAUCCUCUGUGUGACAUUGUCGCUACUUUCAUCUUGCAUAGGAUAUACACGGUUACCAUUGCCAUCAAAACUUGCCAAGUAUGUCAUAUCAUCAGCGUAGAUGUGGUUUCUCUGCACCCUGUCGCGCCCAACCACCGGCACGUCAACCGCCCUGGACAUUUUCCCCAAAAAUAAGGCGGAGUCACCCAAGGUCCUUACUUCCUCCCACUUACGAGCAUACUUUGUCAUCGAGUCAUCAUCCAACACAUAAACCUUGAAGAAAGGCUCAGGGCCGGUGUGGUAUGAUGGGAAUUUCCCCAGUACCAUCGCUAGCUUCCCUUGCAGCUCAACAAUGUGAGUCGACCAUGUGAAAGGUUCACUAACAAUCUUGAUAUGCAACUCGGCGUCAAUGGCGAGCAGAGGCCUGCCAUAUUUGUUCGCGCCUAUGUUGAAUUUGAUCAGGUCAUUGGAGAAUAUUAUAUUAAUGUCAAUUUAAUAUUAUACUAUGUGUCGUCAAUUUAAAAGGCUCCUGCCGUCAUGCCUUUGAGUAUUAUAUUAAUGUCAAAUUGUUUAAAUGCUAGUAAUUAGUUAACUUAGAAGCAAACUGUUUAUUGAUAAAAUGCUAUAGUAUAAUUAAGGGAGUUUUUUUUUUGAAAAAUAAUAAUGUUAGAUAUAUGCUGAUGCAACAAGGGCAUGAUUUUAUUUGUUAGCAAUACUAAUAAAAAAGUUCAUAGAAAAUAAUUUUAUACUCCCGAGGGUUAUACACAUAGUUUAAUUUGUUAAUUGUUAAAAAGUUAGCUAUACAACUAGCUAUAUAUUUGUAAAUACUAAUUAGUAGUGUAAAAAAGCAGGAACGAGCACCCGCCUAUGAUACCUUGAUUUACCAACACAAAACGUGCAUCUUGUGUGUAUGAUUGUGAAAUGCACGUUGUGUGUGGAGUUUGACAUCUAAUUUUUAACCCGCUGUUGGUCUUUCAUAUAGAGGAAUGUCUCGCUGUGCUUCCACGAGUCCCUGUAGUUCGCUACGGCUCAGAAACACAGUGUUCGGACGUCAGAUACACUAAAGUUGCACUAUGACAACCAUUGUACAAUCCAGCCCGCCUCAGUUAUAUUAAUAAAAAUAUCGAUCCGAGAACUUUAUCAUGUAUCUGGUUGCGACAGACGCAUAUACGUUCGAGAAAAAGGAGAUAAAUGGUCCUGCGAAGGUAAGGUGGCAGCUAUCGGUGUUCUAGUACACAAGACAACCGAACGCUACACACAGUACUACAAGUCAGUAAUAAAUAGAGUCUGGCGACUACUAGGCUGGCAUGACAGUGCUGUCGAGCGACUCGCCGAUGUGUAUGGCAAUGUGGAAAAUGCAUCCCAUUACUUCUCAUCUCCGCUCCUCUUUGCUCGGUUUGUCCAAGAAGCGGAACACACCACUCAUGUCGGCCUACAUGGCAUAACAUGCUCGUGGAGAAACUAUGNNNNNNNNNNNNNNNNNNNNNNNNNNNNNNNNNNNNNNNNNNNNNNNNNNNNNNNNNNNNNNNNNNNNNNNNNNNNNNNNNNNNNNNNNNNNNNNNNNNNNNNNNNNNNNNNNNNNNNNNNNNNNNNNNNNNNNNNNNNNNNNNNNNNNNNNNNNNNNNNNNNNNNNNNNNNNNNNNNNNNNNNNNNNNNNNNNNNNNNNNNNNNNNNNNNNNNNNNNNNNNNNNNNNNNNNNNNNNNNNNNNNNNNNNNNNNNNNNAAGACGAUGAAAAUUGAGUAAACACAAAAGUAAAGUAGCCGGUCUCAUUAUCAUUAGAAGACGAUGGCAACUACUGCAUGCACCCAUACAUUCUUGGAUCGCUAUAUUUGGCUUAUUCGGUCACAAACCGACGACUUUGCAGCUGCUACAUAAACAACGCUACUCUGGAUCUUAGGGAAAAAUGUUUGGAGACGGAUAUUGAUAAAGGAAACCGAGGAGAGUUGGUGAUGUGAGUCUACUCCAUCGUGCAUGCUACCUACAUGGACAAGCACAUCCGACCUGGCACAGCCUCGAGUUUCAUUAUCCCCUCUUGAUCCCUCUGAUGUUUCCUCUUUCUCUUCAUCAUCAUCUUCACAUCCCUCAAUGUGCACGUUUUUGUGCCUCGAUUUGAUUGGUUCAACUACUUGCUGGCUAUCCUCAGAGUGGUCAAUUUUUUUGGUGUUCGCGAGGAGUCACCAGUACAAGCAUGGUACUGAUAUGUCAUACAUGACCGUGGCAUUUGUACUUGUAGUUUCCUUUCAUUUUUCAUUUUCCUUUUUAAACGCAUACUGUACUUUCUUUACUACACGAUAAUUAAUAUACACUGCACAUUUUUGUAGUAUACGUCAAACAAAUUUUUUAAUUGUAUGAAAACAUAUUUUAUAUUCACACUAUUUUAAAAAAAUAUAGUGAAUAUUUCUAAAUACAUCUAUAAUUUUUUAAUACACAAUGGACAAUUUUUUCAUGUACACAUAACACUUUUUAGUAUAUGAGGAACAUUUGAAAUAUACGGCGAACAUUUUCUAUAUACCCACUAAUAUUUUUAUAAAUGCUGAACAUUUUAAAAGUACACGUUCAUUUUUGUGUUUUCACAAACCAUAGAAAACCAAGAAACUGAAGUAAAAUGAAUAAACGAAAAAAAACAGUACCGGACAGCUCCGUCGCUGCAAAAAUAGGUCUGCACGUCUUAGUGGGCCUACCCAUUCAGAGUCACCUAUGCGUAUCCUCAACUUUUUCGACAACGGGUGCCUUUUAUUUACUUAUAAUGUUGCAUCGAGGGAUACAAUCAUAACAAGCACACACCCAAACUAUGUAUAACUAGCAUACACACUGCGAACACACAUAAAAAAUCACACUGGCAAAUAACAAAGUCAAAUAAGACAAGAACUAUGGCUAGACACAUACAGAAAACGAAGGAAAGAAGAAGAAAUCCCGAGGCGACCAAAAGAGCAUACGUGAGUGAUCAUAUGUGCCAACCAUCUGAACUACUGCGUCAACUAGGAGGUCUCGCUUCUAAGGCCAUCAAUAAUAUUAACGAUGGUUCCAUAUAAAAAAAGAAUAUUAACGGUGGUAGCAGGUGCGAGAUCUUAAAUUAUCAUUUUUUAAGGCCGCUCCAUCGUUUUUGUUCUGCACAAGUGGCUCCCCUAGCCGUAACCCCACCCACUGGUUAUGUAGUUCUUUAAGAGAAAAUCGAUGACACAUGCAAGCAACAAUUUUGUAUCUUCUGUCAUUUGUUUAUACUAUGCCAUCACGAGGAGAUUGCACUUAAAAAGACAAAUUGCAUAUAGGAUAGUUAAAAAAGGGUUGUUUUCUGUCGUGGAAAGGUUGAUUCUAGUAUGAGUAUUCUCUUGGUAUCCGUUCCUUCAUGGAGAAGAGAAGGUGAUUUUCUCUCGCCGCCCCGUCAAUUGAAAUUAUACAUGUUCAAUGAUGACAUGAAGGUUAAUUUCACACCACUCAUUCAUUGUGCUUGCCUUGAGUUCCCUUCAAGGAUAUACCGUGGCAUUCCCGCCUCAAAGAGCUUUUUCAAACCCCUUUCUCAAGAUGCACAACUCAGUCAUUGUUAUCUUGUGUAGACGGGUUCAUCCAACAGGGUAUAAGAUAACACGAUGGACUGAACUGAAGAGAAAAGAAAAAAAAAAUCAUCUACUAAGCCUUAAGCAUUAAACAAGCUUGGAGUGUUGGUCAGCGUGCGACAUCAUUCAAGAAUUUUGUGGACCUACGCUGACCCAAUGAACUUGUGCCCUAUCCCUUGAAGAAAUAUCUCAUCAAUUAUGAAUAAAAAUGUUUGAAGCAUAGAAGUACUCAUGUUUUGACAACAAUACGACCCAUUGUCAUAAACUCAUAAUAUCCCCAAUUUUUACUCAUGAAAAUCAUGUUUGCAUCCCUUUUUGACUCGUUACAUUGCAAUUGUGUCCCAAUUAGAUAACAAUAACACUAAUGAUUGAGCUUGCCAUUGGUAUUCAGUUAUGUGUACACACACAUCACCUUAUGGGUAUUUCACACGAGAAGAAAAUUAGAGGCGAUUUAUUUGCAACUAACAGGCGCUUGCCGCCUCCCAUUGGCUCGCUGCUUGCCAACAAGCAUUCGAUUCCAUUCAACUGAAUUUAAGAAAAAUGGUCAGCAUGUUGGCGCUGUACUGUGUUGGGUUCGUUGAUUGCAUCCAUAUAUAUAAGCAGUCCAUUCCAUUCAACUCAAUUCAUCAACUGCAUCCAUAAUAAAUAUCAAAAAUUCCCCAUGGCACACAACGUGAUUUGCUUGCUUCUUGAUCGGAUUAUCAAACACCGGAGGGGUGUCUUCCUGUGUGAGGGUGGCCGAAACAAACUCGGCAAUUGCAGACGCUCUGAACUCGCCAUCUGCAAUACACACAGUACAUUGUUAGCCAAUUUAACAGUCAAACCAACUCGGUACAUAGAAAUGGAAAGGAGAAGCUAAAACAAGUUUACCAUAUACUGUUAACUUCGCCUCUUUUUUCUUGAGCAGGACUAGUGAUGGGCGCUUUGCUUGCGGGUCAACAUGGAAAAGCUUGGCUAUAUCAGGACUGGUAGUCUGGUAGAUGUUGACAGCCCGGUACAAGCUGUUGAAAUCUUCCAGCCUUGAGGCAGCAGCAAGCUCUUCGGUGUGAGCACCCUAUAGCAUUUGUUGAUAAGAGUAAUCAAUUUUGGGCCACAUGUGCGGUGCAAUUGCAGCAAUUCGGUUGGAUGGUAGACUUUGCUGGGAUUGGAACGUACCGAAAGGGAGUCGAGGAAAGCUAGCACGGCUACUUUGCCGCCGGUGAUGAUCUUCUCGGCCUCGUCGAUGGUGGUGACGUUCUGCACCUCAGGGCCCAGCCUCUGGGAUAUCCAAGUGACCAUGGCGUCCCUGCAGCAGUGGAAAAUUCGCCACCAUGAGGGAUGAAAUAUAAGACCGUUUAGAUCACCAAAGUAAUCUAAACCACGAACAAAAAAUAAGAACAAAAAAUUUGAAUGGAACAUUUCCUGAAAUUCACAAACAUUUCUUAAAAACAUGAAUCUUUCUAAACCACGAACAUUUUUUAAGUUGUCAACAAGAACAUGUUUUGAAGAUUCAGAAGAGUUGUAGUAAUUUUUUUCUUUAAUGCAAACAUUAUUUUCAAUUUUUGAACAUAUUGUGAAAACAACAAUAUUUUUAGAAUUUGGAAUAUUUUCAAAAUGCAUUUUUCUAAAUAUUGUUUUUUAAAUACAGUUAUUUUUUAACAAAUGGCAAUAUUUUUUAAAUUUUGAAAUACAUUUGGCAGAACUAAAAAAAUUCCAAACAUUUUUAGAAUAGGAACACAUUUAUGUAAUUCGUAUAUUUUUAUGAAUUCUUGAAUAAAAAUGAAAUUGCGAUAUUUUCCGAAAAUUUUGAAUUUCAGAAAAUACGUAGAAAAUAGACUUAGAAUGUGAAAAGUAAAAAAUAAAUACGAAACAAAAAGAGAACUAAGCAGAAAAAUAAAAAUGGAAACCGAACACAAGCAUAAAUCGGCCGCUGAGUUUUGGGCGCCUUGUGCGUACCUGAAACUAUUUACCGCCUUGUGCGGGAAAUAGGAUUUUUUGUUGCUACAUGGGCAGGAAAAAAUGGGCUGAAUUUACGGGGCCAUAGUGCGCGCGGCCCAUGUACGAAAUUUUGCACAAAUUGUUUUUCCUUUGCUAAUAGACGAACAUAGAAAGUUUAGUACCACCUCGGAAAGAAAAACAAUAAUUUUUUGGCGGUGAACGGAUAAAAAAAUCGGAGAAACGCACCUUGCUUUAUUAGUAGGUAUAUAUAGAUAUUGAUAUAGAUAUAGAUUGCUCAAGGUGAAAAGCUAAGGCUAUCCUCUUAAGAAAAAAAACGAAGUUAUCUUCCUCGAAAGAAAAACAAAACUAUGUUAUAUAUCCUCCUCUCAAUCAACAAAAUCACCUCUCCUCGAGCAAGCCAACUCUGACUGCACCAUGGGUAAACGUCAAGAUCCCUCCGAACGAUACACGAGAACCGUCUCGGCCACUGCCAAACAAUUGGCCACAAGCUUCGACAACAUAGCAGCUUGGAUUUUGCCGAUGAACUUUGCUGGGGAAAAUUGUAAGCCUCGCACCGAUCUAGUCCAGCGCAAUCUCUGGAGAGCAGCGUCCACUGAAACCAUCUUCAUGGAGUCAUCGUUUCCGCAGGCGCCCCUCCACACACAGCUUCAUCUUCUUUGUUACAACAAGAAACAAGCAUAGGCACACCCAUUGGCACACCCGACUGUCAAAUUCAGAAGGGCCAACCACGACCUAGCUCCGCUCGCCACCAUUGUCGUCGCCACGAGUGCCAACACCAACUACUCGCAUCAUCAGCUGUGCACCAUCCAACCGUGAGAAUGUGCAUAUCCAACCCAGGAAAAGUGUGGAGGGGAACAAAUCUUCAAGACGGCGCCCUAAGUGGGGAGCGAUGCAGAAAUAACAAUGUUGUCCGACCCUGCAACAGGGACCUUAGGCUUUUACUGAAGACAUCCCAAGGGUGACCAAGAUGGAAGAGCUGCACGGCGACCCUCCAAGAAGGAAUAACGACACUAGCAACCGCCACAUCAUCAUUGAUGGCAUAAUCCAGGCAAGCCUUUGCCCCGGAGGAACAAACGUGCACAUACACCCCCACUAGACAAAAUACUGCCUUACCUAUAGACAAAUCAGUUCUUUUUUGGGCGAGAUAAGCCCAAAGUAAUCUGUGCAAAUAUUCUCUGUAAAUUCAAAAUCUAUGUGUAUUAUAUGUAGUUAAUCAACAUUUUACCGCCCAAAUUAGAAUCCUAGCCACUUUAUACCUCGAACUUUCAUUAAAUGUGUCUAGACUUACGUAUUGAGUGCACCAUGCAUGCUGCCAAGCCAACCCGCGUUGAAUCGCGCCAUAAAUUUCCUUAAGUUUAAAUUUCCGCUAGGAUUUACCUUGUAAAUAAGUUUCCACCGUUCUUACUAGCACAAAUUUAAAGCUUUGGGGUAAAUCCUUUCUGCAUAAUCCCUGUAAAAAAUGAUAAAAGUAAAGGUACAAAGUAGAAAUUUUAAUAUAUAUCAUCACACAAUCAUAGUACAACCAGCACACACAUACAAUUAUCAUCCAUACAAGCCAGAAAAGUAAGUCAGAACAAUCACAAGAUUUACAUGGGCAUCAUACCCUAAUCUUGAUUGAUCUUGACAUUAUAUAGCACAGAAUGACUUGAUGGUGGUGGGUUACAACACACCACUUAUUUAAUCCAGCAGGCAAUAUAAGUCACGAGUAUACUAUAUCUGGCGCGGUUGAUGUACUCGAACAUCUCAUCCCAGCGGCUCCUCUUGGAUGUGUGCUUCCACAUUUUCCUUUUCCGCUUGUGUCCCAAGUGGUGGUUUUGGUUGUGCAUUCGGGUCCGGCAGUCCAGGCAGUGGUUGUGGGUUUGGGUCUGGUAAUGGUUGUGGGUUUGGAUCAGGCUGCGGUCCUGGUAAUGGCUGAGGGUUUGGGUUUGGUUGUGGGUCCGGCAAUGGUUUUGGGUUUGGGUCUGGUAAUGGUUGUGGGUUUGGAUCAGGCUGAGGUCCUGGUAAUGGUUGAGGGUUUGGGUUUGGCUGUGGGUUNNNNNNNNNNNNNNNNNNNNNNNNNNNNNNNNNNNNNNNNNNNNNNNNNNNNNNNNNNNNNNNNNNNNNNNNNNNNNNNNNNNNNNNNNNNNNNNNNNNNNNNNNNNNNNNNNNNNNNNNNNNNNNNNNNNNNNNNNNNNNNNNNNNNNNNNNNNNNNNNNNNNNNNNNNNNNNNNNNNNNNNNNNNNNNNNNNNNNNNNNNNNNNNNNNNNNNNNNNNNNNNNNNNNNNNNNNNNNNNNNNNNNNNNNNNNNNNNNNNNNNNNNNNNNNNNNNNNNNNNNNNNNNNNNNNNNNNNNNNNNNNNNNNNNNNNNNNNNNNNNNNNNNNNNNNNNNNNNNNNNNNNNNNNNNNNNNNNNNNNNGGCAAUGGUUUCGGGUUUGGGUCUGGAAAUGGUUGUGGGUUUGGAUCAGGCUGCGGUCCUGGUAAUGGCUGAGGGUUUGGGUUUGGUUGUGGGUCCGGCAAUGGUUUUGUGUUUGGGUCUGGUAAUGGUUGUGGAUUUGGAUCAGGCUGCGGUCCUGGUAAUGGACGAGGGUUUGGGUUUGGCCGUGGGUCUGGUAGUAGCUGCGGGUUUGGGUUUGGCCAUGGGUUCAUCAACCGUUGCAGGUUUUGGCCUGGCAAUGGUUGUGGAUUUGGGUCAGGGUGUGGUCCUGGUAAUGGUUGAGCAUUUGGAUCAGGUUGUGGCUCAGGCAGUGGUUGUGGGUUUGGAUUAGGUUUAGGAUCGGGUAGUGGUUGCGGGUUUGGGUCUGGUCGUGGUCCUGGCAGUGGUUGUGGGUCUGGCAAUGGUUGAGGAUUUGGAUUUGGUUGUUUUCCUGGUAGUGGUUCUGGAUUUGGGUUAGCCCGUGGGCCGUAUAGAGGGUCUCUAGUGAUCAAGGUGUGCCUCCCUGCAGCAAGAGCAAACGCUGGAAGAAGCAUAAGCAGCAGCGGUGCUACGAGAAGAGAGGACGAGGAGGGGCGCUUCCUCAUCGUCAUGGCUAGGCUUGUGUUGCUACGUACUUGCAAGUGUGUGCGCCUCCAUCUUCAUAUUUAUAGGCGAAUUCAGCCAAUUAAGGCUGGACAAGCAUGUACGCUGUUUACUCCAACUCUGAUUGGGCUUGUUAGCUUUGCCUUUUGGAGAUGCAGGGCUGCAUGCCUCCCCUUAUAGUGCUCCAAUAGGAGGCCAAUCACAACAAAAAGUUAUCUAGGGAAGUUGGAGUGGUGUUGGUCCGGAUAGAUGUGGCAUUUUUUAGUUGAUCGUGGGAGAGCAACAUGCAGAAGCAUACAGUCGCCCGAGUUGUGAACAACAUGAUCACUUUCAAUAAUUCUGUUGAACAUAUAGCAGCGUAGUAGAUGGCUUUGAGCAUGGGAAUUUUAAAUUGUCCUAAAAAUAUUAUUUAUUUUAUGUUAAUUUAUAAAAUUAUGAAAACAUAUACAUGUUAUGUACGCAUUUGAAUAGUUUAAUUAAGCCAUAUGAUGAUUUGUAGGCUACACACAAAAAAUAAAUUUCCAGCCCAAAUGCAGUAGAAAUUAGCCUAUUUUAAAUUUUGUAUUUGUGGUUUUUUCCCUUUGUGUAGACUACAUAUGAAAUUGUUGAAAUUUUUGUUUUGUAUUAACACACCACACCUUUUUCUUGAGGAAAAUUUGAGGUGUAAGAAUAAAGUUCUUGAUAAAAAAAUGAAGAAGCCUGUAGGAUGUUUUAUUGUACACAAUCAUCGGAUUCUAAACUUGAGGUUUGCAUGUAUGGGUUUAUUUUCUAUGGAAUCUAGUGUAAAUGAGUCCUAUGAUAUAUUAUUUUCUUCUAUGAAUUGUUAUUCUACGACUCAAACAACACAUACAGGAAAAUUUUCUAAGGAUUAGUCUCCUCCAAAAUUUCAUUAAAACCCCUUUGAAUCCAAGAAGCCUAGCACCAAAGCUUUUUUGACAAUAUCGGAAAGUGACCAAAGCUAGUAGCUUUCCUAUCGGACAGUGAUGCACUUUAAGUACGCGGUUUCUAAUAAUCACGAUCAGUGCACGCCGUGCACAGGGCACUCAUUUCGGUUGUAGCCGUAACUUUCACAUUUCAUACACCAAUCACGACCAGUUGCUUGUUGGUAUACAUGCAAUGUUCUAGAAGAAAAAAAAGACCAGUCCUAUGUACAUAUGCAUGCUUGCAUCUAGUUGGGCAGUAGGAUGACUUUAUACCUAACCUACGGAUUGAAUCGUAUGUAUAGAUGAAAAUAAAAGACAUCCAUAGAGUACCAAGUUAAAGACGAUAUGACCUCACAACUAGAUUGGGUUGGGUGAGUGGAGUGCCACUUUAAUCCUUGUCUGCAGCACGCGUGAUAAUAUUUCUUCAGAGGCGCUGAAGUGGGGAACAUGACUGAUAGAACAAACAACAAGUGAGAUAUUUUGAGCUUCACUAGGUUGGAGGCCUGGUGUGCUCAGAAUUUAUCAGGGUGUUCUUCAGGUUGCAGCACUGCUACCAAGGCAUUUCUCCAUGUAGAAGGAAUAGAGGGGAAAUUGGUGGAAUUGUUGAUGUAUUGCUUGAGCCUCGUGUGCAUAUAUAUGGGAGCACAUGAUCUUCUUUGAGUACGUGAUAAGCUAGAAUAACAAUGGGUUUGCCCUUUGUGCUGAUGUCGAGGUAGCCAAGAGCGUAGGAUGGUGUAGCUAUGUGAGGGGCGCCGUGGUCGAUGUCGAGUCGGGGUGGCCGGUAUUGAGGAAGUUGCCGUAGACGAUACUUGAGUCCCUUGAGAGACAUCAGAGUAUGACUUUAUAAGAACCGUUUCCGACGACGACGACUUUGAAAAAAAAUUUGAAUUGUUUUCUUUACUUAUAGGUGGCAUGGUGGGUUAUUUACGACAGUUUUGGGGGCGAUUUCAAUGACGGACGACAAGAAGUAGUCUGUGCUUUAUUAUUAGGGAAAAGAUAUAUCAAUAUCCACAAUACAAAAUUUAUAUCAUUUGAUCUAUCAUGAGAAGUAGUUUCAUAUUUUAUGUAUUAGGUAUUGCAAAUGUUGUUAUUUUAUUCCAUAAUUUUGGUCAAACAUUGAAAUGGUUGACUUGCAUGGAUAGCAAUACACCUUAUAUUCUAGAACGGUGGGAGUAAAACAAUGUGUAUAUGCUGUUAAUUAGGACGGUUCGUGGUAAAUACAUGAUUUGCUAGACACAUUCAUAUAUUUACAAAAAAAAAGAUGCAAAAAAAAUUUAGACCAUUAGUUCAACUGAAAAUGGAAAGUGGAAAUUUAGCUGGCACAUGUUGGAGCAGCGAUCCAGGCGGAAUCUUCUCCGGUCACUGGCGACGGGCUCGUGUGUUUCGGCAUCAGCGAUCCAGGCGGAAGAAGAGCGGCGGCAGUGAUGCAGAGCUAAUCCAGCUCUCGAAGUACAAUAUGUCCUCAUCCAGAACGGUGCAAGGGUGCAUGUAGCUAUAUGCAUGUGCAUGGAUGACGCAACGUAGGCAGGCAGGUGCACCGCGCGGGGUGCCUUGGCCACGCGCACAGUGGCACGCUGAUGCAAGCGUGAAGCCGGUGUGCAGGAACCGAUCUGGAUGGAGGAGAGUUGUGGACAGGGGUGGGCAUAAAAACCGACCAACCAAAUGCUGAACCAAUACAGAAACCGAAAAAACCAGUGAAAUUUGGUUUUUACUUAUGAUAACCGAAAUUAAAUUGCUCGGUUCGGUAUGAAACCUGUAACCGAAAGAAAAACCGAAUAGCCGUCGCUCGAGGCUAGGCGCGCGUCUUGCCGCAGAACUACCGUGUACAGGCGGGAGCCCCUAGUCAGCGCCGAUUAGGCAACUUGGUGCCUAGGUGCGUGUUGCCAACCACUAUACCACAGAGGCUCUAGUGAAUUAUUAGGGCCCGAUCUGUUCAAGAAGUACGUAUAACCACGCUAUUUACUAGGGGUGGAAACGGAUCGGAUGCGGAUCGGAUAGUGCUCUUACCACUUUCAUUUUCAUAUUUUUAAAACGAAUAUGAAUCCAAAUACGGAUAUUAUCGGAUACUGAUGCGGCUCGGAUAUUAUUCGAAUACGGAUACAUAUUGGAUAUUUUCUUGAUUCGGAACAGAUACGAAUAAUAUCAACAUAUUGCUUAAGUAAAUUAGUCGAUAGCUAUGUGACCUAAAAUAAUCAACUUGUGACAUACAAUAAGUCAAUGAUAAAUAGGUUUAUGUAUAAAUACUAUUGUAAUGCAUAAUAAUUUAUCAGUUUAAUCAUAUAAAGAGUAAAAUUCGACCACUUAUUUGGCUUUUAUGUUGGAUAAUUGGAAUAUUGGGCCUAGAAUUUUAAAAAUUACCUCCCAUAAUCUUAUUCGGAUACGGAUAUAUCCACUUCCAUAUCCAUAUUUGUGUCAAAAUCUCCUACCAUAUUUUAUUUUUUAUUUGUUUAAUAAAUUCAGAUACGGAUAAUUUCCAUUUCCAUUUUGGUUCGGAUGCGGAUGUUUCGGAUAUGAAUAGGCAUUUUCUCGAAUACGAAUAUCGGAUAUUUCGGAUUAUCCGCUACCACUUUCCACCCCUACUAUUUACUGCGUAUAUAAAUUAGAAAAACACAAUAUUCAAACAAAAAUGUGAAGAAAAUCUGAAAGUUCAUAGAUGUAAAAACAAACCGCGAACUAAAAAAAGGAUCAUGAAUUCAAAGAAUUUUCAUGAAUUAGAAAAAAAUCAUCAAUUUAAAAAACGUUCAAAAACUUUGAAAAAGUCUAGCAAUUUUGAAAAAUGAAUAUUUAGUUUUUCUAAAAGUGCAUCAGUUCUGAAAAAAGUUCAUCUAUUUUGAAUAAAAGUUCAUCGAUUUUGAAUAAAAGUUCACCGUCGAUUAAAAAAUUGAAAAAAAGUUUGUGGAUUUUGGAAAAAGAAUUCAUUGAACUCGAAAAGUUCAAUCAAUUUCAAAAAGUUCAUAGGAAAUGAAAAAAAGUUCAGCGAAUUUGAAAAAAAUUCGUCGAAAUGGGAAAAAAUUAUCAAAAUUAAGAAAAAGUUAUUCCAAUUUGAAAAAAGUUCAGCGAAAUUUUACAAAUUCACCGAUUUUUAAAAAAUCAUCAAAUUUUAAAAAAGUUCAUCGAAUUUGAAAAAAAGUAUAGAAAUUGAUAGAAAAAUUUCAUAAAUUUAGAAAAAAGGUUCACAAAUUUUAAAAAGCCGUGCAUUAAACAAAAAAAAGAAUGAUAAAAAAUAAAAAAUAAAUAUAAUAAACCGAACUGAAUGACAACUAAAAAAAGAAAAACGAACUAUCUUUGCACUAGCGCGGUGGUGACCUGGUAGUUACAUCGUAGUGGUUGCAAUGGAGGGGCUGCGGGUUCGAACUCUAGUGCCAGCAUUUAUUGACGUUUUCGAAAAACGGAGAAAAUAUUAGAAUGGGUCAGCCCAGCGCGGGGCGCUCGUUUGCAAAAUACACAUUAAUGGGUGCCUGCAGCGCCAAAUAGGGUUCGCCCGUACAGACGGCGCAGUGUGAGCUAAGCCAACCUUUUGCGUUAUAGGUAUGGGCCUUUUACCAAUUGCAUGUCCCAAAGCCCCAAACGGAAUAACUAAUAUCACUACUUCUGAGAGCCGGUGGUGUGCAGCGACUUUGUUUAGUCCCACAUCGCGUAGGUACUCUCAAGGGACAACAUGCUCAGUUAUAGAAGAGGGUGGGGCUGCACAGACGAGUUUGAUCACAGCUAAGUUGUAAGCUUGUAAGCAACGAAGUAUAUAUUCCAUUUAAACUGAAAACCAAACCGAAUUUGCGGUUAACCGAAAUCUUGGUUAGCUGUUUUUGGAUGUUAAUUUUGUUUUCUAGGUUGUAAACCGAAUUUGAUGAUUAACCGAACACUAUAAACCAAAAUUUUGGUUUCUACCGAAUGCCCACCCCUAGUUGUGGAGGCCAUGAGCCAAUGUUGGAGUAGUGACGCGCGAUGAGACAGACGACGGACGGGCAACUCAAUUCGAUCUUAGAUCAAAGAACAAAAAAAGAUCACCGACCAAUUGAUCGGCGAGAGAGAAAAAACCUGCUAGAAUCGAUUGUUUAUUGCUUGAGUAUCAUGGGCGUGUAUAUAUAUAGAAGUACAUGAUCAAUUCAGAGUACAAGACAAGUCAGAACAAAUCCUAGUCCAUCUCAUAUUUCCUAACUAAUCACGAUACUCAACACCGCCUCGUCGAAACCAGUUUGGAAAAGAAGCUUUAUCGACAAACAUCCAGGAUAUGUGUGGCAUACUACUAUCAUCAUGCUAUAAAUCCUCUAGGAGUAACAAUCAGAGGUAGAUGCGUUUGUGGAAGGAACAACUCAUCAGCCCACCAGAGAUAUCUACAACUGGGAUGGAUUUUACAUGUGAAAUUUACUGAGUAACAGCCAUGGCAGAAGGUGCAUGGAUUCUUUUUGGCUAAUUUUGGAUAAUAAAUAAAUAAAGGGUGACAUUCACAGGUAUCCGCUAGGGCCACGAUAUCGUCUCCAUCAUGGCAUGUGGUCCCAACAACAAUUUGGCCCAGCACUAAAUAAUUUUAUUUUGUACGCUUGGUGAUUAGUACAUUUCAAAUAUAAUAGAUUAACUGCAAGUCAAGACAAUUGGUUAUUCUUUGGUCAUGUUAUCUCUUGCAUGCAUUUCAUUAUGUCCCUUUUUAGAGGUCUAUAGAUGGCUUGCUGAAACAUAUCCAUUUGACAUCAUCUAUCCCUUUAGCCUUAGUGGGGACCAUCUUCCUGUACGUGGUCAUGAUAUCUUUUGGAUGCAGCUUUAUUUGCCUUUAAGCCUAUAGAUAAGAUACUUCGUUCCUUAUCCAUUUGACAUUAUAUAUUGUUCCUUGGGCCUCGUCAGUUGUGGAAUUCAAGGAUGGACAAACGAUCCGCCACUGCUUGUUUUAUGGUGAUGCUUGUGUUGUUAGGAAGCAGUAUGACUGCAGGUAUGUUCUAGCUUUUGUUCUUCUGAAGUAGGUUUCUUAUGGAAUUACUGGAAGUUUUCUUAAAUACGAUGUUGACGCACAUUGUUUCUAUGCCGUGGAGGAAUAAUACAUGUUACCAAUUAUGCAAUAGUUGGACACGGUAUGUUAUUACAAUUGAUGUCUCACUAUUAUGGUCUAACCCUUAAUAUAUUUGAGAUGCACAGAGAACUGUGAGAUUAAGCGCGACAGGAUGACAUUUUGUAUAAAGUCUGAAUGUCUGUAUCAUUGCCAGCAUCGUUGGUAUUAUAAAGUCACGCAGUCUUGGUGUGAUGGUGUCUUCUUCGGCUUCUGCAACUGCAAGAUUUGCAUCGUCAUAUAGAACUUCAAUGGAUACUUACUAUGUCAAGUGCACUUGAAUCUUUGUUUUAACAAUUGAGCACUAUGUAUCCAGGAGUAAUAGAGUUAUGUUUGGAAGCGAUAAUAAUAUGUCUAGUCUCAUAAAAAUCUGCUUAAAGGCAAAACUCAUAGAGUUAUUAAUAAAUAUAGUAAAUGCUAAGUGCACUUGAAGCUUUCAUUUAUACUGGAAUCAGUGCUUAAAACCUAAAUCCAUGGACCAUACAUAUAGAUCGAUUACAUUAGUCUAUGAGUAACUCUAAUAGAUUACUUAAAACCUCUAAGUUCUUUACAGAACUAUUUUUUAACAUAUUUGAACCGAUGCAGUAAAUUUCCUACUACUUGUGCCUAUUUAUUUGCCUUAGUCUAUGAGUAACUUUAAAUGUAAUAGUAUCUUACGCUCAACUUCAUUGCCGCCGACCUGGUGUGGCAUUGAAGGCGCGACCCUCUAUUUUGCACUAGUAGAAAAGGGGGCUUUCGUUCGGGCCUGGCUAGCCCUGUUGGGGAACGUAGUAAUUUCAAAAAAAUUCCUACGCACACGCAAGAUCAUGGUGAUGCAUAGCAACGAGAGGGGAGAGUGUUGUCUACGUACCCUCGUAGACCGAAGCGGAAGCGUUGACGCAACGUAGAGGAAGUAGUCGUACGUCUUCCUGGUCCAACCGAUCCAAGCACCGUUACUCCGGCACCUCCGAGUUCUUGGCACACGUUCAGCUCGAUGACGCUCCCCGGGCUCCGAUCCAGCAAAGCUUCGGGGAGGAGUUCCGCCAGCACGACGGCGUGGUGACGAUCUUGAUGUUCAACAGUCGCAGGGCUUCGCCUAAGCACCGCUAUAAUAUGACCCAUGUGGAAUAUGGUGGAGGGGGGCACCGCACACGGCUAAGGAACGAUCACGAAGAUUAACUUGUGUGUUCUAGGGUGCCCUCUUGCCCCUGUAUAUUAAGUAGCCAAGGGGAGGGGGCGGCCGGCCAAGGAGGGCGCGCCAAGGGGGAGUCCUACUCCCACCGGGAGUAGGACUCCCUUCUUUCCUAGUUGGAGAAGGAGAAGUNNNNNNNNNNNNNNNNNNNNNNNNNNNNNNNNNNNNNNNNNNNNNNNNNNNNNNNNNNNNNNNNNNNNNNNNNNNNNNNNNNNNNNNNNNNNNNNNNNNNNNNNNNNNNNNNNNNNNNNNNNNNNNNNNNNNNNNNNNNNNNNNNNNNNNNNNNNNNNNNNNNNNNNNNNNNNNNNNNNNNNNNNNNNNNNNNNNNNNNNNNNNNNNNNNNNNNNNNNNNNNNNNNNNNNNNNNNNNNNNNNNNNNNNNNNNNNNNNNNGAUUUCACCCGGAACGAUUCCGAUAUCCAAAUAUAGGCUUCCAAUAUAUCGAUCUUUAUGUCUCGACCAUUUCGAGACUCCUCGUCAUGUCCAUGAUCACAUCCGGGACUCCGAACAACCUUCGGUACAUCAAAAUACAUAAACCCAUAAUGAAACUAUCAUCGUAACGUUAAGCGUGCGGACCCUACGGUUCGAGAACAAUGUAGACAUGACCGAGACACGUCUCCGGUCAAUAACCAAUAGCGGAACCUGGAUGCUCAUAUUGGUUCCUACAUAUCCUACGAAGAUCUUUAUCGGUCAGACCGCAUAACAACAUACGUUGUUCCCUUUGUCAUCGGUAUGUUACUUGCCCGAGAUUCGAUCGUCGGUAUCUCAAUACCUAGUUCAAUCUCAUUACCGGCAAGUCUCUUUACUCGUUCUGUAAUACAUCAUCUCACAACUAACUCAUUAGUUGCAAUGCUUGCAAGGCUUAUGUGAUGUGCAUUACCGAGAGGGCCCAGAGAUACCUCUCCGACAAUCGGAGUGACAAAUCCUAAUCUCGAAAUACGCCAACCCAACAUGUACCUUUGGAGACACCUGUAGAGCACCUUUAUAAUCGCCCAGUUACGUUACGUUUGGUAGCACACAAAGUGUUCCUCCGGCAAACGGGAGUCGCAUAAUCUCAUAGUCAUAGGAACAUGUAUAAGUCAUGAAGAAAGCAAUAGCAACAUACUAAAUGAUCGGGUGCUAAGCUAAUGGAAUGGGUCAUGUCAAUCAGAUCAUUCACCUAAUGAUGUGAUCCCGUUAAUCAAAUAACAACUCUUUGUCCAUGGUUAGGAAACAUAACCAUCUUUGAUUAACGAGCUAGUCAAGUAGAGGCAUACUAGUGACACUCUGUUUGUCUAUGUAUUCACACAUGUAUUAUGUUUCCGGUUAAUACAAUUCUAGCAUGAAUAAUAAACAGUUAUCAUGAUAUAAGGAAAUAAAUAAUAACUUUAUUAUUGCCUCUAGGGCAUAUUUCCUUCAGUCUUCCACUUGCACUAGAGUCAAUAAUCUAGAUUACACAGUAAUGAUUCUAACACCCAUGGAGCCUUGGUGCUGAUCAUGUUUUGCUCGUGGAAGAGGCUUAGUCAACGGGUCUGCUACAUUCAGAUCCGUAUGUAUCUUGCAAAUCUCUAUGUCUCCCACCUGGACUAGAUCCCGGAUGGAAUUGAAGCGUCUCUUGAUGUGCUUGGUUCUCUUGUGAAAUCUGGAUUCCUUUGCCAAGGCAAUUGCACCAGUAUUGUCACAAAAGAUUUUCAUUGGACCCGAUGCACUAGGUAUGACACCUAGAUCGGAUAUGAAAUCCUUCAUCCAGACUCCUUCAUUUGCUGCUUCCGAAGCAGCUAUGUAUUCCGCUUCACACGUAGAUCCCGCCACGACGCUUUGUUUAGAACUGCACCAACUGACAGCUCCACCGUUUAAUGUAAACACGUAUCCGGUUUGCGAUUUAGAAUCAUCCAGAUCGGUGUCAAAGCUUGCAUCAACGUAACCAUUUACGAUGAGCUCUUUGUCACUCCAUAAACGAGAAACAUAUCCUUAGUCCUUUUCAGGUAUUUCAGGAUGUUCUUGACCGCUGUCCAGUGAUCCACUCCUGGAUUACUUUGGUACCUCCCUGCUAGACUUAUAGCAAGGCACACAUCAGGUCUGGUACACAGUAUUGCAUACAUGAUAGAGCCUAUGGCUGAAGCAUAGGGAACAUCUUUCAUUUUCUCUCUAUCUUCUGCAGUGGUCGGGCAUUGAGUCUUACUCAACUUCACACCUUGUAACACAGGCAAGAACCCUUUCUUUGCUUGAUCCAUUUUGAACUUCUUCAAAACUUUGUCAAGGUAUGUGCUUUGUGAAAGUCCAAUUAAGCGUCUUGAUCUAUCUCUAUAGAUCUUAAUGCCUAAUAUGUAAGCAGCUUCACCGAGGUCUUUCAUUGAAAAACUCUUAUUCAAGUAUCCCUUUAUGCUAUCCAGAAAUUCUAUAUCAUUUCCAAUUAGUAAUAUGUCAUCCACAUAUAAUAUCAGAAAUGCUACAGAGCUCCCACUCACUUUCUUGUAAAUACAGGCUUCUCCAAAAGUCUGUAUAAAACCAAAUGCUUUGAUCACACUAUCAAAGCGUUUAUUCCAACUCCGAGAGGCUUGCACCAGUCCAUAAAUGGAUCGCUGGAGCUUGCACACUUUGUUAGCUCCCUUUGGAUCGACAAAACCUUCUGGUUGCAUCAUAUACAACUCUUCUUCCAGAAAUCCAUUCAGUAAUGCAGUUUUGACAUCCAUUUGCCAAAUUUCAUAAUCAUAAAAUGCGGCAAUUGCUAACAUGAUUCGGACAGACUUAAGCAUCGCUACGGGUGAGAAGGUCUCAUCGUAGUCAAUCCCUUGAACUUGUCGAAAACCUUUUGCAACAAGUCGAGCUUUGUAGACAGUAACAUUACCGUCAGCGUCAGUCUUCUUCUUGAAGAUCCAUUUAUUCUCAAUUGCUUGCCGAUCAUCGGGCAAGUCAACCAAAGUCCACACUUUGUUCUCAUACAUGGAGCCCAUCUCAGAUUUCAUGGCUUCAAGCCAUUUCGCGGAAUCUGGGCUCACCAUCGCUUCUUCAUAGUUCGUAGGUUCAUCAUGAUCUAGUAGCAUGACUUCCAGAACAGGAUUACCGUACCACUCUGGUGCAGAUCUUACUCUGUUUGAUCUACGAGGUUCAGUAGCAACUUGAUCUGAAGUUCUAUGAUCAUCAUCAUUAACUUCCUCACUAAUUGGUUUAGGUGUCACAGAAACCGGUUUCUGUGAUGUACUACUUUCCAAUAAGGGAGCAGGUACAAUUACCUCAUCAAGUUCCACUUUCCUCCCACUCACUUCUUUCGAGAGAAAUUCCUUCUCUAGAAAGGAUCCAUUUUUAGCAACGAAUGUCUUGCCUUCGCAUCUGUGAUAGAAGGUGUACCCAACAGUCUCCUUUGGGUAUCCUAUGAAGACACAUUUCUCCGAUUUGGGUUCGAGCUUAUCAGGUUGAAUCUUUUUCACAUAAGCAUCACAACCCCAAACUUUAAGAAAAGACAACUUUCGUUUCUUGCCAAACCAUAGUUCAUAAGGCGUCGUCUCAACGGAUUUUGAUGGUGCCCUAUUUAACGUGAAUGCGGCCGUCUCUAAAGCAUAACCCCAAAACGAUAGCGGUAAAUCUGUAAGAGACAUCAUAGAUCGCACCAUAUCAAGUAAAGUACGAUUACGACGUUCGGACACACCAUUACGUUGUGGUGUUCCGGGUGGCGUGAGCUGCGAAACUAUUCCGCAUUGUUUCAAAUGUAGACCAAACUCGUAACUCAAAUAUUCUCCUCCACGAUCAGAUCGUAGAAACUUUAUUUUCUUGUUACGAUGAUUUUCAACUUCACUCUGAAAUUCUUUGAACUUUUCAAAUGUUUCAGACUUAUGCUUCAUUAAGUAGAUAUACCCAUAUCUGCUUAAAUCAUCCGUGAAGGUGAGAAAAUAACGAUAUCCUCCACGAGCCUCAACAUUCAUCGGACCACAUACAUCUGUAUGUAUGAUUUCCAACAAAUCUAUUGCUCUCUCCAUAGUACCGGAGAACGGAGUUUUAGUCAUCUUGCCCAUGAGGCACGGUUCGCAAGUACCAAGUGAUUCAUAAUCAAGUGGUUCCAAAAGUCCAUCAGUAUGGAGUUUCUUCAUGCGCUUUACACCGAUAUGACCUAAACGGCAGUGCCACAAAUAAGUUGCACUAUAAUUAUGAACUCUGCAUCUUUUGGCUUCAACAUUAUGAAUAUGUGUAUCACUACUAUCGAGAUUCAUCAAAAAUAGACCACUCUUCAAGGGUGCAUGACCAUAAAAGAUAUUACUUAUAUAAAUAGAACAAUCAUUAUUCUCUGAUUUAAAUGAAUAACCGUCUCGCAUCAAACAAGAUCCAGAUAUAAUGUUCAUGCUCAACGCUGGCACCAAAUAACAAUUAUUUAGGUCUAAUACUAAUCCCGAAGGUAGAUGUAGAGGUAGCGUGCCGACCGCGAUCACAUCGACUUUGGAACCAUUUCCCACGCGCAUCGUCACCUCGUCCUUUACCAGUGUUCGCUUAAUCCUAGUCCCUGUUUCGAGUUGCAAAUACUAGCAACAGAACCAGUAUCAAAUACCCAGGUGCUACUGCGAGCUCUAGUAAGGUACACAUCAAUAACAUGUAUAUCACAUAUACCUUUGUUCACCUUGCCAUCCUUCUUAUCCGCCAAAUACUUGGGGCAGUUCCGCUUCCAGUGACCAGUCUGCUUGCAGUAGAAGCACUCAGUUUCAGGCUUAGGUCCAGACUUGGGUUUCUUCUCCUGAGCAGCAACUUGCUUGCUGUUCUUCUUGAAGUUCCCCUUCUUCUUCCCUUUGCCCUUUUUCUUGAAACUAGUGGUCUUGUUGACCAUCAACACUUGAUGCUCCUUCUUGAUUUCUACCUCCGCAGCCUUUAGCAUUGCGAAGAGCUCGGGAAUUGUCUUACCCAUCCCUUGCAUAUUAUAGUUCAUCACGAAGCUCUUGUAGGUUGGUGGAAGUGAUUGGAGAAUUCUGUCAAUGACGGUAUCAUCCGGAAGAUUAACUCCCAGUUGAAUCAAGUGAUUACAAUACCCAGACAUCUUGAGUAUAUGCUCACUGACAGAACUAUUCUCCUCCAUCGCAGCUAUAGAAUUUAUUGGAGACUUCAUAUCUCUCAAUCUGGGCAUUUUGCUGGAAUAUUAACUUCAACUCCUGGAACAUCUCAUAUGCCCCAUGACGUUCAAAACGUCGUUGAAGUCCCGGUUCUAAGCCGUAAAGCAUGGCACAUUGAACUAUCGAGUAGUCAUCAGCUUUGCUCUACCAGAUGUUCUUAACGUCGUCAGUUGCAUCAGCAGCAGGCCUGGCACCCAGUGGUGCUUCCAGGACAUAACUCUUCUGUGCAGCAAUGAGGAUAAUCCUCAAGUUACGGACCCAGUCUGUGUAAUUGCUACCAUCAUCUUUCAAUUUUGCUUUCUCAAGGAACGCAUUAAAAUUCAAUGGAACAACACCACGGGCCAUCUAUCUACAAUCAACAUAAACAAGCAAGAUACUAUCAGGGACUAAGUUCAUGAUAAAUUUAAGUUCAAUUAAUCAUAUUACUUAAGAACUCCCACUUAGAUAGACAUCCCUCUAAUCAUCUAAGUGAUCACGUGAUCCAAAUCAACUAAACCAUAACCGAUCAUCACGUGAAAUGGAGUAGUUUUCAAUGGUGAACAUCGCUCUGUUGAUCAUAUCUAUUAUAUGAUUCACGCUCGACCUUUCGGUCUCAGUGUUCCGAGGCCAUAUCUGCAUAUGCUAGGCUCGUCAAGUUUAACCUGAGUAUUCUGCGUGUGCAAAACUGGCUUGCACCCGUUGUAGAUGGACGUAGAGCUUAUCACACCCGAUCAUCACGUGGUGUCUGGGCACGGCGAACUUUGGCAAUGGUGCAUACUCAGGGAGAACACCUUUUAUCUUGAAAUUUAGUGAGAGAUCAUCUUAUAAUGCUACCAUCAAUCAAAGCAAGAUAAGAUGCAUAAAAGAUAAACAUCACAUGCAAUCAAUAUAAGUGAUAUGAUAUGGCCAUCAUCAUCUUGUGCUUGUGAUCUCCAUCUCCGAAUCACCGUCAUGAUCACCAUCGUCACCGGCGCGACACCUUGAUCUCCAUCGUAGCAUCGUUGUCGUCUCGCCAAUCUUAUGCUUCUAUGACUAUCGCUACCGCUUAGUGAUAAAGUAAAGCAUUACAGGGCGAUUGCAUUGCAUACAAUAAAGCGACAACCAUAUGGCUCCUGCCAGUUGCCGAUAACUUGGUUACAAAAACAUGAUCAUCUCAUACAAUAAAAUUUAGCAUCAUGCCUUGACCAUAUCACAUCACAACAUGCCCUGCAAAAACAAGUUAGACGUCCUCUACUUUGUUUGUUGCAAGUUUUACGUGGCUGCUAUGGGCUUAAGCAAGAACCAAUCUUACCUACGCAUCAAAACCACAACGAUAGUUUGUCAAGUUGGUGCUGUUUUAACCUUCGCAAGGACCGGGCGUAGCCACACUCGGUUCAACUAAAGUUGGAGAAACUGACACCCGCCAGCCACCUGUGUGCAAAGCACGGCGGUAGAACCAGUCUCGCGUAAGCGUACGCGUAAUGUCGGUCCGGGCCGCUUCAUCCAGCAAUACCGUCGAACCAAAGUAUGACAUGCUGGUAAGCAGUAUGACUUAUAUCGCCCACAACUCACUUGUGUUCUACUCGUGCAUAUAACAUCAAACCGUAAAACCUAGGCUUUGAUACCACUGUUGGGGAACAUAGUAAUUUCAAAAAAUUUCCUACGCACACGCAAGAUCAUGGUGAUGCAUAGCAACGAGAGGGGAGAGUGUUGUCUACGUACCCUCCUAGACCGAAGCAGAAGCGUUGACGCAACGUAGAGGAAGUAGUCGUACGUCUUCCCGGUCCAACCGAUCCAAGCACCGUUACUCCGGCACCUCCGAGUUCUUGGCACACGUUCAGCUCGACGACGCUCCCCGGGCUCCAAUCCAGCAAAGCUUCGGGGAGGAGUUCCGUUAGCACGACGGCAUGGUGACGAUCUUGAUGUUCAACAGUCGCAGGACUUCGCCUAAGCACCGCUACAAUAUGACCGAGGUGGAAUAUGGUGGAGGGGGGCACCGCACACGGCUAAGGAACGAUCACGAAGAUCAACUUGUGUGUUCUCGGGUGCCCCCUUGCCCCUGUAUAUAAAGGAGCCAAGGGGAGGGGGCAGCCGGCCAAGGAGGGCGCGCCAAGGGGGAGUAGGACUCCCUUCUUUCCUAGUUGGAGAAGGAGAAGUGGGAAAGAGGAGGAAGAGGGAAAGGAAAGGGGGGGCGCCGCCCCCCUCUCCUUGUCCAAUUCGGACUAGGGAGGGGAGGGGCGCGCGGCCACCUCUUGCCUCCUUUCCUCUUCUCCCUUAGGGCCCAUGUAGGCCCAAUAACCCCCGGGGGGGUUCCGGUAACCCCCCGGUACUCCGGUAAAAUCCCGAUUUCACCCGAAACGAUUCCGAUAUCCAAAUAUAGGCUUCCAAUAUAUCGAUCUUUAUGUCUCGACCAUUUAGAGACUCCUCGUCAUGUCCAUGAUCACAUCCAGGACUCCGAACAACCUUCGGUACAUCAAAAUACAUAAACUCAUAAUGAAACUAUCAUCGUAACGUUAAGCGUGCGGACCCUACGGUUCAAGAACAAUGUAGACAUGACCGAGACACGUCUCCGGUAAAUAACCAAUAGCGGAACCUGGAUGCUCAUAUUGGUUCCUACAUAUUCUACGAAGAUCUUUAUCGGUCAGAUCGCAUAACAACAUAGGUUGUUCCCUUUGUCAUCGGUAUGUUACUUGCCCGAGAUUCGAUCGUCGGUAUCUCAAUACCUAGUUCAAUCUCGUUACCGGCAAGUCUCUUUACUCGUUCCGUAAUACAUCAUCUCACAACUAACUCAUUAGUUGCAAGGCUUGCAAGGCUUAUGUGAUGUGCAUUACCGAGAGGGCCCAGAGAUACCUCUCCGACAAUCGGAGUGACAAAUCCUAAUCUCGAAAUACGCCAACCCAACAUGUACCUUUGGAGACACCUGUAGAGCACCUUUAUAAUCACCCAGUUACGUUGUGACGUUUGGUAGCACACAAAGUGUUCCUCCGGCAAACGGGAGUUGCAUAAUCUCAUAGUCAUAGGAACAUGUAUAAGUCAUGAAGAAAGCAAUAGCAACAUACUAAACGAUCGGGUGCUAAGCUAAUGGAAUGGGUCAUGUCAAUCAGAUCAUUCACCUAAUGAUGUGAUCCCGUUAAUCAAAUAACAACUCUUUGUCCAUGGUUAGGAAACAUAACCAUCUUUGAUUAACGAGCUAGUCAAGUAGAGGCAUACUAGUGACACUCUGUUUGUCUAUGUAUUCACACAUGUAUUAUGUUUCCGGUUAAUACAAUUCUAGCAUGAAUAAUAAACAGUUAUCAUGAUAUAAGGAAAUAAAUAAUAACUUUAUUAUUGCCUCUAGGGCAUAUUUCCUUCCAGCCCAUUAGUCACGGUUCUUCCAUGAACCAGGACCAAUGGAUGCAUUCGUCCCGGUUCAUGAGCCCAGGGGCCGGCUGGGGCCUCGUGGGCAUUGGUCCCGGUUCGUAUGGACCCAUUUGUCUCGGUUCCAGGCACGAACCGGGACCAAUGGGCCUCGCUCCUGGCCCACAAACAUUGGUCCCGAUUCUUGGCUCGAACCACGACAAAAGGCUGGGCUUUAGUCCUGGUUCCAGCCAUGAACCGGGACAAAUGAGUUGCCUAUAUAUACUCCGUCGCUGCAGCAGAGCACUCCAUAGUUCUUUGUUUUUUCUGUCCGGCCUCACCUCCUAUGCACACGAGGUGUUCGAUGAAAUGCCCAAGCCACGCUAGUUAAACUUUCUCCUCUCGAAGCUCGACCUCCAAGCUCCAUUUUCCUCGAGAUUUUUCUAGGUUUAGUGGUCCGUCACGUCCCGUCCCCGUCUUCCCCGCCGUCGAUCGCCCGCGCCGAUCUCGUCGCCUGCACCACUGUGGUGAGCCUCUUAUCUUCUUCUGAAAAAAAAAAUUCUUACGUUAGAUAGAUACUUGUCUAAUUUUCUUACUUUUAUUAUUGCUUGUGCUUAUAUAGUGCGAUGGUUUUGGUAUCCGCCCCCGUCGGCCCUCGUCCGGGCUAUGAUUCGGAUGUGGUAUAUAUUAUCUUUUAUAACUAUUCGGUUCAUUUAUUGUUUAUCACAAUUAUGCCCAUCAAGUUGACAUAGAUUUUAUUUAUGUAGGAAGUAGUUGAACCGGAAAUUCCAACCGACCCUAUUGUCGAGAGGUUAAAUUUAGUUGAAGAAGAAAACAAUUACUUGAAGGAAAAAAUAAAAAAAUGAGGAGGAGAAGAUGAUAUUGGAGUUGCAUGUUGCGGAUGUCGUCGAUGAUCACAAUAUCAAGAUGGAUGCAAUGCGGUUGAAGAUGGGAAAGAUUAGAAAAUAUGCCAUUCAUACCGUGGCUUGGUAUCAUUAUGCCGUUGGAUCAAUUUUUACCAUGGUUGUGAUUAUGAUCACAUUUAUUGUUGCAUUGAAAGGUUUCACAUAGUUUCAAUGUAUGGUUUAACUAGAUGCUCUGGAGAGCUAUAUGUUGUUCAAUGAGAACUAUGUAUGUACUUUGUUUUUAAUGUGAUGAUGAACUUCUAUUAAUUUGGUCACUUAUCUAUCCAUGAGAGCUAUAUGUACUAAACUGAUGAUGUAGCUUUGAAUGGUGCAUUUUAUACACGAAGUGCAGUUUUUGCCGUAAGCCUCUCUACUUUAUUGCACAUGCUAUGUGGGUGAAAUGAUGAUACCAUGCCAACUUUCAACCUUUUCAGAGUUCAUUUGUAGCGCUUUUCAAUUUCAGGGUCUUAUAGCUCAAAAUAAUCAGUAAAUGCAUGAAAAAUAACAAAUGAAGUCAGAAAGGGUUGAAAAUUGAUGAUGUGGCUUUGGAUGGUGCAUUUUGAACACAGAAAAAGUAUGGAGUUCAAAUAAGUUCAAAAAAAUGAAAUCCCUUUGUACCAGACGAGUUUCCGUAUGAAACACUGAUAUUUCAAACUUAAAAAAAACCCUGAUACUUCGAAAGAGAUUGUCUGUUUUGUACACGAAGUGCAUUCAUUUUUUGCCGUAAGCCUCUCUACUUUCUUGCACAUGCUAUGUGGGUGAAAUGAUGAUACCAUGCCAACUUUCAACCUUUUAAGAGUUCAUUUGUAGUGCUUUUCAAUUUCAGGCUCUAAUAGCUCAAAAUAAUCAGUAAAUGCAUUAAAAAUAACAAAUGAAGUCAGAAAGGGUUGAAAAUUGAUGAUGUGGCUUUGAAUGGUGCAUUUUGAACACAAAAAAAGUAUGGCGUUCAAAUAAGUUUUAAAAAAUAAAAUCCCUUUGUAACGGACGAGUUUCCGUAUAAAACCCUGAUGCUUUGAAAGAGAUUGUGCAUUUUGUACACGAAGUGCAUCCAGUUUUUGCCGUAAGCCUCUCUACUUUCUUGCACAUGCUAUGUGGGUGAAAUGAUGAUACCAUGCCAACUUUCAACCUUUUCAGAGUUCAUUUGUAGCGCUUUUCAAUUUCAGGGUCUUAUAGCUCAAAAUAAUCAGUAAAUGCAUGAAAAAUAACAAAUGAAGUCAGAAAGGGUUGAAAAUUGAUGUGGUGGCUUUGAAUAGUGCAUUUUGAACACAGAAAAAGUAUGAAGUUCAAAUAAGUUCAAAAAUAUGAAAUCCCUUUGUAACAGACGAGUUUCCGUAUAAAACCCUGAUACUUUGAAAGAGAUUAUGCAUUUUGUACACGAAGUGCGUCUAGUUUUUGUCGUAAGCCUCUCUACUUUCUUGCACAUGCUAUGUGAAUGAAAUGAUGAUACCAUGCCAACUUUCAACCUUUUCAGAGUUCAUUUGUAGUGCUUUUCAAUUUCAGGGUCUUAUAGCUCAAAAUAAUCAGUAAAUGCAUGAAAAAUAACAAAUGAAGUCAGAAAGGGUUGAAAAUUGAUGACGUGGCUUUGAAUGGUGCAUUUUGAACACAGAAAAACUCUGAAGUUCAAAUAAGUUCAAAAAAAUGAAAUCCCUUUGUAACAGACGAGUUUCCGUAUGAAACCCUUAUACUUCGAAAGAGAUUGUCUGUUUUGUACACGAAGUGCAUCCAGUUUUUGCCGUAACCCUCUCUAAUUUCUUGCACAUGCUAUGUGGAUGAAAUGAUGAUACCAUGCAAAAAGAAAAUUAACUAAAAAACUUUUAUAAAACUCUAAUAGCAAAAGGAAUGAACUAAAAAGCUUUUAUAAACCUCUAGUAUUUUUUAAACUAAAAUUAUAUAAAAUUCAUGCCACUGAAAUUAUCAAAGUAUUUUCUGUUCAAAACAUGAAAAGCAGAACGAAACAAAAUAAACUUUGAUAAAAAGUAGAAACAAAAUUAAANNNNNNNNNNNNNNNNNNNNNNNNNNNNNNNNNNNNNNNNNNNNNNNNNNNNNNNNNNNNNNNNNNNNNNNNNNNNNNNNNNNNNNNNNNNNNNNNNNNNNNNNNNNNNNNNNNNNNNNNNNNNNNNNNNNNNNNNNNNNNNNNNNNNNNNNNNNNNNNNNNNNNNNNNNNNNNNNNNNNNNNNNNNNNNNNNNNNNNNNNNNNNNNNNNNNNNNNNNNNNNNNNNNNNNNNNNNNNNNNNNNNNNNNNNNNNNNNNNNNNNNNNNNNNNNNNNNNNNNNNNNAUAAAAAUAGCAAUGGUAAGGUUUUUUGUUGUAAGUAGAAAUAAAAUAAAAUAAAUAAAGCAACAAAAAAAUAAAAAAGAAAGUGCCAACUACUGGGCCACCACGGCCUGAAUACGACUAGAAACUCUACCAUGGGCCAGGAUUCAGGCCCGCAGAAGGCCCAUCGGGCAUAGUAGUGACAAUUAGGCUCGUAAGCUUGCAAUCAAGAGGAGCUCGAGAGGGGUGCGGCAGUGGGGCUUAUAAACCACUCCGCGCCCCUCUCAACUAGCGAGGUGGGAUUAAAGUUUUGGCCACGGGGAGCACGAGGCCUUUGGUUCACGGAGACCAAAGGCCUCCGCUUCCCGCCCUUUGGGCUGCUGAAAAGAGACCUUUGGUCCCAGUUGGUAGCACCAACCGGGACUAAAGGGACCAUUGGUACCAGUUUGUGCCACGAACCAUUACCAAUGCCCUGGGUAUAUAAGAAAACACUUAUCAGUUUUGAUGAAAUCCAUCACUUCUUCUCCCCCGACGCUCUUGCUCCUCCUCGUCGCCGUCGCCGCCCGACGCCCCUGCUCCACCUUGUCGUCAUCGCCGCCACCGACGCCGUCAGGCUGCUCAACGUCGCUGUCGGUGCCGCCGCCACUAACGCCCUCUGCCCCGAUGCGCCGUCGACCCUCGCGCCCCUGCCGGCCCCGACGCGCCGCCCCCUGUGAGCACCAGCCUGCUCCCGCGCCCCUCCCCUGUCCCGCGCCCCUGCGCCCCUACCCUGCCCCGCCGGCGCCGGCCCCUCCACCGUGCCCCUGGAUCCGCCCCUGCGCGGUGCUAUUAUAUUUGUAGAUGUUUUUAUAUGUUUUUUUAGAAGUUUUUAGAUGCUAUUCUUAGAUGUUUUUACAUGUUUUUAGGUUAUUUUAGUUUAUGUUUAGUUUAGUUUUAAGAUUAGGAAAAUUUUGGAUGUGUAGUUAUAUUUAUUUAGAUGUCUAGUUAAUUUAGAUGUUGUAAUUUGUUCAUAAAAAUUGUGCACUUUUGUAUAGCAACUUUAUUUUUUUUCAUAUGUACGAAAAUGUAGAGUGAAAAGUUUUAUAUAUGCAAAAGUUACAUUUUUAGAAAAGUUUUAUAUAUCUAGCUAGGAAAGGAAAGAAGAAGAAAAAGAAUGAGAGGAAAAAGGAAAAUAAGAAGAGGAAGAAAGGAGGAGAAGAGGAGAAAUAAAUAAGAACAGGAAAAAAUAAGAAAAAGAAGAGGAGAAGAAGAAAGGAAUAGAGCAGAAGAAGAAAAAAUAGAAAAUAGAAGAAAGGAAUAUUUUCUAUUUUCUCUUAUUCUCCUUUUUUUCUUCUUUUUUUCUUCGUUGUCGAUAUACCCCGGCUCGAUAACUUUGUUUAAUUUUAGGAUUAUUUUAGUUUAUAUUUAGUUUAGGAAGAAGGAAAAGAAAAAGGAGAAGAAGAGGAGAGGAAGAAGUGGAGAAAUAAAUAAGAAGAGGACAAAAUGGGGAAAAAGAGGAGAAGAAGAAAGGAAUAGAGGAGAAGAAGAGAAAAUAGAAAAUACUAAUAGAAAAUAGUAUUUUCUAUUUUCUCUUCUUCUCCUCUAUUCCUUUCUUCUUCUCCUCUUUUUUCUUCUUCUUUUUUUCUUCUUUUUUUUCUUCGAUCUUCUCCUUUAUUCCUUUGUUCUUCUCCUCUUUUUAUUUCUUCUUCGUCUUCUUAUUUUUUAUCGGGUAUGUCGUUGUCGAUAUACCCCGUCCCCGAUAACUUCGACAUGAGGGGGGAGGGGGAGGGGUCGCCGAGGGUUUGAGGGGCGAGGGGAGGGAACUAGCUAGGGUAGAGGGUCGAGGGUCACCGAGGGGUCGAGGGUCGCCGAGGGUUCGAGGGUCGAGGGGUCGUUGUAUGUUGUCGUUGUCGAUAUACCCCCUCUCGACCGUGAUAACUUAUACCAUGGGAGCACCCCCCGGCCCUCUCUCUUGACCAAAACUCUCGAGGACACCCAAACCCUAGAAAAAAACGAUGUCAGUCUCCUACCCCCUCCCGCCGCGCCCCUAACCGAUCGACAAACUCUCUUGAGGCCACCCAAAUUUACCAAGUUAAAAGAGCGUUGUCGUCGAGGCCACCCCAAACCCUAGAGAAGCGUCGAGGCCAGGCCACUAAUAUGAUUCCUUAUUGUGCUUAGCUAGCUAGUUCAACGUUUGCCACUAAUAUAUCCAUCUAUCAUGUUUGAAUAAUAAUCGCCAUGUUGUAAAUAUUUGUAGAAACUAUGGAUCCGCACCCCCGAGACGAAGCACAAGAAGCGGUGUUGGGGGAGAUAAUCGCACAUGGAAGUGAUGUCGUCUUGUCGUUUCUCAACGACACAUGCACCGAUGGUCUGGAAAGACAGGAUGAAGAAGCAGGCUACGACGACGAUGAUCAAACAAUGGAGGAGGAAGGACACCGUGAUGACGGCUCCGGUGACUGAAUGGAGGGGGAAGGACACCGUGAUGACGGCUCCGGUGACCGAAUGGAGGGGGAAGGACACCGUGAUGACGGCUCCGGUGACCGAACGGAGUCCGGCCAGGUAUAUAUAUUAACUAAUUAAGCAUGUGCUGACUAUACCUAAUUGAUGCAUUAAUUGUUUUUGGUAUGUACACAUAUUAACUCUCAUCUUUUUCUUCUUUUCUAGCCCUCCGGAUCGAGCACCACUUCGAUAACGAGACGAGGCCCGAAGAGAAAGUUGCGCUCGGAUGAAAGGUACAUGAUCAUCGAAAUUGAUCGCGCUGGCCAACCGAUUGAACCCCACCGGACCAAGCAAAAAUUUAAUGCUCAGUGCGGGGUUCUAGUUAGGGACAUGAUCCCGAUCAGCAUCGAGCAAUGGUUGAAGCCUAAGGACAAAGACUCUCAGGUGUCUUAUGUCAGCGAUAGGCAGAAAGCUGAUCUUUGGACCGCGCUGCAGGAAAAUUUCACCUUCCUGCCAGAGGAGGAUUCGGAGAAUCCAGUUAAAAAGCCAAUGAUCAAGGCUUAUGCUCUUAAGAAGAUGGCUGAGCUAUUCAGGAGGUGGAAGAAUGAGCCAAAAUCAUCGUUUGUUGAACAAGACAAGACUCCAGAAUUCAUCGGCUGAUUUGAGAAGAUCAAAGAUCAGUGGCCCGCAUUUGUCACCAAAAAGAAAUCUGAGAGAGCAGCGAAGAUGUCAGCGACAAACAAGAAAAAUGCUGCAAAGAAGAAGCAUCACCAUCACACGGGGUCAGGUGGCUACCUGAAAGCCCGGCCAUUGUGGGACAAGGCUGAGAAUGACCUCAUUGCUAAAGGGAUCGAACCAGAGACGCGACGCUGGCCAGACCGUUGCAGGACUUGGUUCUUCGGGGUUGGGGGGAAAUUGGACCCUGUAACAGGGAAGUGCGUUUGGACCAACGAGCAGCUGAACACACCCAUCGAGAAGCUUCAGGAGUAUAUUGAAAAGGCGCAGCAAGGGACGUUCGUUCCGGACAGAGAGAACGACGAGCUCACAGAGGCCCUCGGGAAUCCUGAGCACCCCGGACGGACACAAGGCACACCAGGCUCCCUUUCGUGGAAGGCUGGAUUUCCCGACGCAGGCGGUUACAAACGCCGGGAGAGGAAGAAGAAAAAGGAGUUGACCCAACUACAGGAGCUGCACGCAAGGGUACAAGCGCUAGAGGAACGAGAUGAGGCCCGCAGCACGCGACCUGCCAAAGCUGCUACACCCUAAGCUACACCGCCAUCUCAGCGGAGAAGCAGCGUGGCUUCCACGAAGCUGCUUCAGGAGCCUGUCUUCACGACUCCUGCUAGCUACCCCGUGGACUUAAUCACGGAGUCUCACAAUUGCCACCUUAUGACGCAAUGGAUGAAUACGAAAAUCAAGGCGGCUGUUGGCUCUGUUGCACGUCCUGAACCUGGUGUAACUUUUCACUGCCGGCCGAUUCCAGAAGGAUAUGCUAGGGUGAUGGUGGACGAAAUAACGGAAGGAUUUGAGGAGCUCGAGCUUGGACACCCUACCGGUGAAGGGGAGACUCGGCUGGGUUCUGCUCUGAAGACUCCAUGCCUAUGGCGGAAGGAGCUCAUCAACCUUCCGAACUAGACGCCUCCGCCUCCGCCUCCUCCUCCUCCUCCGGCGAGUCAGGGCACUCCGCCUCCUCCUCCGGCGAGUGAUCAGGGCACUCAGCCUCCUUCUCCGGCAUGUGGUGGCACUCCGCCUCCUUCCCCGCCUGCGCCGGAGCGCCCGAGCAGCCACCAGCCUCCUUCUCCGGCGCGUGGCGGCACUCCGCCUCCUUCUCCGCCUGCGCCGGCGUGCACGAGCAGCCACCAGCCUCCUCCUUCUUCGCCUCGCCAGCAAGGGCGGAAGAGACCCGCCGCCGCCCCGGCUGCUCCAGCGCGUCGUAGUCCUUCUCCUCCGCCUCAUAAGCAAGCAUGAAAGAAGAUAGCCGCAACCACUCCGUUUGCUCCGGCGUCUAGCAGUACAACCAGAGGCAGGCAAUACAGAUUCGGUCCACCUCGCAAGCCUCUAGAGAAGUUACCAUACGAGAGGACCGUGGAAGAAAACGCGAAGAUCGUGGAAAAAGAAGUGAAUGACUUCUUUGAAGGGGUGAAAGCAAAGAGACAUCCAUCUCCGGAGGAGAAGGUAGACCGGAUGAAAGCAAAGUGCACACUCGAUGCCCUGAGGAAACCACCAAAGUCUCUGCCGAAAACCAACUAUGAGCACAUUACUGCAAAGGUAUAUAUCGAAGCGGAGCGGUCGGGAAAUACUAUCAGUGAUCGAAGGUUAGCAGAACGACGAGUUGGGAAAAAAUUGCCCAGCUCGGCGAACAAGCGGACCAAUUGUGCCCCCCGCUCAAGGUGUCUAGCGAUAUCGUCGCUAAUGAUCCGGGGAUGGUGCCCGGUUAUAGCAAUCUUGGAAAUUACCUGCCCGACGAUGUACAUUAUGAUUUCUUGGAGGUGGACGAACACAGAUACGAGUACGCGAAGCCUCUCGUCAAAGAUGAAAAAUCUCUAACAACGAUGAUGCGAAGGUUCCAUGAUUGGUACAUGAAAACCUGCAGAGAGUCUGGGGGGACGAAUACUUUGUAUCUGAGAGUUCAAGAUGAGCACGACCUUGUUGGAAUUCAUUUGUUGACUGUUCCAUUUGAGGAGUUCUUCCAGUGGUUCAAUCAAAAGGCCAUCAAUAAAUUAACGGUCAGUUGCUACUGUCUGUAAGUGCUACUUCUGUCAUUAAGUCUCUAUAUAUAGCUCAGCUCUUUCAUUGCAUGUAUAUAUGAUUAUCCUCACUAUAUUAUGCAGAUCGAAGAUCGUCGAGUGCAGAAAAGCAGAAAUGUAUGAUAUUGGGUUCAUUAACACAAAUCUCAUGGAUAAAUUUGAGGUUGAAAAGAACGCUGAUGAUGCUGAGGCCAACUUGCUCAAAUCAUUGAUAGUAAAUCAAAAUAAAGAUAAAAUACUCUUUCCUUACAACUUCGAGUGAGUGUUACUGUCUUGUGCAUAUUCGGUUUCCCUUAUUACUCGAGCGAGGUUAUAGUAAUGUAAUUGAUGAGUUAUGCAUGCGUGCGCAGCUUCCACUAUAUUCUCCUGGAGAUUAAGCUUGAGUAGGGACUAGUAAUCGUCUUAGACUCGAGACGAAAAUCUCCCGAGACCUAUGCGGACAUGACUAAAAUGCUCGAGAAGUAAGUCGAUCGAUCAUUAUCGCACCAUAUCGGCAACUUUUUUUUCAUUUCCUGAUAUCAAGUAAUUGUUUUCUUUGUCUCGCAGGGUUUGGAAAGUAUUCACCGCACAAGCUUCGGGACUGCCGGGGAGCUGCGAUGGACAUACCCGAAAGUAAGUAGUACUAGCUAGCUAGUUCCGCGCAUCUCGAUCCCGUUGAUUCUAGCUACUUUCAUCAAUGCCAUUUAUAAUGCUUCAUUAUCAGUUUGAUUGACCUCUAUUUCUCGUAAAGUGCUUGUGGCAGGAACAAGGGAAUGAUUUCUGUGGAUACUAUGUGUGCGAGUUCAUCUACAACGCGACUUGCAAAGAUAAGCGGGGCUACUCUAAAAGACAAUUUGAUGUGCGUAAGCAAUAAUAUUCAUAAUUUCAUUUUAUUACACCAUCAUUUCUGUUGAGUUUCAUUCAUAUAUAUGUAUUAACCCCCUUCUUCAAAUUAGACGUGGGAGAUGCGGAAUGAACUCCUACCAGAAGAUCGCAUGAAAGAAAUUCAAGAGGGAGAAUACCAUGUGAAACUUGAUUUCAGAUGCUAGGGGAUUGUAACAGAUCUUACAUAUUGUAUAUGUAUGUAGCCAGUAGCGUCGGAUAGAUAAUACGAAAACUUGUUGUUCGACCAAUCUCUCGGAGAAGGAGAGGUCGAUCACUUCUCUCGGUAUGCAUGACGAACUUCUGUACUUAAUGGUUUCCUUUAUUUUCUUACUAGCUACCGUGUCGAGGGCCUCUCUAUACGUAUAGUACGUAGCGUCGACCAAGCACGGAGAUAAAAGAGGACACUUCUCUCUAUUAAUUAAUUAGCUACCUAACACAAUACAUGAAGCACCUUAAUUAACCAUACAAAAACCCCAAAUUCAUCCCCCUUUCAGAAAAAAAACAAAAACCCUAACCCCUGAACAACUGACGCGUGGAUGCCUAUUGGUCCCGGUUGGUACCACCAACCGGGACUAAAGGCUCUCCUGCCUGGACUCGUCACAACGGCCACGUGGCGGCCCAUCUGUCCCGGUUCAUAUAAUAACUGGGACUAAAGGGCAAGGGCAUUAGUAACGACCCUUUAGUCCCGGUUCCGCAACCAGGACAGAUGGGCCUUAUGAACCGGGACAAAUGGCCCUUUUUUUACUAGUGUUGGGAGCCUGUACUUCCAAGCAGACAACUUUGGCCCACAGUGCCUCUAGGAUCUGGUUCCCUGCUAGUUGUGUUUCGGCCCAUAUGACGGCGAGGCUGCUUCCUAGCAUGUCAGCAUGAUAGUCUCUCAUGUCCAUUCCGGAUGCCGAAUCUGACGGGCACAAGAGUCCAUACAACUGUGCCUCCGCUUACCAAAGAAGAAGGAUAAUUUCCAACAGUUUGCUAUAUGUAACAUUAAACAACUACCAAUUUGGCGUUUCAUGUCUCGCGUCUCGUAUUCCCGCUCAAAGCUGGACAGAGAGGUGGUGGAUUAGUGGUAGGAGGUCAUGAUAAUUAUUUCCUCCAAAAAAUAACCUUGGCAAGAAAGACAGAGAGAAAGAGGAAGUCUUGUUUUUCAAAGUUUGCAUAAUAUGUGGUGACAUUUGCAUUGGCGUUUCUCGGAAUCGUCAGAAUUCAAGUGGCAUUUAUCCAAAUAACCCUAUUAAAAAUAGACCGGCUGGCAUCUGCCACCAUGUGUCCGCAUCCUACGGCUAACACCGCAUCCCACUAGUGCAGAACCGGGAUUUAGCACCGGUUCGUAAGGGCCUUUAGGGCCGGUUCUGUAACCGGCACUAAAGGGUGGGGACUAAAGGCCACGUGACACAUGCCAGGGCCGGAUGCGGGGAGACCUUUAAUACCGAUUGAUACCACCAACCGAUACUAAAUGUUUGGGGUGGUUUUGGAUUUAUUUUUUGUUUUUCCUUUAAUUUCGUGUUUUCAGUUUAAUUUAGAGAUUGUUUUUAUAUUAUAAUGAGUUGUUAAAUCACUAGGUGAUCAAGUAAUAUAGAUAUGGCAUAUAUAUACUUGAUCACUUAGCUAGCUAGCUCUGCAUCCAGUUGAAACUAAUCUGCGGUUUCUUUCAUAAAUGAAAUAAUAACUCAUCAUCAUCAUAUUAAUAUAAAAACUCUUACAUCAUAUCAUCACCAACAACAGUAUACUAGCUAGCUGAAAAAUCAUCAAUUAUAGUCAUCAUUACCACUAUUUAAUCAUCAUAGUCGUUACCGCUAUCUAAUCAUCACUAACACUAGCUUAAAGAAGAAACAUUCACUUAUACCAGAAGCAAAGAUAUCAUCUAGUUCAGCAUGGUCGUGAGAUUAAAUUCAGGAUCGACGAAGAACACCGACAUGAGAGGACAAGUACUAAUAGCAUGCUAAUCACUCCUGCUGCUCUCUCUCAGUUAAAAUAGCAUAUAACAUGUAUAGCUCUCCUGAUUCAUCAUAUUGGAGCAUGCAAAUGAACCUGUCUCUAAUCGUCGGCUGCGCUUCUGUUUGCUGCCCCCUAGUACUUCUUUGUGAUCCUUCACAAUUUUGUUUCAGUCUUUCACUAUUAAGCAUUCCUCAGUUGUGGAAAUCCUGAAUGCACUCAUGUGCAAUGUAGGAUAUCUUGGCCAUAAGCUAACCAUUGACAUGCGACCUUUAGUCUUGAUCCACUGAGGCACAACUCUCAUCGGGAGUCCCUGUUGAAGAACAUCGCGUAUAGUAACAUUACUUAGCAAUGAAGUUUAGCUUGAAAAAUAUUGUAUGCAAAAGAUGCACUGAGGAUAAAUAGUAAAAAUCUUACCAUGCGUCUUUCCGAAAUAGAUGUGACCGUAGUUCAAUACGAUCACUAUUGGUCACACGUUUUGAGUACUAAGAUUUUCAAAUUCAGGAAAAUAAUUUCUCUUGACAUCAUAAAGAUCCUCAAGCCAUGAAACAUAAUGACUUGUCUCCUCGCAGUUUAGUUCAGCCCCGGGACAGGGGAUGGUACUGUCUACCAAGCGCUGGACAUGUUUGCUUGAAUGGAAAUAAGUUGUCAAUAGAAAUUAGUUGUCAACUAUUUUUGCAUAAACAAUAUUGGAGACAUAAAUAUGGUUGAGAAACUCACAUAAUGGUAGUACUAGAGGAGUCUGCACAUCGACCCAAAUGUCUCUAUUACCUUCAAUAUCAUCUUCGGGACGAAUAUCAAGCUGGAUAAGCCUUGCAUAGUGCUUGCCAAGUUUUGCAUUCAAAAUAGGUGUAGGUGUCUGCAUUGUAUAAUUUGACGUUGAAGGUAUAACCAUGCUCGGUCUUCAAGUAAACUCUCUUUACCUCCAUAGUUUUUUUAGGACUGAAACCUAUCUUAUCCAAGACAAAAAUUCUUGCAUGGUAGGGGAUACGCUAGUAGAAUAGUGAAAAUUUAAAAUUAUAAGUUGAAGCAAAUGAAGCAUAAGUCAUGCUUAAUUACGAAAAAAGACUUGUCGUUGUGACUUACUGUAUCCACUUCGAAGGUCUCAUCCAGCUUGAUACUAAAGCGCCUAUCAUCAACUAGGAAAUUUUUGUCGCACAGGCCGCGCUCUUCUUAGCAGUAUUCACACAUAACAAAAUUGUUUUCGUCGUCAGACGACAUUUCCUAUGUUCAUAAUUGAAACAUUAACUGAUAAACACUUACUAGCUAGCUAGUUCUAUAUUAAUUCAACUAAUUAAUUUAACUAGCUAGUUCUAUUAAUUCAACUAGUUCAAUUCAACUAAGCACUUACUAAAAAUAAACUAGUUCAAUUAAUUUUCUUACUAAAAAUAAAGUAGCUAGUUCUAUAUAUAGUAAAUUUAAUAUAUCUAACAUAGUUGCCAAGAAGAUAGCAUGUGGCGUACUCAUUGGGUCUAGAGCACAGAAGACCUGCAAGCAGCCAAUGUGAUAUAAUUUAGUUGCUCACUUGCACUUUUAUCACCCCUAAAUCCUUGAUUCCGAUGUUGCUCCAUGGAGGCCAGCGGACGAGAGGACAAAACGGAGAGGCGGCGGCGGCCGGGGCAGGGGCGAUCGGGGCAGAGGCGGAAGACAUCGAUCAUAGAACUAGUCUGAUACCAUGUAAAGAUUAGGGUUGUGAGAAAAUGCACGACACCCUAAUACGGUUGUGGCUCUCUUUAUAUAUAGGGGUACACCACAUGAGUAGGGCAUUUUUGAGACCGAGCUCUAUGGAACCCUUUAUUUUGAAAAAUUCAAAAUUCAUAAAUUUCAGUUUCAAAAAUUCUGAAAAAAAUACACGUGUAUGGAAGAAUGUAAAGUGUAUGUGUGAAAAUUUCAAGAUGAAAUACCUUGAACUGCGAGCUGCAAAAAAAAUCAUGGACUUUAAAGAUGAAAAUUUUAGGAUGAAAUACCUUAUACUAAAAAGCCACAAACUUGUCUUUUUUGUGUAGCUCACAUUUUAAUGUAUUUCGACCUGAAAAUUUACAUACAUGUACAUUAUGUAUAUAGGUGUAUGUGUAUUUAUUUUCUUAAUUUUUUGAAACUGAAAAGUUCAAAUUUUGAAGUUUUCAAAUAAAGUCCUCCAUGGAGCUCGGCCUCCAUUUGGCAUUUCGUACAUCAUUUAUACGAAUACAAUAUACAGUUACGUACAGAAGCUCUAUGUAAAUAUAGAGUCUAACACACCACGGCCAGGCAGAGCUAUUUGGCAUAUCGGCAAGGCUCGGCGUGGUGGUUGGCCACGCCGCCGAGGAACGACGCCGGCCGCUCGUGCUCUGGCCGCGCGCGCCGACAGGUUAUAGGGUCUCUACUAUCUCCGGAACAAAAAAACAUCCUAGAGCUGUGGUUCACUUUUAUCGCAAGGCUGUGAUGUCGUGCGAUUCACUCUGCUCUUUUCAGCCCAGAGGAACAAUUUCAUCCUUCUAUUCCAACACCAAGCGAAUUAAGGAGCUUGAUUCUGUUAUUCGCCAUCCGCAAAGCAAAAAAGGGAUCGAGAUGCCGAUCCGUGGCUUUAUUCUUUGCCUCCAAACCCAAGCAAAGAAGCAUGAUAUGCUGUGCGCUCGCUUUGGCCAAAGGCAAAGGCAAAGGCAAAAGCAAUGUAUGUUGAUCAGCAAAACCAUAUGUGAAGCUAACACUCACAGUUGAUGCCCAACUCCCAUUCUUCUUCCUCCAUCCUGUGUCACCAUCUUUCUUCCCGGAGGAAACAGCACCAACAUUUCUGCUCUCUAAUGGACUCGCACAGGAUAUGUAGCUGCUAAUUAAGGUACCACUAUCCUUGUUCCGCUACCUCAUAUUAAUUGCUUCAACUUAUAGUUCUAAAAACUCGCAACUUUGUGAGCAAGCACUAGUUACGCGCAAACAUACAACUGACUAAGAGAUGCUCUUCUAGGUGCUUGCAAGUGGAGGAGGCGUGGAUGGGUUAGAUUAUUUGAGCCUGGAGCUUAUUCCGUUUGUUGGGCACCUGGGCCUUGAUUCAGAAACUCAUCAUGGACAGGCGUGGAUGGGUAUUUUUCUUUUCUUACAUAUGCAUGCUCGUUUCACUCGAGUUGUGCUCUUGACUCUUGUUAUUGAGUUUUUCUGUCUGGCUGUCAUGGUAUUAUGUGCAUAAAUCUCUUCCUCUAAAUCUUAGCAUACACUACAUAUAUAGACACACCACACACACACACACACAUCCAGUAUGUGCCAUUACGCAACUAUGAAGAUCUAAUCUGCCAUGCCUGCUCCUAUUAACCGGCACCGAACAAUAAAAUGCAUAACAUUGAUGAGACAGAGCUUGUUCUAUCAGAUCUUGAAAAAAAAGAUGACACAUUUAGGAUUUAAGACUGUCAUAUGGUACAUAUAGUUAAUUGCACAUCCGAAAUUAAUCUUGAUUUGAUGUUUCUUAUGGAAAUGCAAUUCUUCUAACCUUUCAACUUUGGUUCAACCCUUUUCUUGAGUAAUAGGCGCAGUCGAUACAGAGGGAUUAUGUCCUCCAUAUAUCAAACUGAUACAACCAAAUAAUUUAUAGAAAUCUUUUAGUUACCCACUUACCCUGAUCUCCACCCCAGCUGUCCUCUUUAGUCAUAGAACCGCUUGCUCAGUAAAGGUUCAAGUGUCAUGUGUCGAUGACCUAUGUUGAAGUGAAUCUGAUUUAGGUCUGUCACAACUCGUUGCCCCGGGGAUCGCCUGACGUGAGCAGAGGACGAUAAGGUACUUGUGGAGUGGUCACCGGAGAGGUAGGGGAUCCAGACGAGAGGAAGAUCGAGCACGGUUCAGUUUAUUUCUGUUCCCUCCCAUCUCUGCAUCGCUGCUUUUGUAGCUGCAUGUCUGAUCGACUGGCCCAUGCACAUGUAAACCACAACCCAGUAGCAUUUAGCCUAAUCCGUUGGUAGGUGUGGGUGUUACCAUAUCAUGAGCAUUCAUGCCCAAUUUAGUGGUCCUAACCAAAACUAAGAAACAGUUAUCGGCGGGAAUGGUCUCUCUGAUCACUUCUAGCUUUGCCUAUACCUUUUAAAUAAGUAUAAGUAAUACUAGGCCAAAAUUGAUAUAUACGUGAGUUAACCUCAGCUGAUUGUCAUAACCAGGUGCUGGGGUAUGAAUCACCCCAUGUCGAGGCGGCGGUAGAGAAUUUGAUCGAUUUCAUUGAGAAAACUAAAUAUAGUGUCAUAUAUUAUAAUGGAUGGCAUGGGUUGGCUGCUUCUGUGGUGCUUAGAGCUAUUGUCGAAGACCCUCCGCCGUCUCUGAUGAAGAAUUUCGACAAGAUCAUCCACGUCGAUUGCUCGAGGUGGAAAAGUCGAAGAGCACUACAAAGGAAAAUAGCCGAGGAACUGAAGCUUGCUGAAACUGUAAUGGCUAUUUUUGAUAAGCAAUAUGAAAAAGAUGAUUGGAAGGGUUAGAUGAGGGAUCUCGAGCUGAGAUACAACAUGUUGUGCCAGUAAUCCAUCGAUCCCUACAGGAGCAUAGAUGUUUAGUGGUAUUUCAGAAUGGGAGCCACAACAGAGUUGACUUGAAUGAUUUAGGCAUUCCUCGAGCAGUGUUCGGCACUAGAAUAUUGUGGACUUUUAGAAGAAAGAUUCUGCCCAACUCAAGAAUUGAGAAAAAGAUGGACAAUUCAACUUUCUGUGUUUACGAAAGAGGUAGUCUCAGUCACAAGUUUUUUCUACAGGCAGAGGCUAGAGAAAUUGCUCGAUCUAUGGGAAAUCUUGCCAUCACCCCUGAAAUAGUGGCCGAGUGCUGCAUGUAUCUGUUGUCAUUAAUCUCUCGGGGUAGCGACAUUAUUGACUAUAAGUGGGCUACCCAUGCUACCAAAUAUUGGGUCUGCGAUGGCAUUGUACAAGGAGGUCAUGAUGAUGAAGCAUGGGAUGUUGGUACUGCUUUGCAUCAAUGGAUCAGAUUAGAGGACUGCUCAUUUGAUAUAUUGGAAGAUUUUACUGAUAGUUUGGACGCCCAGAAACGUUGGAUGGUAAUGGUUGUCACCUCCACUAGUAUGGAAGAAAUAAAAAGGAUCGAGGCGGUGACUAUUCCUCCAGAGUCAACGUCGUUUUUCCUUGCAGUCCAAAGGGGAUCCAAUCCUCCAUUACCAUCAUUACCUGAUGGCAUGUUUCAUCAAUCGGAAAAUCUUCGUGUGCUCAGAUUAUGCAACUGCUCCUUCAAUUUUUCUUCACCUCCUUUCCGCUGUUGUCGAAGCUUAAGCUUCCUUGGAUUGGACAGCUGCAAGAAUCAACAAAAAGAAGAACCCGUGAAGCAAAGGAAACCAACUAUGGAAUUUUUUCACAGCCUAUGGGUGCUAGAUAUAUAUGACACAACCUGGGAACUGGCUCUGCCACAAGAGACAAUAGAGCAAAUGGCUGCAAACAUGAGGGAGGUACAUGUGAAGAAGGGAAGGAUUUGGUGCCGUAAUUUUUCAUGGCGACAACUACAGAACCUCCGCAAGCUUCGAAUAAUUGAACCUACAUGCUCUUGGGAAACAGAUGAACUGGAUGAAUUCACAAAUAUGGUAAAGUUGGAGCUCCUCGAUCUAUCUGGGAAUAGUACAAUGCAAGUUUUGCCACGAGUAUCAGAGACAGUUGGUCUGAAGACUCUGAUUCUAGAUGGCUGUGUUCAGUUGGAGCAUGUUGGGCCUGAAGGACUCCCUCCUUCAAUUGAAUCAUUUAGCUUAAGUUUUAGUUCAAUCCAAGAAGCAAAAGUCUCCAAGAUCUCUUUGGUUGGUUGUGUGCAUUUGGAGAACUUCACAUUGCAUGGAGAAUUGCCGUGCCUUGAGGAGCUAGACCUAUCAAACACCUUAAUCAGGAAACUUGACUUGAGCAGUGAGGUGGUGCAGGUGCCUGAACUAGAGCGGCUCUUUCUGAUAGGCUGUGAAAACCUCCACGCAAUACUAUGGUGGAGCGUCAAAAGAAGGUUGAAAAUGCUACGCAUCAGCAAUCAAGGAAAGGGCGCCAUCAGGCCACAUGAUUCUUCACUUAUCUGCUGUGUUAACAGAAAAUAUGACGGUGAAGUUUAUGUUAGAGAUGCAAGGUUCAUCCUGUCGUUGGUGCUCGGUUUGUGGGAAGACAAUUCCAGGUUUUUGAUUACUGAUAGCCUAUACUUGAAUCUGUAUGGGUCUUUGGAGAUCAAAGCUGAAGGGAGAAGCAUUAAUAACGUGGGGAUUGAGACCCACAAUGGGCAGGUAGUUCGGCCAGUCCGAAGCCCCAUCAGAUGCUGCUACCAUGAUAUUGUAGUCGAUUCUUAUGAGGUCCCACAGCCACUGCUUGUACCCCUGCACCGUCAUGUCGAGAUUGGUGAUGGAAUUAACCUCACUGAUGUGGAUUCCGAUUGGGGAGUCAUAGCUAUUUUUCAAUUGAUAUGCCGGGCUCACUCAUUGCGCGUCCAUGACAAUUUUUCCAUGCUUGCUAUUGCCCCCAAACAAGAUUUUGUUGUCCUUAUAGGUGAACCUGCUCGUUUUGAUUUGAGAUGGUGCCAUGUCGACAAGUGUCCUAAGUUACAGGCAAUUUUUGUCCCUUAUAUCAAGGAGGUCAAUUGUUCCUUUCCUCACUUGGAGACCAUCUGGGUGACCGAUCUCCGAACGGCUGGCUGCAUUUGGAGCCAAGGAAUAAUGUGGGCAGUUCAGCAAGAAUUUGUCUUUGGACAACUGCGGAGCAUACACUUGCACAACUGCCCGAGGCUCAAGUAUGUCCUCCCAAUCUCAUCAUUCAUCUUACCCAGCCUGGAGACCAUCAAAAUAGUCGGCUGUGGUAAUCUCAGGCAGAUCUUCCCAUGGGACGUGAAUUAUGACGCUGGAAGAGAAGACACGGUGAAGAACUUUCCACAGCUAAAGCACAUCUACCUGCAUCAACCCCACAAUCUGGAGGUAAUAUGUGAAGACAAGAUGUUUGCUCCAAAGCUUGAGACCAUCAGGAUAAGGGACUCUUGGGGCCUUAGGCGCCUCCCGGCGGUGGGCCUUCGCCGUGGAGUCAGUCUUCCUGUUGUGGACUGUGAGAAGGACUUGUGGGAUAACCUAGAGUGGGACGGGCUGGAGGCCGGUCACCACCCGUCACUCUUUAAGACACACCACUCACAGUACUACAAGAAGGCCCUUCCUCGAGUCUCGGUCCUCCGUUGAAUUGCUUUGAGCGUUCAGGUAUGCAUGUGCAUGCCCCCACCCUUUUCUUGUUUCCUGUACCGUAUCAUAUGCCAUAACAUCUACUCCCUCCGUUCCAAAAUAUUUGUCUUUUUAGUGAUUUCAGAUGGCUAUCACAUACAGAUGUAUAUAGACAUAUUUUAGAGUGUAGAUUCACUCAUUUUGCUCCGUAUCUGGUCAUUUGUUGAAAUCUAUAGAAAGACAAAUAUUUAGGAACGGAGGGACUAGUAUAAAUCAUGUGUGUAUAUAUCUGCGGCACUCACUAUAUAUGCUGUGCUAUAUUCUGAACUGCAAAAAUGAUGCAUAUAGCAAGGAGCUAAUGGCCCCUAUGCACUACUGUAUCUUUCUUCAUUUGUGCUUAUUUGACGCAUUAAGCUAUAUUAUCGUCUUGCAUUAACUAGUUUUAUCAUUUUACAUUUGUAGAUCUGGAGGCGGGAUGAUUUCUGCUGCUGCUGCUGCAACAACGGUUGAAUCAAGUGUUGGCUUGCCCAGUUGAAGUUGUGUUCAGUUUCCCAAGAAUAAAUUGGUGCUUGAUGUUGUGUGCGUGCACCUGAUUGAUGAUUUCUGUGUGUGUCUCUCCAGUGAGGAAAAGACGGUGCAUCAGCCACGUGGUUCGGUUUGGUUUGAUUUUUUUCUUAUGUUUGUAUCUAAAAUAAGAGCGUCUGAUGUGCAUGUGGUGUGCCUAGCACAGCUACAAAACCCAUAGUGUGAGUGUUGCUUCCGUUGAUGACGACGAUUCAGCAACAUGUUAGUGCUGCCUGAAAAGACUUACUCCCUCCUUCCAUCUAUAUAGGGUCUAAUGCAUUUUUCGAGGCUAACUUUGACCAAACGUUAGAGCAAUAAUAUAUGACAUACUACACAAAGCAUAUCAUCAAAUUCGUAUGUGAAAGAAGUUUUUAAUGAUAUAAUUUUCAUAUUAUACAUCUCAUAUACUAUUAAUCUUGUCAAUAGUCAAAGGCGAUCUUAAAAAACGUAUUAGGCCCUAUAUAGAUGAAAGGAAGGAGUAUGUAUUUUGAUUGAUUUGCAUGAGGUUUGAACUAUCAUGUUCUUCAGGCUUUGUUUGCUAUCGCUGCUGCAACAGGAGAGCACUCUUAUUUUUUGAUUGAUUUUAGCGAGGAAGACAAAACAGGCAGCCGCUUAUAUUAGUCCCCGCCAAAGAACAUUAGACCAAACCAUCCUCUGCUUACUAGGGCAUACGGCGCGCAAAGCACCUGUCCGAGAUGGGCAAUCGUACAAGCAGUUUUAAUUUAAUAACAAAUCCUAAGAAAUGUACUAACGCUAUCAUUCAUGGCUGAGCAGUCUGUCAGGCUCAUUAUCACCCCCUGAUGCCUGAAGCUCGCAUUGCUUUGAACCUGCUGUGGCAGAUGCAGCGGAACUGCUGCUGUUACAAUAAAUUCGAGGCAAUAUCAUUGAUCAUUCGAGGACUAAGCAAUCACACAAGUAUGACACCGAGAUUUGUUAACGAGGUUUACCGAUAUGACUACAUCCCGGGGCUUGACUACGGUUCACCGAUAUGGCUACAUCACCGAGAUGUGACACCGCUACAAUACCGCACCCGGUCGCCCUGGACACCGGCACAUGCCGUCGGCUCCCCUUGCGUUCUGGUGCUAUUAUGUUGGCAUAGGUUAUAUCGUGUGUCUAGCCCCGCUAUAUAUGAGAGGCCUAGGAUACAAGUAUCCUACUAGGACACGGCUCCAUAUCUUAUCUAAACACAAUACAACUACAAGUCCAACUGUAACCUACCUCGUACACUAUAUUUGACACAACUCUAACAAACUCCACCUUGGCGAAUAUCCUCCACCACCUUGAAUUCGUUAAUGCGUCAAACUUCUAUGUACAUUGGACUUGAGCUUAUCUCAUGAGUACCGCUGCUACUCCAAAGACUCCAUAUGACUCCACCUGCAACUUGUAGUCCCUCCUUUUCUUGACCACAGUCAACACUCGAGCAAAAUUAAGUUCCUUGUUACUCUAGUUUGUACUCCCAACUUCCAGAGUAUCAGUCCAACAUCAUCACACACUGAUCACUGACCUGCGUGAAAGUGAACAACUCACAUAUUGGGUGUCACACAUAAGAGUUACCUGAACUCAACAUCACCGCUCCUUUCUUGACCGUCUGUCUGAAACUUGAAGUAAUUUCACCAUUGCUUGUAAUCAUCCCGAGUCAAAUUCGCAGUUGUCUCACCACAUGUAUGACCACUAGAGCCCUGACCCGUCUCCAUGUCCCGUGCGUACCGCACACCUCGCCACUAUUACCGCGUCGAGCCUCCGCUGUCCCGGUCGAGUCUCAAGGGUCGCGAACCCACACCACUCAACCCCACUGCAGAGUACCACCGAUCAUCACCGACCGAUGCAGAGUUGUUAUAUCGCUACGAUGAUGAUGAUGAGUGGUUAUAUCAUUGCUACGGUAUAACAAUUCUAUAAGGGUGUAUAAAUGCGGUAUAAAUAUGCUGAAAUGAAAUACGGAUGCAUAAUAGUGGUGCGGGGCAGUAGCCAACACUGCUGCUAUUUAGUAGUAGUGUGGGUCCUACCUCACGCUACUGCUAAUAAAUGUAGUAGUAAGAUGAGGCGAGGCCCACACUACUGCUAAAUGUUAAGUUCAGCGUUCCGGCAGUAGCGCGGGCCCCAAUACUGCUGCUAGGACCCAACUUCUAUCAUGAACAGAACUUGAUAAUACAUAAUUCACCAUCACUUAUUUGAUCAUAGUGAUUGUUUUAAUAUAUUUGUUGAGUUCAUGUCAGUAGGCCUUAUAAGACCCUAAUCCACCAUAGAAGAUACGCAUACCUACAUAUUUACUAUAUUCAAAUCUUUCCACGGUAUAUUUGGAUUUAUCGCUUGAUUCAGGACGCACUUGAUACUUAUCUGGAGUGUCAAAAUAUCCCUUCUUAUUAUUCGCAAUCUGGGUAUUUUUUACGAAAGCCGCUCCUCCGUAUCCCUCGGAAGCAAAAUGUCCACUGCCCAUUCGCGGAGAGUUCGACGAGGCAGUCGGCCCCUCAACAAUCCCACCCCAGAAUGCUGCGUCACUUUUGUUCCUAAGGAAUUCGAAUAAUGCACUUGGCCAAUAUCCAAUUGCUACAUGCUCAUAAGUCAACCACCAGUUCUUUGACACAGGGUCCUAAAAUAAAUCCAUAUUUAUUGCAGGUUAGAUGCCGUCCUUAAAUCAAUAUUGUGUGAGAUAAAUAGGCUAUUAAAUAACUAAGAUUAUUUACAAUCAUGAUCUUAUUCUUUCUAGUAUUUUUUAGCGGUGAAUUAUUUUAUAAUCCUUUUGAUGAGAUAUAGUAGGCAUGCAUGUCCUCACCUAAUCCUUUUUGCAUAGCAAGGGAUAUGAAUCAGAAUGAUAUAUGUGUAUUUCCUUCAUGUUCAAAGUAUUGUCAUGAUUAAUUGAACUUGCCUUUUGAAUCUAUAUUAUUAGAAUAGUGUCAUAUAUGUGCAAAAAGAUAGUAUGUGGGUGUAAGAUGGUAAACAAGCAUAUCAAGUUGUGGUCACGUUCAGUAAGGUAUAUAUAGUGGUUAUGCACACGAAAUAAAAUCACUCAAUGUUGGAAAGACCCAUAUGAACUUAUAUUAUUAAUUUAUUAUCAUAAAAAUAUAUAACAUAAUAGCAUGUACCUGAAUAAAAUUAAGCAUUACCCAAGAAAUAUGAAAUCUAACAAAAGUAUCGCCACUCAAUGUUGGAAAGACCCGAACACCAGCACCAAUCCUGUCAGUGUGUUGUUCUCCUCCACUUUUCAUUUCUACACACAUUGCACUUGAAUCCUUACUAUAUUUAUUCACCUUUGGCUCCCAAACAUUUAAUACACCACGCACCCCAUAUACAUCACCCUGAUAUAUGAGUCCCGCUGACUGCAAGAAUUAAAAGUGACACCUUUAAGUGAGAAGAAUGAAUAGUAUGUGUAGAUAAGCCUGAUAGGAUAUCACAUGUAAUUCAUCUUCUCCAAAAUGUAAGGCACCAACCCCAUUAUAAUUUUUAAUUUGACCAAUAAUUAAGCUAUUAAGUUAUGGGUUAUGUGACACAUAAAAUUAUAUGAUUCGUAUUCGAAAGCAUUUCAAAUGUAUCACUUUUGGUUCAUAUUACUUACAUUAUUUUUCCAUGUUGUCAGUACAACUUAAAUCUUAAGAUGUGUGUUCAUUCACAUUUCGGGAUUUAGUUCUGACAACUAAGAAUUUGUGAUUAGUAUAUAGUAUGAAACUGUCCAAGAGAGUGUUGCUAAAACUUGGUAAUGAAAUUGGAAUACCUUCAUGCAGACAUAAUGUUCAUACAUAACUUUUUUAGUACAAAUAAAGAUUUGAGGGUACAAAAAUCAUUACCAACUACUCAAAUAUUGUAGAGUAUAUAUGAGGCCCUUCAUUCACUAUAAAAUUGCAUUCUUUUCUAUAAAUCAUUUUCCAUCAUACUUGACGAACCUAGACCGUUCAUUAUUACGACACUUGAUGGAAAAUUAACCAUUACCAUCGGAAGGUGAUUUUUUUCUUAAAAUACCUUAUUGUAAUUUAAUUAGAUUAUUAUGGUGUCUAUGCUGCUUCUUUAACUCAACAUUGUAAAUUUGACAUGCGUAUCAAAUGCCACAAUUACACGCUAAUAUCCAUAAUCAACCCUACAAAAAUCAUGUAAAAUUGUGAUAACAAAUUCAUUUUGUAACUUAUACAAAAACUCACCUCCAAUUGCCCAUCGUAACUAUGUGCUGCUAUGGUGCCACUUCCAUUAGUACGCAGUAUUGGAAUUGUUCCCGUUGGGCACUCAAUGAUAGAUGGUUCAUCUGAAGGCAAUGUUUGGAUAUCCAUCCAAACAGGGAAAUGAUUUGGUUGCAUCUGUUUGAAAAUAGAAUGAACCACCUUAUAAACAAAAUAUUACAAAUGUAUAAGACAAUACACAAAAAACAUGUUGUAAUUUUAUUCAUAGUUUAUAAAGCUUAUAUUAUGUAAAAAGGUUCUUAGUUCAGUACACUUCCAAUAGCCCUAAUUUUCUAGCAUUAAAAACAUAUCCAAAAAGAUUAAUGAAACAUGAAGGGAGUAGAACAUGCUGAAUCAACAUUUAUGCAAUUAAUCAUGAACUAAUAAUAUACUAGACAAUUCAUGGAGGUACAUCAUAUUGUUAUGAAAUUAAUUUACCUGGACUUUGUGGUCUUUCAAUAAUGGGUGCCUGAAAGUCGGUUGCUCAUUCACAUCAAUGCAGUCAUAGACAUCUCCAUCUUUCAUCUAUUUUGAUGUUUCCUCUACCUGUUAACCCCCAAAACAUAUGCUAAAUAUACAUAAGAAGGUUAAUUAUUCAUACCACAAUGGUUUUAUUGACUCGGUGAUAAGUGAGAAUCUGGGUAUUGUCUUCCUGUUGCCUUCUGUAUUGCACAUCUUUUCCUCUGGUCACCAGAACUAGAAAUGACAUGAAAAGAGUUGCACUAAUGGCUUGCAUCCCUUUCAUUGUGAAAAUAGGGAAUUGUUAGUUUUGGAGUUCUUAGACCAUCAUAUUUAUAUGCAUCAGAGUGCACCUCACAUUUAAUGUUGCUUAUAAUUAUAAUGUAUAACCUAAGGAUUAUUGUAUGCAUACAAAAGAUAGCAUAUAUUAAUUGUACUAAGAUAUAUGACCACUAGAAAAUAUAGCAUUAAUUGCACUAUAUAUGAUAAGAUGUGUUUGAGAAUAUGGCAUCAAAUGCCCUAAGAUAUGAUCAUCCUUAUCUUUUGUACAAAAUCUAUUGUGUUAGUGCGAUAUAAAGGAUGUGAUGUGUUUAAUGCAUAGAAAAAUCUUCACAAGUGCCAAGUUUGAUAGGGAAAGUAUUAAUAUAAUUGAUUUGUUGCCUUAAAUUGUAAUCUCCAAUCUAUUCUAAGGCAAUCUUUCUGGGUCUGCUCCUCUUUACCACCUUGCCUUUCUACNNNNNNNNNNNNNNNNNNNNNNNNNNNNNNNNNNNNNNNNNNNNNNNNNNNNNNNNNNNNNNNNNNNNNNNNNNNNNNNNNNNNNNNNNNNNNNNNNNNNNNNNNNNNNNNNNNNNNNNNNNNNNNNNNNNNNNNNNNNNNNNNNNNNNNNNNNNNNNNNNNNNNNNNNNNNNNNNNNNNNNNNNNNNNNNNNNNNNNNNNNNNNNNNNNNNNNNNNNNNNNNNNNNNNNNNNNNNNNNNNNNNNNNNNNNNNNNNNNNNNNNNNNNNNNNNNNNNNNNNNNNNNNNNNNNNNNNNNNNNNNNNNNNNNNNNNNNNNNNNNNNNNNNNNNNNNNNNNNNNNNNNNNNNNNNNNNNNNNNNNNNNNNNNNNNNNNNNNNNNNNNNNGUGUGUCUAUCAUAGCUUGCCAGAGAACAUGUUAACACUCACUAAGCUUCUUACGGUGUAAAUGUUUUAAUAUUUUUUUGAAAUAAAUCGUGGAGCACCACUACAAUGUAACAAAGAUGAUCCAACUGUGUGAUUAUGAAAAUAUGCAUUUAUGUGUCCUCGGCAAAAAAACUAUUAUUUCGGCUCACUGCAACAUAAUUAAACAGUACUCCCUCCGUCCGGGAAAACAUGUCACCAGCUUAGUUCAACUGUAAUUUUACAAAAAAAACUUAUCAUUUUAAAUCUCGUGCUAAUCAACCCUUCUUCCUCCCCUGACGCCUGCGGGCACCGCAUGCCCCAGCCUCCGUCUCCCCCCGUCGUCGGCAAGAACCGCGUGCCCUGGUCGCCGUAGGGAUCAGCCGGCAACAAAGUCUCACUUGCGCCACCUCCCACCUGCCCCGCGGCUUCCAUCUUGUGCCACCCCUGCUUACCUGCCCUACGGAGGCGAGCUUCGCCGCUACCCACCUGCUCCUCUGUGGCGACACCUCGACAGGUGGCGACUGCACGGCUCAUGGAUGACUCCUCCUCGCCGUCCUAUUCACAUCCCCGGCCGCAACCCCGACCUACCAAGGCCAACCACUCCGCUACGGGAGUUGGGAAAUACCCCGGCCACCGCUGCUCCUCCACAGUCGUCCACCGAGGUGGCCAAUGCAUCCACCGUCGGGCCUAGCACCGCCGCCCUCCUACUACAGAGGCAAUCACCGCCACCCACAUGUGCCUCCUCGCCGAUUUCUUCUUCUUCUUCGUCCAAGCAACCCAGCUCCUCCUCGCCGCCUCUGCUGCUACUGAAGUGAAAGGUAGCCAGCGCCCUGAAAUCAGUGUUAAAUUGAUGCUAAUUUGUUCUAUAGAUCAAAUUGAGGUGAAUUAGAGCACCACCAGAUCAUCCAAUCUGUAAUUUGAUGACCGUGUACACAUACACACACAAUAUUCAGUCUGUAAGAGUAAACUAUAGAUGCACAAAAUUGUACAGUAAACUGAAUUAGUGAACAAACAAGGUUACUCAUAGGCUUAGACUGAAGGACUUGCAGAAUUGUGAAGGAGCAGGAGCGAGGUACUUUACCUGAGUUUGCAAUGGUUGGAUCAACACCAGGGGUAGCAGAAAUAGACAUUGCUACUUUGAAUUUGUCCAAAAUUCAGGGAGCAGUACAAAUUCAUAGAGCAGUUUGCAAUGGUCAUUCCAAGUCAAAACAGUGGUCAUAUUUCAUUUCAUGACAAAGAGAAAGCAUGGAACAAUUUUUCAUUGUGUUGCAGAUUAAUAAUUCAGUUAAUCAUGGUCUGCUGCUUGCCCCUGAUGUGCCACAGAAAGAAUCAUGGUGUGCUGCUUGCCCCUGAUGUGCCACAUAAAAAAUCAUCAACUGAUGUCUAGUUUAAAGAAUUCAGCAAUUAACUUAUUUUUUCUACUAUGGAGAGUAGAGUAAUUUGACAACAGCAGCAAUUUUCUGUAAGUACUCAAAUUCACUAUACUGUAAAUUCAGUCAAGUGUAAAUAUUUUUUUUGUUUUUCUAGCACUGGAUUGCUUCCUUUAGUGUAAAUUAAGUUAGCACAUUCUUCUUCUACAUUUGGUUAUCAGUAGUGUAAAUUCGGUUAACUCCUACCCUGAUGUUGCAUACUCCUACCCUGACAAUUUUGUUUUUCUAUCACUGAAUUGCACACAAUUUUGUUUGUUGUUGUGAGUUGAACCAAAUGAAGACAAAUUAUCUGUGUGCUAGCACUAGAUUGCUCACUGAACACUUUCAUAAUUUCAUAAAAGUUCACGAAACAUGAAACUUCACUGAAAAUAUGGCUGCUCUGAUGUCUAGAACACUUUACUAAGCAAUCAACUACUAUACUUAAAAAAGGGAAAGCAUAUAUUAAAAAAAUAAAUGGCAAUAGGAAUUAAGUUGGAAUUAUUUGAAUUAAGUUAGAUUCUUAUUGCUUUACUUGAAUAGGAGGGCCAUCGUGUUCCUCUAGUUACCAAAAUGAACAAGGAGUAGUACUUUUAAUAUUUACUUUUCCCUUUAUUGAUUUCUUUGCUUUUUGUCUAGGAUUCUUCAUGGUUUUUCUUUUUGUGAUUAUAUGCUAACCAUUCAUCUUUUGUAUACUCUUGUUGUGAUUAUAUGCUAACCAUUCAUCUUUUGUAUACUCUUGUUAUGAGAUCAGACAGGAGCACACAACUUUGGAUAUGAACUUUGAAAGGACAUGUGGUGCUCCCAUGUGUGGUUUUGGGAAUUGAUGACAUUCUCUAUGGUUAAUGGUUGCAUUGAGUUAUAUUUGAAGGAUUUGUCCAUAGGCUUUUCUUGAAGUCCAUGUGUAGGUUUCAAGGAGUUUCUGAGUUGACCAAGGUGCUAUUAAGGAAUUAUCCAAAGAUUGGUCAUGUGAGUGUUGAGCUUAUUGCAAGCAUGUCUUGAAGAAGAAGAUUGUGUGUCAUUCAUGUUUAUCUUCAAGACAUCAUCCAACUGAAGAGAGUUGGAAAGAUUCAAGGUUGAUCAAGACUAAGUCAAGAGUGAAUCAAGUUGAUCAACUCACAAAGCGUAAAAGAUGUACCGAGAGGGAUGAAGUGGCCCAUGGUAUGGUAAGAUUUGUCCAUUACGCUUAUUGUACUAACCCAUGGUCUAUGUGAGAGUUCCAUGUGGGGUUAGGUAUGUGUCCGUGGGCUUGUGUCAAGAGGAAGAUAUCAUACAACCCAUGGAAAGGAUGACAUCAAGUGGUGAUCGUCAUCAAGAUUGCCGUUGAAAGUGCAACUAAUCCCCGGGUGGUUUUGGUAAUUCAUAACAACAUAUAGCUCAUUGAACUAAUAUCCUUUCAAGUUGAUCAUUUCAGAAAGUUCAAUGAUUGGCAAUGGCAUGGACUAGAGAUGUGGACCCCUCAAAAUUCUAAGGACAAAUAUUGGCAAAAGCUCAAGACUCUUCAUUUCAAUUUUGGUGAUCCAAGAUCACAUUGAGUCCAUAAGAAAAGCCAAUACUAUUAAAAGGGGAUGAGGUGUUGCUUAAUGGUCUACUUGCUCAAGUGCUUAGUGAUAUGCUCCAAAUCCCUCAACCACACUCUCAUAUCCAAACAUGUCCUAAACCUAAAGUCAAACUCGGCCCCACCGAAUUGAUUCAUCCGGUGCCACCGAGUUCUUUUGACAUAGCCAUAGCCAGAAACCCUAAUCAGUUGGGUCUCACCGAUAGGGAUUUUGGUCUCACUGAGAUGGGAUUGCAAACUCUCUGUUUCACUUCGUAACGUUCCGGUCUCACCGAGAUGAGUGAUUGGUCCCACCGAGUUCGUAGUGCAAACUCUCUGUUUCCCUUUCGUAACGUUUUGGUUUCACCGAAAGGAGUGAUCGGUACCGCCGUGUUUGCUGUUUUGGGAUAUUAAUUUAUUCCCUAAAUACUUUUAGGGUUCAAUUUAAUUCCCAAUUUUUUAUUGGAGUCUCAAUAAAUUUUGUAUUUAUUGAAAUUAUUCUCCAAUCCAACAUCAAAUGGAAGUCACACCCAAAUUUGUAGCUCUAUGUUGUCAUUAUAAAUAAUCCCUUAUAAAAAAUUAGGGUUCUAAAUAGUUUCAAAAUUAUUUUUGAGCCACAAAUAACACUAAAAUGUAGGGGUGGAAAUUGGUAGCGGAUAAUCCAAAAUAUCCGAUAUUCGUAUUCGAGAGAAUGCCUAUUCGUAUCCGAAACAUCCGCAUCCGAACCAAAAUGGAAAUGGAAAUUAUCUGUAUCUGAAUUUAUUAAACAAAUAAAAAAUAAAAUAUGGUACGAGAUUUUGAGACAAAUAUGGAUAUGGAAGUGGAUAUAUCCGUAUCCGAAUAAGAUUAUGGGAGGUAAUUUUCAAAAUUCUAGACCCAAUAUUCCAAUUAUCCAACAUAAAAGCCAAAUAAGUGGUCAAAUUUUACUCUUUAUAUGAUUAAACUUAUAAAUUAUUAUGCAUUACAAUAGUAUUUAUUCAUAAACCUAUUUAUCAUUGACUUAUUGUAUGUCACAAGUUGAUUAUUUCAGGUCACAUAGCUAUCGACUAAUUUACUUAAGCAAUAUGUUGAUAUUAUUCGUAUCCGUUCCGAAUCAAGAAAAUAUCCGAUACGAAUCCGUAUUCGAAUAAUAUCCGAGCCGCAUCCGUAUCCGAUAACAUCCGUAUUCGGAUUCGUAUUCGUUUUGAAAAUAUGAAAAUGGAAGUGGCAAGAGCACUAUCCGAUCCGCGUCCGAUCCGUUUCCACCCCUACUAAAAUGGAUCAAAUCCUACUCAAAACAAGCUAAGAUCAAGCAAUCAUAAAAGAUGACGUAAUUAAAACUAUUUAAAUUAUUUAUGUUCCAAAAUUGGCAAAAAAAAAUUGGAUGUGACAUCAUUGGAAUUGAGCAUAAGAAAGGAUUAAAUUGAUGUGUAAAAAAGUAGAAUUAAUGACUUUUUUACUUUUUGAUGAUUAUAUUGUCAAGGUAUGAGUGAAUCAAACUUAUAGGAUAAAUGUUCUAACAGUUCAAUUUUGCACUAGNNNNNNNNNNNNNNNNNNNNNNNNNNNNNNNNNNNNNNNNNNNNNNNNNNNNNNNNNNNNNNNNNNNNNNNNNNNNNNNNNNNNNNNNNNNNNNNNNNNNNNNNNNNNNNNNNNNNNNNNNNNNNNNNNNNNNNNNNNNNNNNNNNNNNNNNNNNNNNNNNNNNNNNNNNNNNNNNNNNNNNNNNNNNNNNNNNNNNNNNNNNNNNNNNNNNNNNNNNNNNNNNNNNNNNNNNNNNNNNNNNNNNNNNNNNNNNNNNNNNNNNNNNNNNNNNNNNNNNNNNNNNNNNNNNNNNNNNNNNNNNNNNNNNNNNAAUCAUUAUAUGAACCCACACAUAUAUAUGUAAUUUAAAAAAUUGUAAAGUUUUUUAAAAUUAAACUUUUUCCAUUUUUUAAUUUGUAAAACCAAUUUUUUAACGAUAUACAUUACAAUUGUAUAAUAAUGAAUAUUAUAAUUAAUAUUAGGUUGAAUUAGUAUAUGGUUAACUGUUGAAACUAAAUAAAAAUACUCAUUAAGUUUGUACCGUGACAAGAAAAAGUUUAAAUAAGUAUAUAAAAUUGUUAAUUUAAGUAUCUUUAUAUUCAAAGUUUAAUUUGAUCGAUGAUGCUCAACAAAUUUAUUUAAGUAGAACAAUAUAAUAAUCUUUAUUGCAAUAGUUUAUCUUUAGUAUAAACGGGUUAAAAUGAUCGCGUACAUUAAUUGGUCUUAACAUUUUUUUGCCGGUGAGGUGGGACUAAGAAUCAAUUAUCUCUUAAGAUUUGAAUAUGAUUUUGGAAAAUUAAACCUUAUUAGUGAAAAAUAAAGCAAUAUGCUUAAAAUUAAAUGACAGAAACUAAAAAAUGAAAAAAAUAUGAAUAUAUGAAGUUACGCAUUAACCUCUUGAAUGUCCUUAUAUCAAGUUUAUACAAAGGAAAAAACUCAAAUAGUUACAACAAGAAAAAAAUAGCUUUAUUUUAUAUUUUGCAUUGACCUAUUUUUCAUUUUGUUUUAGAAUUAUGUGUCAACUAAAUAAGAUAAGCAUUACACCGGUAUUUUUAAGGAAGAUAAAUCAACUAUGAUUUAAAUAAUUAAGUUAAUUGUUUUUUAUAAUAAUAUUAUAAGAAAAGUUUGUACAAAAGAAAAACUCAAAUACUUACAACUAGAAAAAAAUACCUUUAUUAUAUAUUUUUGCAUUGAUCUAUUUGUCAUUUUGUUUUAGAACUAUGUGUCUAAUUUACAUCUUGUUUAGAAAAAAAUAGGGAAUAAACAUUUUAGUGUACAUUGGAUUCUCUUAGUGAUCAGUUUUCAUUAGAGGACGCCAUAUGAUUCUAAGAGGGUUAUCGAUGAUGGUCCAUGGACUUGCCCAUCUAGUGAUGUAGCGGUAAUGGCACUCUCUCUCUCUCUCUAUUAUAUUGGUGAUGAUGGACAGUCACCGGAGUCACCGCUGCAAGGAAAGCAAAGGUGCAGAAGCAUGAUUGAAUCAAAACCCUAGUUCAGCCAUUAUCCCCUGACUUCCAUGGGCCUUACAACACUAGGGCAACUUCUCCUUUCGGAAUGUUUGAAAAUUUGAGGCAUAGUCGAUCAACCAAAGACAAGCUAUAUAUGACAAAAAGACAUCGAGACUUGUUAACGAGGUUCACGGAACAUAGGAUACAACCUAGAGCAUGACAACGGGUGCACCUCCACAUGUAAGAAAUUAACUUAGUAGAACAAAGAUAAACCCAUUGAGAGUAUCAAAAAGCAUCUCGGACCACACACCACGGUGGUUCGGCCACCACUUUCACGGGUGUUAGGAUUGUCCCUCUGGUGAUCUCUAUCUAGCCUAGCAACCUAUAUCUAGUCUAUUUGUCUAGCUCGCGUCACCAUAUAUAAUAGGUUAAGGUUACACAUAUUCGACUCAAACACCUAAGAGCAUCUAGAGCCGGAUGCCUCAAAUGGCACUCAAACGACCGGGCGGAUGGACCGGUCACUGAACGGUAAAACAAUGACCCAGACGAGCACCUCAAACCGGCCUCAAAUGCUCGGGUUGACUGACACCCCUAAUAUCCAGCACAAAUCUAGGAUGAAUAUGGGGAUGCCUGGUGCGACCAGGCGCAUCCUCCACAUCGAACCCAACAACCGAACGCCACCACAAAUUGCACCAAAUCACCUUCUGACCUACCCGAUUUCACUUGCGCCAGACUACACCUUGCCCUCUAUGUGUUCGACCCAUUGUCCGGCUAGGUUUUCUGGUGACUUUAUUGUAGGAGCAUGACGAAAUGAUUCAAAAAGAGCUCUCAUACUUAAACACUAUUGAUCACUGAGAGUAGGGGCCAUGGAUGCUCACCUUGCGGAGGGUAUUACUUCACAAAGCGGGCAUUGAUAGCCCAAAUUAAGAGAGAGAAGCUUAAAGCUUUUGCACGAUGUGGCUAUUUAAGCUAGUCGCAUCGCUCCUCUGACGGCGAGGUGGGACUAAAACCGCAACCACAUGGGCCCAACAUGGAUGUCACACGGAUGUUUGGCCUACUAGAUUGAUUUAUCUUGCAAUGGGAGAGGUGCUUUGUGAUGGGUUCAAUCUUGAAGUGCUACAUCCUAGUGACAAAAAGGGAAAUGACACAUAUUUGUAUUGUGCCAUUAAUGAUAAAAAUAUGGGGUUUAUUCAUAUUGCUUGGGUUUUCUUUGUCUACAUCAUGUCAUCUUUCUUAAGGCGUUACUCUAUUUUUAUUAACUUAAUACCCUAGAUGCAUGCUGGAUAGUGGUCGAUGGAUGAAGUAAUAGUCGAGUAGAUUCUGAAGGAAAUAUGCCCUAGAGGCAAUAAUAAAGUUGUUAUUUAUAUUUCCUUAUAUCAUGAUAAAUGUUUAUUAUUCAUGCUAGAAUUGUAUUAACCGGAAACUUAGUACAUGUGUGAAUACAUAGACAAAUAGAGUGUCACUAGUAUGCCUCUACCUGACUAGCUCGUUGAUCAAAGAUGGUUAAGUUUCCUAGCCAUGGACAAAGAGAUGUCAUUUGAUAAAUAGGAUCACAUCAUUAGAGAAUGAUGUGAUUGACUUGACCCAUAUGUUAGCUUAGCACUUUGAUCGUUUAGUUUAUUGCUAUUGCUUUCUCCAUAAGUUAUACAUGUUCCUAUGACUAUGAUAUUAUGCAACUCCUGAAUACCGGAGGAACACUUAGUGUGCUAUCAAACAUCACAACGUAACUGGGUGACUAUAAAGAUGCUCUACAAGUGUCUCCGAUGGUGUUUGUUGAGUUGGCAUAGAUCGAGAUUAGGAUUUGUCACUCCGUGUAUUAGAGAGGUAUCUCUGGGCCCUCUCGGUAAUGCACAUCACUAUAAGCCUUGCAAGCAAUGUGAUUAAUGAGUUAGUUACGGGAUGUUGCAUUACGGAACGAGUAAAGAGACUUGCCGGUAACGAGAUUGAACUAGGUAUUGAGAUACUGAUGAUCGAAUCUCGGGCAAGUAACAUACUAACGGACAAAGGGAAUUACGUAUGUUGUCAUAAGGUUCGAUCGAUAAAGAUCUUCGUAGAAUAUGUAGGAGCCAAUAUAGGCAUCCAGGUUCCGCUAUUGGUUAUUGACCGGAGAGGUGUCUCGGUCAUGUCUACAUAGUUCUCGAACCCGUAGGGUCCGCACGCUUAACGUUCAUUAACAAUAUAGUGUUAUAUGAGUUAUAUGAUUUGGUGAGAGAAUGUUGUUUGGAGUCCCGGAUGAGAUCACGGACAUGACGAGGAGCUCCGGAAUGGUCCGGAGGUAAAGAUUGAUAUAUAGGACAAUGAUGGGAGCGGGGCGUCACACAAGACCACGAUAAUCUCUUAGUUGUGUGCGGCGCCCCUCUCCAUAGUUUCGUCCCUUGGUCAUAUUUUUUGAGUGCUUAGGCGAAGCCUGCGGAGAUAGCAUCACCAUCACCGUCGUGCUACCGGAACUCAUCCACUACUUCGUCCGUCUUGCUGGAUGAUGUCUACUACACAACCUUCUUCUCGUAGACGUUGUUGGGCCUCCAAGUGCAGAGGUUUGUAGGACAGUAGCAAAUUUCCCUCAAGUGGAUGACCUAAGGUUUAUCAAUCCGUGGGAGGCGUAGGAUGAAGAUGGUCUCUCUCAGGCAACCCUGCAACCAAAUAACAAAGAGUCUCUUGUGUCCCCAACACACCCAAUACAAUAGUAAAUUGUAUAGGUGCACUAGUUCAGCGAAGAGAUGGUGAUACAAGUGCAAUAUGGAUAGUAGAUAAUGGUUUUUGUAAUCUGAAAAUAUAAAAACAGCAAGGUAACUAAUGAUAAAAGUGAGCACAAAUGGUAUUGCAAUGCGUUGAAACAAGGCCUAGGGUUCAUACUUUCACUAGUGCAAGUUCUCUCAACAAUAAUAACAUAAUUGGAUCAUAUAACUAUCCCUCAACAUGCAACAAAGAGUCACUCCAAAGUUACUAAUAGCGGAGAACAAACGAAGAGAUCAUGGUAGGGUACGAAACCACCUCAAAGUUAUUCUUUCCGAUCAAUCCGCUGGGCUAUUCCUAUAAGUGUCACAAACAGCCCUAGAGUUCAUAGUAAAAUAACACCUUAAGACACAAAUCAACCAAAACCCUAAUGUCACCUAGAUACUCCAAUGUCACCUCGAGUAUCCGUGGGUAUGAUUAUACGAUAUGCAUCACACAAUCUCAGAUUCAUCUAUUCGACCAACACAAAGAACUUCAAAGAGUGCCCCAAAGUUUCUACCGGAGAGUCAGGACGAAAACGUGUGCCAACCCCUAUGCAUAAGUUCACGAGGUCACGGAACUCGCAAGUUGAUCACCAAAACAUACAUCAAGUGGAUCACGUGAUAUCCCAUUGUCACCACAGAUAAGCACAUGCAAGACAUACAUCAAGUGUUCUCAAAUCCUUAAACACUCAAUCCGAUAAGAUAACUUCAAAGGGAAAACUCAAUCCAUCACAAGAGAGUAGAGGGGGAGAAACAUCAUAAGAUCCAACUAUAAUAGCAAAGCUCGCCAUACAUCAAGAUCAUACCACCUCAAGAACACGAGAGACAGAGAUCAAACACAUAGCUACUGGUACAUACCCUCAGUCCCGAGGGUGAACUACUCCCUCCUCGUCAUGGAGAGCGCCGGGAUGAUGAAGAUGGCCACCGGAGAGGGAUUCCCCCUCCGGCAGGGUGCCGGAACGGGUCUAGAUUGGUUUUCGGUGGCUACGGAGGCUUCUGGCGGCGGAACUCCCGAUCUAUUCUGCUCCCUGAUGUUUUUAGGGUAUAUGGACAUAUAUAGGCGAAAGAAGUCGGUCAAGGGAGCCACGAGGGGCCCACGAGGGUGGGGGCGCGCCCAGGGGGGCAGGCACGCCUCCCUGCCUCGUGGCCACCUCGAAGCUUACCUGACGUUUACUCCAAGUCUCCUGGAUUGCUUCCGUUCCAAAAAUAACUCUCCCAAAGGUUUCAUUCCGUUUGGACUCCGUUUGAUAUUCCUUUUCUUUGAAACACUGAAAUAGGCAAUAAAACAACAUUUUGGGCUGGGCCUCCGGUUAAUAGGUUAGUUCCAAAAAUAAUAUAAAAGUGUAUAAUAAAGCCCAUAAACAUCCAAAACAGAUAAUAUAAUAGCGUGGAACAAUCAAAAAUUAUAGAUACGUUGGAGACGUAUCACUGGAUCAAGAAGGUGAGGACGUCACCGAGCUGAACGUGUGUUGAACGCGGAGGUGUCGUACGUUCGGUACUCGAUCGGUUGGAUCGCAAAGAAGUUCGACUACAUAAACCGUGUUACUAAACGCUUCCGCUUACGUUCUACGAGGGUACGUAGGCAUACUCUCUCCCUCGUUGCUAUGCAUCUCCAUGGAUAGAUCUUGUGUGUGCGUAUAAUUUUUUUUGUUUUCCAUGCAAGGUUUACCAACAUGUUCUUGUUCAACACUUGCACACUAGCAUACUACCAAUUCAUCCAUGACCACUAGCUAUCAAUGCUUGCCUACAUGAAAACAACCCGUAGCAUGCUUCAAAUCCAUCACAACUAGCUACUACUAUAUCACGGUCAAACAGAUCGGAAGAUCUAACCCUACCACGUCGACAGAUCUAGCUAGAACUAGUAGAAAGGAGGAGUGAUUGAACUUACAAACGCCAUCGGAAGACCCGCGGAGGAGGUGCCUGGCAUGUCGGAGAAGAGGAGCAGUAAGUAGUCAACAGGUCGCCGGAGUAGUUGCGCCGCUUACCUCGUCGUGGAAGUGGAUCCGCGCCGGAGGGAAAGCUCGAGAAGGGGGGGGGGAAUGGUGGCGGGAGUUUUGCCACGGCGGUCAUCUGGCUAUAUAGGAGCGACCGAAUUGGCGGUGCGGCGACUCGAGUUCGUCUCGCCGCUUUUCCGAAGACCUGCCAUCUCCCUGCCCGCAGCGCAGCGUUCCCCUCCCAUGCAUUGCUCGAGGCUGACUCGCUGGAAACUAUCGAUCCGGGCGUUUCUAACGGGCCUGGCUGAGCACUGCUUUAAGGUUUGUGCGGGCCAAGAUUUAGAUGCGGGCCAGGCAACCAAACAGGCCGCAAAACUGCCCGCGCGGGCCUGACUGGGCCUAAUACAAGCAACCAAAUGCAUCCUUCUUUUUUUAGACAAAAUUGUCUCUUUUCUUAGGGAAGCAAAAAUAACAAAUUCUAGGGUGAAACGUGAGGUGCAGCCCAGCAUCUCGUGUCGGCAUCCCACCCCACACUGUUUCUGCUAAGGAGAUAGACUAAAAAAACAAAAAUGGAGUUGGACGAUAGCAGCACGUGCGGGUGGUUGGAAGCCAACUUUUGGCGCGCGUGAUGGAAAGAUGGAGCUAACCCAUCCCAGCCAUGGAUUCUUCUCAUCUUGUAUAAGUAUUCCGUCCAUGAACUCCAUCGAUCAGCAAGUGAAGUGACCAUCGGAGGAGGGAGAAGAAUACAAGAAGAAGAAGAUGGCGCGCGUGGAGGCCCUGAGCAUGAGCGGCGCGACGGCGAUCCCGGCCGAGUACGUGCGGCCGCAGGAGGAGCGCCAGGGCCUGGGCGACGCCUACGACGAGGCGGCGGCCAGCUGGUCCGCGGCCGGCUCCCCGCGCAUCCCCGUCGUCGACGUGGCCGCCUUCGACGCCGCGGACCCGGGCUCGCCAUCCAGCCUCGCCGUCGUCGACGCCGUGCGUGCCGCCGCGGAGGGCUGGGGCGUCAUGCACGUGGCCGGCCACGGCAUCCCGGAGGACCUCAUCGACGCGCUGCGCGGCGCCGGCACGGGCUUCUUCCGCAUGCCGAUCGAGGACAAGGAGGCCUACGCCAACGACCCGGCGGCCGGGCGGCUCGAAGGGUACGGCAGCCGGCUCGCCGGAUCGGCCGGAGAGGAUGGGAAGAGGGAGUGGGAGGACUAUUUGUUCCACAUGCUCCACCCCGACGCCCGCGCCGACCACGCGCUCUGGCCGGCGCACCCGCCAGAGUACGUGCCCGUCACCAAGACCUUCGGGGAGCACGUCAGCGCGCUCUCCUCCCGGCUCCUCGCCAUCCUCUCCCUCGGGCUCGGCGUCCCGGCCGACACCCUCGAGCGCCGCCUGCGCCUCACCUCCGGCGGCGAGACCCAGGAGGUGGAGGACGACCUGCUCCUGAAGCUCAAGAUCAACUACUACCCGCGGUGCCCGCAGCCGGAGCUGGCGGUGGGCGUGGAGGCGCACACCGACGUCUCCGCGCUCUCCUUCAUCCUCACCAACGGCGUCCCCGGCCUGCAGGUGCUCCUCCCCGGCGACGGCCAGACCUGGGUCACCGCGCGCGACGAGCCGGGCACGCUCGUCGUCCACGUCGGCGACGCGCUCGAGAUCCUCAGCAACGGGCGCUACACCAGCGUGCUCCACCGCGGGCUCGUCAACCGGCAGGCAGUGCGCGUCUCCUGGGUCGUCUUCGCCGAGCCGCCGCCCAACUCCGUGCUGCUGCGCCCGCUGCCGGAGCUCCUUGUGGACGAGACGCCGCGCUUUGAGCCGCGCACCUUCAGGCAGCACCUCGAGCGCAAGGUCCUCAAGAAGACGAAUGAUCAACAGGAGGAGGAGGUUGUUAAGAUGCCGCCCGUUGUCGCUCAAGAGGAGGAGAAGGAGGUUAUUAAGAAGCCGCCGGUCGCCGGCGAGGAGGAGGAGAAGGAGGAGGCCACGGAGCCGCUGGUCGCCGGCGAGGAGGAGCACAAGGUGGUGAAGAAGGAGCAGAGUGAACAGGAGGAUGCCAAGAUGGCGCCGGUGGCAGCCAACCUAGUGGAAGUUAAUUAAUUAACUCAUCCUACAAUAAUUACCAUAAUGAUUAGUAUUACUCACAUGGGGUAAUUGUACGAAUAAGUGUGCUUGCUAUUGAGAGGUGAUCAGAAAAAAUAUAUAUUAAUUUUGCGCUUUAUUGUGGCAUUUGUAAUGUUUUUUUAGUAAUGUUAUAUAUGUUAUGAUGUUCUAAGUAAUUAAGUAAAAGAUGCAUGGUGUGAUUCAAAUGCCAUAUUUUUUGUAUCUGUGUCUAAUCUUGAUCGGUGGAUGGUUGGGUAGUUCCAUUCUGCACAAAAUAUGUGAAAUUUAAGGCACAAAUGUGCUUCUAUGCUUGUUGAUUGACAUGCCGUCCAUCAGACAAAUAAGAACUCACAAAUAGUGAAUUGUUUUGGGACCCUCUUAAGACAUGGCCGUUUCUUCGCCAGGAGGCAAUUUUUAUGUUAAAAGUAUGGCGACUGAUAGGCGCCGGUGCACCGGCCUAACUUUCGACCCGUCAGCGCCCGAGCAUCCGAUCUGGAUGUCUACAGCCGUUGAUUCCUUCUUCCUCCCCUCCCCAAAACGAUUCUGAUUCGCACGCGCACAACACGCCCACUCGCCCAACGCACAGCGUGGCUGCCGGCCCCCGGCGUCCUCCAUGGCCGCCGUCGUCGCCGUCAAAUGUAGCUCGCUGCCCCUCGCCGUCCCCGUCAUCGCACGUCCUCCCAAUCUCGUAGUCGUUUCCAGCGACACCCACUGCCAGAUGCAACUCCACUGAAGCCUAAUGCAGCUUGCGGCCAAGCCAGUUCCAGCAACCAAUCAAAGCACGGCGGCGCCCGCCGCCUGGCUCGCCGCCGCCGUCGAGUUUGCAGCAUAGUUUUCCAGCAAAAAAUAAAAAUUCGAGCAACUAGAGAAACCAAGAAAGCCCGUUGAAGCAAAAAAAAUAGCCGGUUCCAGCAAACAAAAUUGCCGGUUCCAGCAUAUACCAUAGAUUGUCGUCGUCGAUUCGUAGCGAAAACAAAAGCCGGUUCUAGCUUCCGACAAUUACGGUUGCAACACCUGUCGUGCACAAUUACUGCUGGUUCCAACAUCUCCUACUGGUUCCAGCACCGUUGCAUCCCCCUCAUCGUUGUUGUAGCUUGCGAGCACCGUGAUUGCAGCUUUUUUGCUUGCUGGCUGUAGCUCUGCCGGUGGGCAGUUCCAGCUUUUUCUCUGGCUGGUUGCAGCUAUGGCGCCCCAGUUGUAGCUUUCUGAUGGCUGAUUCCAGCAUUGCCGGCGGCGGGUUGCAACACCUCGCGGUGCCGGUUCUAGCUUUGGGUCAGG